This 143912-nucleotide long non-coding RNA is filed under the name Eucalyptus grandis. RNAcentral's name for it is "long non-coding RNA (EGRA_LNC005143)". The record is from RNAcentral. Lineage: Eukaryota; Viridiplantae; Streptophyta; Magnoliopsida; Myrtales; Myrtaceae.
GGAAUUCUAUUGGCACCGGCAGCUUCUACUGAUUCCAGUUCUGCCACAACUAUAGUCCUGGAAGGCCACUCGUUAGGAGUCAUUUGGAGGCAUUGUAAAGCAAGCUGUGCUAUUUGGAAUGCAGAAUCUAUAUAUGUAAGGUAUAGGGAUGGUAUAAAUUUGGUUCCCAUUUCCUGCAGGCUGCAAACAUCGUGAGCCACCGGCUUCUUCCAAGAUAUCCAGUGUUUCUUUUUUGGGUAAUUGGAGCAUCUGCAGAAAUGAAAAGUUAUGUAGGCAAUACAACUGUAGAUUCCAUGCCAAAGGAUUUAAGUAGCUAAAAGGAAAACACACCUCGUAUUUCAUAGAGGGGAUUAUAGUGAACCUCACACCAGAAACUCAACCAAAACUCUGCAUCAAUUGAAAGUAAGGUUAACAAAAGGAAAAACUCAAAAAAUAUGGAGUUUCAAAAGACCAGUUGCACAUUGAACAAAAGCAACAGUAGAUCAAUUGCAAAUGUUUACACCUAGGUUUAAAAUCAAUCAAAUAUAUAUUGAGCUGUACCCAAGCAGCUGUCCUAAGCAAGCAAAAGAACAGAUAUUUAAUUUCCCAGAUGAACAACAAGCAAAGCAUCACAAAGGAGGGUCUAUGCGUAUAUGUAUGCAAGAAACACUCUUUUUUCCAAGACAAAUGAGAAGUAAAAUAUCAACUUCACAUUCAUCACAUUGCACUGACUGAUCAUUUGACCCAACAAAACAACUAUGAAGAAGACUAGCAAGCAAUACCCAAGACAGAGGGAACUUAUAAAUCCGAUGGCCCAACAAUAAUCAAGCUAUCAGUAUCAAGAGGUUUUAGACCUCCUUCAGGCUCUCCAACAUCAACCAAAUAAGCAUUGAACAUCAAUGACUCACCGGAACAAUUAACUUCAUCAUUCUUCAAAAUUAUGCAUUUUGACAGCUGCUCGCUGCCAUCAUAGGGCAUUACCUAUCAUAUAUCCGACCAUCAAUCACAGCAUGGACUAAUCUACUCCAAACAAGCUCAAUCACGGAGAGUAUUACAACCAAAAGCACAGAACAUAACAAUCCAUGAUGAUAGAAAAAAUGAAACCCUAGGCAGCAUCGAGCUGCUGCCAUUAAGUUUGAUCAAGCAAGCCAAAUAUGGGGGAAAACGGUAAUAAAUCAAUAGCCACUGCAAUUUUGACACAGAUUAGCCAAUCAAACCAAAUCAUGUCCAAGCCCAAUCAAAGGCAACUAAAUUGCCCACCAGGUUGAGCUGGACAUCACUAGAAGAGAUUAGUAGUGAAAGCAAAGGUACCUUGCUGGUGGAGGUGCAGAGUGAGAGGAAGCCGUCGCAAUAGACCUUGCGCUUCAGCUUCUGCUUCAGGUGCUUCUUGAAGGUGACAUUCCAGCACACACAGACUCAAGCACAUAACUCAUUUCAUCAAACACCAAAAUUGCACAUGAUCACCAAACACUGGACAGGCAAAACUUAGAUGGUUCACACUUACACGAAGCAUAAUUCGCACACUAAUUACAAACACAAUCCAAAAGCAGUUCAGGAUUGAAAAAGAAAACAAGAGCACAACACCGAUCCGCUCCUAGAACCUGUAUUGCCGGCUCAAAAUGCAGGCGUUGAGUCCAUCACAGAGCUGAAAGCUCUGAUGUAUUCAUCCGUGGGAUUCUGCUGAGUCCGGAUGUUCUGUAUAAGGGCAACAAGGAUGGUGAUGCCAGAUUUCUGUCCCUCAAGAUUCCGUUUGAUGCGAUGUUCAUUUUCCUAAUCAAAACUCCAGAGUUAGAGCUUAAGCUGGCAGACUUGAAAUCCAUAUCCUAGGUGCAAUUUCUCCCUCUUAACCCAACCUUGAUUGAGGAUGAGGACCACAAUACCAAUGUGUGCGCAGAAGCUCUCCCUGAUGCUCAUAGAGUUCAACUUGACUAAAAUUUCUGAGAUUCUACACCCAAAGACAGUCAGCCAUUGCUUCAGAUUUUCACUUGGUGAUCUGUCCUGUGCAAAUGUGAAUGAUGUUGAGCUACGGGUGGCUCUGGCAUCGACUCCAGAUAUGGAUCCCAAGUUGCUUUCUCAGCUGAAAGUAGCACAGCGGAUUGGAAAUCUUUUGGAGUUUGUACAUGGGAAGAAUUUGGAAGAUUUUCUCAAAUUGAUGCUUGGCUUGUGCAAAGCUCUUCUUUUAUGAUCACCAGGUUCCACGAAAGUUUUCACGUACAUGGAAGAGCCAACACUACCUGAUGAAAGUUCUUCUGAGGCAGCAAGUAGCAUAUGACACAUAGCUGACUCUGGUGGCAGUGCCAGUGUUUUCCUGGAAUUGAGUGGGUCUCAUGACAGAAACAAUGCUGAUAAUGCUUAUGAAUGCACAGUUCUAGUACUGAAGGCGGCCCCAAGGGAAGGUGCUCUCUUUUCCUUACCAAUCUUUUGUAAGUGAGUGCAAUUCUCAAGUCUCGGCAAGACAGCCUCCUUCUCUACUGGUACAGCAAAUGCUGCAUUCUAUCAGUUACAACUGUAGGCGAUGUUUGCUGCAUAGAAUGAUCUUUGUCAGUGUGCCCGUCAAAGAUUGCUAUGAUUGAAGGCAUCAUUGCUGAGAUAAAAUAUUCUGGUGCUGCUGUUCAGCCAGUGCUGCCACACUGGUAAUCUCCGAAUUCCAGUGGCUCCCUCAUUUAUGACUUCUCCAUAACAUUUGCAAAUCCCACUAAGAAGCACACCUUUCCUGAAAAAUAAACUGAACUUAAGCAUGGCAAUACAGAGUGUCUAUCUACUUCAAAGUCACAACAAUGAGUUGAUUGUGCUGUAAAGUCCUAGAAUGAGAACCAUAGUUGUAUGACCUUCCAACACACAUUCCAUCUAUUUGUUUACAGCAUAGCAAAUUUAUCUCCCAUGCAAAGUGAGGUUAUCAAUUUCAAAAUAUGUGUGAAGCAGCAAAUCAACGACGAUCUCUAAUAAGUUGUUACAUAUCAAAUAAAAAUGAUGCAAUCGACAUGCAUAUGUCACGGACCGAGAGAAGGCCGAUCCGUGAGGUUCCCCGAGGACGACCCCGACUCGUCCAUGGAAGACCUCCUACUCCAACUCGGGUUCCCAUCAAAGCUUCUCCCUGAAGCUUCCAAGGGAGGACGACACCGUCAUUUUGCCUGACUCUAGAAGCUUCCGUUAUUUAUGUCGGUAGACGGUAGUUAAAUAUUUAUGUCAGUAGUUGAGGCGGUGCGAUCUCGCCCGUCAGAUAAAAAGUAGAUCAACGGAUGUAAACCGAGGCCCUCAACUAUAAAAAGGGGUGCCCUCCUUCAUUUGUAAUCACCCAACAUUUCAGCAAUACAAAGUUCAUUUCCUUCCAGAGCUCCUCUCUCUUACUUUCUCUCUCAACGAUUCGGGUAAGCGAGCGGGUUAGCGUUCGAUCGAGCAACGCUUGGCCCGGGUAGUCCAAAAUCGCCCGAGUCGCCGCGCGGUCAUGAUCCCAAUUGAUCGGCCCGUGACAAGUGGUAUCAGAGAAAAAUAGAGAUUCGUUUGAGAGACCAAGGAGCGCCAACUGUUCGAAGGAAUGUCGAGCCAAGAAGCUGUCAUGGUUGGAGAGACCGUGCAAGUCCAAGAGGACCGCGGUCGUGGAAAGAAAAGAGACGCCUCGAGGGACGUCAUAGCUGUGUUCGAUGAGAAGAUCGCGAAUGUCCGGAGCGCUGUGCACGAACUCAUGGAAGGUCUUGACGACGUGCGAGACCGGAUCAUGGAGGUUGACAGUUCACUCUGUGAAGACUUCACUUCAUGCAUCAAUGAAGCUACCGCGCCAUUACACGACAAGGACGAAACCCUUGAAGCAUCGAUCGAUGUGUUGAAGGAGCGUGUCCAAGUGGUCGAGGAAGAAGCUCCGCGUAGGGACGAGGUCGAAGCCAUGAAGGCCGAGAUCCAAGAGCUCAAGACCGAGCUUGCCCUGUGCAAACUAAGCAUCACCAAUGGUGCUGUGCCGAACCAAGCGGUGCCCAAAAUUGAGGCGCCAAAGCCGAAAGAAUUCAAAGGCGAACGAUCCGCCAAGGAGGUGGACAACUUUGUUUGGAGCAUGGAACAAUACUUCGGUGCCGUCAACAUGAACGACGAGAUGACCAAGGUACGAACCGCGUCAAUGUUCCUGUCUGAUACGGCAAUGCUUUGGUGGCGCAAUAGGUGUGACGAGGUUAGACGAGGCGCUGAUCCCGUGUGCACAUGGGACGACUUCGUACGAGAGUUCCGGGACUACUUUUUCCCCCAGUUCGCUCAACAAGAGGCCCGUAGCAAGCUCCAUCCCUCGAGCAAAGAGGCACGAUCCGAGAGUACGUGAAGGAGUUCACCAAGCUCAAACUCUAGAUUCGCAACCUGAGCGAAGAGGAGGCUCUCGGAGCGUUCAUGGAUGGAUUAAAGCCAUGGACACUUCUCGAGCUCAAGAGACGGGACGUGAGUAGCCUGGCGCGUGCGCUGAGCGUGGCCGAGUCGCUCGUCGACCUCACCAAGACCGAACCAAGGAGUCGACAAAGAGAUUGGAGGACUGAUCGACCUUGCGAGGAUGAAGCUGGAAGAAACACUCCCCGGGCUGCGCAUGAUCAAGGCGGUCGAGCCAAAGCAUGGGGAGAAGGGUCUUCAAAGCCAGCCUUCCAAAAGGGUAGACCACCGACAGACUACGCGAGCAGGUUUGAUCAACCCCCGCCUUCUCCUUGUUUCAUUUGCCAAGGUCCGCACUGGACCCAAAAGUGCCCAAAGAAGGGUCGAAUCAACGCCCUCCUUGCCAUCGAGGAAGAAAAGGAGGAGUCCAAAGAAGACCGACGACAAAUCCGACUUGGAGCCGUGAAGAUGAUCAACUCCGUCCAAGCUCGGUCCCCAACCAAAGGAAAAGAAGCUGCGUCGGACAUAGAAAUGUUCUUCGUGCAAGUCAACGUGUGCGGCCGAACGCUACACGCCUUGGUCGACACGGGUGCGUCGAACAUGUUCAUGUCAAAGGAAGUGGCAAAGGCCUUGAACCUUCGCGUGGAGCCGACCGAGAACACCUUCAAGCCAAUCAAUUCGGAAGGCGUCCAUGGCGUAGGAUCGACUUCGAAUGUGGACGUCAAAAUUGGCGAUUGGAGGGGCAAAAUGGAUUUCGAGGUAAUCCCGCUUGACGAUUACGAUCUCAUUCUUGGUAUGCAAUUUUUCAAUAGUGUGAGAUCCAUGAUCGACAUGAGGACCAAAUGCCUCGUGAUUCUCGAUCCGGAUUACCCGACGACGGUCCCAAUGAUCAAAGGGAUGGUCGACACCAAGACCAUCGCGUCGAUCCAACACCUCAACAAGAGCUUGAAGGCCGUCAUGCGCAUCAACAAGUUUCCAAGGUGAAGCCGAAGGUCAAGUUGGAUCCUACUCCAACAAAUGCCAUGCCAAUCCAAGCGCUCUUCCCCGAGGUUGAGUACGCACCGCAUGCUCCGUCCAAGCCAAAGGCCGAGUCACGUGCCAAAUCCGACUUCAUCAAUGAAGGUUGCGGUCCGUCAUAUGAGAGCGUCCGCACCAAAUGAAACAAGAACAAGAGAGCCCGUGCCAAAGCCCGUGCUCGUGCCAAGAAGGCCAACCUCCGAGCUGUGAGCGACGAGGGCGUCGCUCGAAUGAGUGGGGGAGAAUGUCACGGACCGAGAGAAGGCCGAUCCGUGAGGUUCCCCGAGGACGACCCCGACUCGUCCAUGGAAGACCUCCUACUCCAACUCGGGUUCCCAUCAAAGCUUCUCCCUGAAGUUUCCAAGGGAGGACGACAUCGUCAUUUUGCCUGACUCUAGAAGUUUCUGUUAUUUAUGUCGGUAGACGGUAGUUAAAUAUUUAUGUUGGUAGUUGAGGUGGUGCGAUCUCGCCCCUCAGAUAAAAAGUAGAUCAACGGAUGUAAACCGAGGCCCUCAACUAUAAAAAGGGGUGCCCUCCUUCAUUUGUAAUCACCCAACAUUUCAGCAAUACAAAGUUCAUUUCCUUACAGAGCUCCUCUCUCUUACUUUCUCUCUCAACGAUCCGGGUAAGCGAGCGGGUUAGCGUUCGAUCGAGCAAGGCUUGGCCCGGGUAGUCCAAAAUCGCCCGAGUCGCCGCGCGGUCACGAUCACAAUCCCAAUCGAUCGGCCCGUGACACAUACCUCUAGGAGAAACCAUCCUAAGAAAAUGUAGCAAAAAAAGGCAAACGAAACUUGGAAAAGAACACAAAUACUUGUACAUAAUUAAGAGCCCUCUGGCUGUUCGGAGGCAUCAUAAUUUAAAUACCUUCAUUAGAUUUUCAGGCAAGAAUCCGCUAAAAGGUCAUUAAAAAGUGCAUGCAAAACUUCUCUGUUCAUAUCUAUGAAAGAAUUUGAUUGCCAAAAAAGGAAAACAUUGGUACUUACCUCAAUUUGUUUAAGGUUUGAACACAAGGGAACAAUUUGUGGUCGUGCAUCAAAAAGCUUCCAAGUGCAACGUGCACUUAUUCAUCUUCUUGCCCAUUAUCCUCUUACAUAUCUUAGUAUUCUUGUUACAUAUCUCAGUAUUCUUGCCCAUCGUCCUCUUACAUAUCUUUGUAUUCUUGCCCAAACCAGUAAUUUGUCUUCUUCAUCAUCUUAUCCCACAAAUUUGAUUGACUUCUCCGAGCAAAGCCGAGAAAUUUCCUCCGCUGCUAAUUUCCCACAACGUCUUAUUGUAACCUCUUGCAGUCCCUUCAAGCUUGAUAGAUCAGACAACUUCUGUAAAGAUCCACACCAUUGAAUCCACAAUGUUUUCAAAGAUUGAGGUAGUUCGCCUUGAAUCUCAACCAGAUUACCGCAGGAUUCAAUGUUCAAGUAUUCCAAAGAUUGGGGUAGUUCAAUCUCAACCAGAUUACGACAAUAUUCUACUGAAAGAUAUCUUAUUCCAUCCAUAUUGCUUAGAUCAGGGAUCUGUAUAUUCAAACCUUUGAUUGUGACCCAUCGCAGUCUCUUCAAGCUUGACAGCUCAGGCAACUUCUGUAAAGAUCCACACCAUUUAAUCCGCAAUGUUUCCAAAGAUUGGGGUAGUUCGUUUUGAAUCUCAACCAAAGAUCCACAGCUGUCAAUAUCCAAUGUUUCCAAAGAUUGGGGUAGUUCGCCUUGAAUCUCAACUAGAUUACCGCAUGAUUCAAUAUACAAUGUUUUCAAAGAUUGGGGUAGUUUGCCUUGAAUCUCAACCAGAUUAUGACAAGAUUCUACUCUAAGAAGUGUUAUUCCAUCCAUAUUGCUUAGAUUAGGGAUCUGCAUCUGUUUAAUGCCAGAAAGCUGCAACCGAUUUCCACUUAAAUAUUCAAAAACCUGAUUGCCACUAUGCACAUACACAUAAACAUGUGUCUUACCCAUUAUGCUGAACGGAUCGGGGAACUUUUGUAACGAAUCACGGGAACCAAUUUUAAGUUCAUCCAAAAAUCGUGGUAGUUCGCCUUGAAUCUCAACCAGAUUACAACACCCCGAUACUGUAAUACGCCUUAGCUUGUUUAACUUGCUUAGAUCAGGUAGCAUCGCCAGCUGUACGACGUCCCGAAGGCGGAAAUCUCGUAGGUUCUCCAAACAACCAAGGCCUUCAAUCUUUGCAACUGCAGAGCAGCAAAUGUCGAGAUCCGAUAGUUUCCUCAAAUUCGAUAGAUCCAUCGAGCCAAGUGAGUCGCAACCAGAGAGACGUAAGACGGAUAAACUUGAGGGAAGCCUCAGGAGGAGAGGCGGAUGAGGAGGGAGGCUGAGGUCUAUCGAUGAGGCGGUCCCCCCGAAAAAGCACAGUAGCAGAGAUUCCAAUUUGCUUAAGUUCCCAAUCCACCAUGGUAUCCGUUUUUCCAGGAGCCCAUAAGAUUUCCCAUCACAGUUAGGUGGGCCAAAGCCCAGAUGCAAUACCUUUAAGUUAGCGAGAUUUGAGAGAUCUGGAAACGUGUCCACCCUCAACUCCUCCACUACUAAUUCGAUGAGACUUUCAGGAAACCUUGGUAGGGCGUGUACUCCCGGCCAUCCCAAUAUCUUUUCCCAUGAACGCCCGUAUAAGCAAUAGCCACUUAUUGCGUGGGCAUGCGUGACAUGAUUAUAACGGUCGGCGAUUUCCAUUCCCUUGACCUUCCCCAUCUUCUUACAAGCAUCAUUGUUCGUUCUGUUUUCGAAACCAUUCUGCAUCUUCAUUACUUUCAAAUUCUUCGACAUUCCAAUGGAAUCGGGUACUUCUUCGAUGCUCGUAUGACUUAUGUCCAAAGUUAGCAAAUCCAAAUUUCUAACCAUCUUUGGAAGCCUCUGAAGAUUCCAACAAUUGCUUACAUCUAAGAAAAUUAAGCGUUUCAACUGACAAAUUGAUUCAUCAAUUUCGAUUAAUGAUUCACAGCCUGAUAAGAUCAAAUGUUCUAAAUUUAAAUGAGCAAAGAAGUUGGGGGUUCUCUCCAAGCAUUGGCAAUGGGCCAGAUUCAGAACUUUCAAAUUCUUAAUCCCCUGUGAAAGAAAAAUCAUGCACAGAUUACUUUCAAAUUUAAUGAGAUAGAAGAACAAGUAUCGUCUAGCAUAUGACAUACCUUCAUGUGGCUCCACCCUUUCCAAUCAUGAGUAAUUUCACUCCGAGAUAGAUCAAGGAUAGUCAAAUUCUCUACGGAGAAAUUUGCAAUCUCAAAUGUUGGGUGAAUAUUAUGCCAAGAAAGCCAGCGUACUUCUGGAAGGAGAUUUGAAUCCAAAACAUCAGUUGGAAGAACACUUGAUGGCCCUUUGUGCUGAAGAAGCAUCUUUUCUACACAAAAAGUUUGCUCCGAGUCAUCAACUUCAAGGAACCUUAGCCUUGAUAGGCUCUUAAAGUCAUUGUAGGUAAAACCAUGCUGAUGGUCCAAGCGGAGGCGAAGAGCUUCAACUUUUUUCUUCGUCUGCCCAAAGGAAAUUUUUUAAAAACAAGAGAGUUGAAGGGAAACACAUUUAGCCAAAUUCACUAUUUUAAGGGACUGAGUUGAGUACUACCGUUCCAUUAAUCUUAAAAAAGCAAAAAUGUCCAUAAGUAACUUGGAAAUUAAUGCACAGGGGAUUUUACCUUAGGGCUCUUCAACAAAUCCAACGCUUUCUCACGAUCCCACACCCUACUUUGUUUAUUUAUAUUGGUUUCUUGACAAACUAUUUGUCUUCCAAGGUCUCUAAGUUGGUCGUGCAUCCACACCUUAUUAUCCUCUUUAAUCUUUACCAAAGACAUGUUCUCCAAAACAUCCAUGGCAUAUUCCGGAUGGAAUUCAAAUUCCCAAAAAUGAACUACAAUGUCUUUAUCAUAUCCAAUUAAAAGACAAGCUAUAUCAAGGAACUUUUGCUUUUCCUUUUCUUCUAAUUCAUCAUAACUUAUUUUCAAUCUACUCUGGACAUCCUUAUGAGGAUCACUUUCCCACUUACGUAAUUCGAAAUCCCACUUUUUCUUUUCAGUAGUGCAAGAUAAAAGUGAACCCAUGAGCUCAAGAGCUAGUGGAAGACCUCCAGCAAUUUUUAUCGCCCUCUCGGAUUGGUCGAUAUACUCGUCCAAAGGAUGAUCUCUUCUAAAGGCAUGUUUGCUAAAGAGUUGAAGAGAUUGAUCGUGAUCCAUGCCCGAAAGCUCAUAACAACUGUCCACUUUAAGAACAUCAAGAACUUCUUUGUUUCUAGUAGUAAUAAUAAUUAUGCUCCCUUUACCAAACCAAUCACGCUCACCAACAAGUGCAUCGCUAUGAUUCUUUUCAUGUACAUCAUCGAGAAGGAGGAGGACUCUUUUGUUAGACAACCUGGCUUUGAUGGUAUUAAUCCCAUCAUCAAUGUUUCUUAUAUCGGUGCAUUUGUCUUUGAGGAUGUCGGAGAUGAGCUGAUUCUGCAAAGAUUCAAUGCCCUUGCGUUCUGACAUUUCACGAAUGCUGGACAGAAAGCAACAACCCUCAAAUUUUUCUAAAAGCUGAUUGUAGAUGAUUUUGGCAAUUGUCGUCUUUCCGAUGCCACCCAUCCCAUGAAUUCCUAUAAUCCGUGUUUCACUUGUCUGAGCACCUAUUUGUUCCAUGAUUUUACCCACAUGGUCGUCCAUAUUGACCAAGUUGUUUGAUACCACCAAAUAAGCCUUUUUCAACUCAUUGAAAACCUUCUGCGUGAUUGUUUUUGCAAGUUGACCUUCUUGCCUAUUGUUUGUUGAAAGUCAAAAGGCAAUGAGUUAGAAAAUUGAGUUAAGCCAAACUAUGCUCUGACAAGACCAAAUUCAAAACUACAGACCUAUUCUAAAUGCGUUCCUCAACGAUUUAUACCGUUUUGAUAAACUAGCACUAGAACUUAGGGUAAAUGAAUGACCUGAACUAACGAAAAAUGUUUCUUGUUGGGAAUGAAAUGGGACAAAAAUUGGCAUUGUGAUAUUAUUUAGCGUGAUUUUGCUGCAUAAUUUCAAUUGCAUACAAUUCAAUUUCAACAAGACUAACACAAAUCUAGAAAAGAAACCAAUUAAAAUGCAUCGAGUUUAAAGAUAUAAGGCACAUGAGAUGGAAUCCUAAAAGCAGUCACCUGUUGGGCAUGCUUUGCAGGUCCCAUCCAUUUACAUCCGCGACUGUAGUGAGAGCAUUCUUCCACUCUGCUAUAGUCUUUUCAUCAUAUCGCCCCUUUGUUUUGUGUGAAACAAGAGCUUUUUUAAAACUCCCGAUUUGGUGUCGAACCUCCGAAGGUGUCACAUCAUAAAAAAUGGGCAUGAUCUUUUGUCCUUCAUUUGUCUGGUGCUUGACCAUCUGAACUAGCUCCUUGAGACACCAUAUGCUAGAGGCAUAAUCUUUUGAAAAAAUAGGUAUUGAGAUCCUUGAGUGAUUGAUUGCUUCAAGAAGUUCUGGGGCAAACUCUUCUCCAAUGUGGAGGUCUUUGUCGUCCUUAAAUGUGCGGAUUCCCACAUUUGUAAGGCUAGUGUAGAGGUAGUCGGUAAAACCUGAUCGUGUAUCUAGCCCUCUGAAACUCAAGAAUACCUCAUAGUCAUGUCCGGAUGAUGUUGCAGUUUCCUCAACUUGUGGUGUAGUGCAAGUACGAGCAGCCCUCUCUACGAUACCAUUCUCUGUAGCUGAAUCAUUAUCUGUACUGCCCUCCACAGCGGUCUAACCUGCUCUUUUCUUCAGGAAUCCUUUGAACAGGAUGGCAGAGAGAGAUAUGGCAGCAAUUGUCACCAUACAGGGCAACCGCAAGUGCUCAAGCAUUUUGUGAGUUAGCAAAGAGAAUGUUUUUAGUUAGAAAUACAGGGGAUGGUGGAACAACAGAGAUGAGAGGCAGCACUUAAAGGUCAGGAUGGAGUAACGAGCAACGGCGAGCCCGCGAUGGCGAGAGACCGCCAGAGAAAGAGUAGAGAGUGAGGCGAGGGCGGCCACUGAUGCUGCGACGGAUCGGCAACGAGGCUGCAACUGCAAGUGAGGAAGGGCCGAAGGCGAGGCGGAGGAGGAGGAGAAGGAUCGAGAGGAAGAGGAGAGGAAGGGGGUCGUGUGGCGAGGAGGAGGAGAAGUAUCGAGAGGAAAAGGAGAGGAAGGGGGUUGUGCGGGUGCGGCGAGCGGCGAGAGGAGGAGGAGAAGGGGGCGCUAGCUAGGGUUUUGGAAACUCAAAAAGAAUAAAAUAAAGAGGCUGAUGGGGGUGAAGUGACAGCCUGUCACGUGGGUGGGGGAGGGGAAAGGCAAGCUGGUUCAUGAUGGACCAUUGGUAGUCCAAGUCUUCGUAGACUUUGACUUGGGUCAAUCAUUUGUUUCAGUCUUCUUGCACCACCCACAAGCUGUUUUGUCUGAUUUUUUUUCUCUUUCUAAGAGUGGUAGCUCAUGCUAAUACCACGUUAAGACGAGGCACAUGGAGCUUAGGUUUUGGAUUGUUGGCGUCCUUAUCAAAAUCACAUCAACCCAUCUCACGCAAUUCUUAAUCUAGUGAAUGUAUUUUGAUGCAAAAUUAUAUGUAUGCAACACAUUCCAUUUCUAUUUAGUUAAAUUAGAUGAUUCCAACUUUUUCAUUGAUUGAUGACAUGAUUGACUAAAUUUUUAAGAAAAAAGUUUUUUUUGGACAUAUAGUGUUUCAUUGCAAGUAUUUUUCUAUUUUUUGAAUUGAUUUUGUGAUAACUAAACAUUCCAUGUUUCAUAAUAGAAAACAAAAUCUCUCUAGAACUGGAGGUGUAAAAUUGUUCCAUUUUGUAAUUCAAUGUUCAUAAGUCUUUUCAAGCAUAAAUCCGAGUUAAAUCCGAGUGUGACAAAAAAAAAUUAAGAUUGAAGUUAUUAAAUCACAUGACUCAAUGAGUUAAAAGGAAGAAUCUUGGGAAGAAUCAAAUUUCUUGAAUUGAGAUUGAUGGAAGAUCGAAUAUGUUCUCUGAUAGCUUUAGCUUUCAUUAUCACUCCACUGAAAUUUUGUUUUAGUAAAACCAAAAUCUCGUCCCAAUUUUUUUUUUUUUUUUGAAAUUAGACACCAUCCAUUUGAAUCAAAAUUGAGCUUCCUCCAUUAGCUCAAAAGCUCGGGAAGAAGAGAAAAUAUGUGGGAUCCCAUUGCCUAAUUCUUAGUCUUUUUGAAGGAAAAAAAAGACUUCUCAUACAAAUGUGGGCCUUAAUUAUUGAGACAUUUUUUCCUUUACCCUAGAAUAUGCAGAGAGUCAUGGGCCAGUUUUGCUGCAGAAUUGAUCGACAAGGAUGCUUCCUUGCAGCAUCAUUGUGGCCUGUCAACCGUGACAAAUAUUACGUUUCUUAACGCGGAAAAUCACUAAACUAUGUGGUGCAGAAAUUUUGGGAUGAGAAUCUACUUUUACCCCAAAAUAAUUCAUUUGAAGUCAAGUCAACAAAAGCAGACACGGAACUUCCAAAACAAGUUCGUUUCCCCCAUCCUAAAUAAGGUGAACUCCGAUCGGUCUAGUUUAAUGGGUUGAUUAGGCCCAGGCCCGGAAUAGCUUUGAAGCAUAAAGCCUAGUGGAAUUAUUGGGCUUGAUCUUCGUCAAAGCACUCCCUAGUGAUCAAUUGAAUUAAGAAAAGAUCACAUUUUAUUUCGGAGGUGAACCAUCCUUCGCAUUUAACCUGUCGUUAGUGUCAAAAAUUGCUUGUCACAAAACGUUGUAGUUGGACAUUAAAUCCAUGCAUUGUGCUGAUUAUUAUACAAAACAUUACUAAAAUAGAGUACACAAAACCAAUGUGUAAGCACAGUCUUGUGUCGUAUUAAAACUUUGAGCCACCAACAAGUGUGAUAAAUAAGCUCACGAACAUGAUGUGACCUAUUAGCUCUCAUUUGGAAUUUAACUCAUUUAGCAUUUCCACAUUCACGAUUGAACUUGAAAGCCUCUAUGAGGAUUGGGAAAAGUUUAGUGAAGCCUCUUGACUAUAAUGAUUAAAAAAAAAAUAUUGACUCCCCCUGAAUUCAAGUAUGAAAAUUUUCUAUUUUAGAUAAUGUUUUCGGAGGUAUGACUCUUCGCUCUCUCAGUUAAUGCAUGUGGAUUAUCUAGCGGAAAAAAGAGGCAAAAAUGAAAGAACUUAUGGACAACGUGAGACUAUUCCAUGUUAAAAUUUGAAAAUCAGAAAAAAAAAAUAGCCACACUUCUAUUAAUUUGAAAUUAAAUGAUUUGGGUUGCUAUUUCAGAUUUACCUCGACAUUAGAUGAUGUCAAACCAAGUCCAUUUGCAGCUAGAAACAUUUUUUUAGUAUAAUUAAGAAUCGGAAUGCCUCCUCUUCAACUUCUAUGAAUCCAACUUAAGAGCCAUGCUUUACUUGAAAAACAAAUUGGAGAUGCGUUUACGUUGUAGAGUAUUCAUUUUCUUCACGUCGCAAUUUUGUGUUGGUUAUUGUCAUAAAGGUGAUGCUAUAAGUGCUAAUAUACUUUCACACACAUUGUAAUAGCUACUUUGACGUAUACGGUAUGAUGAAAUUAUCGUUCUCUUGCAUGAAUAAAGCAAAAAUGAUGCUUAGCUCUUCGUUGGUUGAUCUCCAACUUGAAGAGUUUGCUUUUACAUGGAAAUGAACAAAUAUUGGACAGGGAAGAAAAAAGGGGAAAAACUCAGGUCUAAGCGCAUAUGGCACCAAAAGGAAAUCCGAUUUCGAUAAGACUGGAUAUGAAUUGUAGUUCAGAUUCAAGUUGAUUCAGGGAGGGCGACCGCAAAAGUCACCGAAUGGGUCAAUCUUUUCCUUCAGUUUGUCCUAUUUAAUAAAAUAAAAAAGCGUGGGAAGAUGUUGCAGAUGUCUAGGACGGACACGACUUCUUGUAACACUAGAAAACCACUAGAAGAUACCCGGGACCAAAGCAUGUCGUGAAAGAAGCACAUUGGGGCAUUGACCAAUUUCAUAUAGUAAGACAAAGCAACAAAUUAUAAGGUAUCUAAAAAUCACCACAUAAUAUAUCGACAAAAUAUGGCAUUUGGAAUUUAUAUAAUUUGACCCGACCUCACUAGGUAAGUUAAUUAGCAAAUCAAGCCAUUGAAACAUAUAAACCAAACCAAAACAAAGAAGAUCUGAACAAGGUUAUUUGCAGAAAUAUAUCACUAGUCAACAUGCAAAAGUGCACAAAAAAAGAAGAUUUACAUAAACCUCUUUGUAAGUCAUAUGUUUAACAGGAUAGGAAGCACUUCUUAUCAGAUAAAAAAAGUACUCAACAGGGCAGCUGUCCAUUUUUUUUUUCUUUCGCAGAAAUUUGCCAAGUUUGAUCAAGCAACUCCAUAAUGUGCUGAGUUUCCAAAUCUCCCGUGGUGAAGAAUGCCUAUUUGUUUCAAUUUCCUCCACAUUGAUACAUCAGAAACAUCAGGAUAGAGUUGCCAGAGAAGAUACGCAAAUUGUCCAGUGAUUCUGGUCAACCAGAUUACCACAAUGAUCUAAAUGAAAAUCCAUUAGUUUCUUCAAGCCACUCAGUCGGCCAAUUUGUCCAGUCGGUUGAGUUUGUUCAGCUCCAAAUUCCAGAUUUAGUCAGGUGGCAUCUUUAUCCACUUGCAGUUUCUCAAAGACUAGCGUUCAAGGCUUAUGAUGGUAACCAAUCGACUCGGGAAGCUCCAAGAUCCCAGCUCCUUACAGAGAAAGCCUCAACAGGGAAGUCGGGUAACUGAUCGAAGGUUUUGUAGUCGGUGAGGAACGAUGGCAAGCACAGAGAAUUUCUAGACUCUUCAAUCCUUGACAUUCAAGCAUAUGUUUCAUUGAUGUCCCAUCAAUCAAGGGUUCUCUCAAACAUUCCAUUUUACUAGGCUCCUAGGGAGAUGGUGGAGAUCAAUCUUUCCAAAUUCACAUGUACCUGAGGUCUAGCAUCUAACAGAACCAUUUUGACAUCGAAAGGUCCACCUGAUCUGACUGAAUUGAGGUCAUAAAGCAAUCCCUUUUAAGGCAAGUCCAUGUCAGACUUUCCCCUUCCAUCUUGGUAGUUUGUAGAUGUACAUUUCCGAUAAGUUAGGGACUUGUUUGUCCAUCUUGGUAGUUCUUACAAUACUCUGUUCGUGUGAAGUCCUCUGAGAUGCACUAAUCGAGAUAUACUCCUUUCAUCAUUUUAUUCAAAUCAUUUCACUGUUCCCGCUGCUCCAUGGUUUAUAGCAGCAUCGUCAUAUGGACUACCCAUCUCCACUGAUCUUACUUGUGCUUAGACUCCUCUGGAAGAAAUAUUUGAACAGAACAGCAGAAACAACGAUGGUAGCAACUGUCACCACACACAGGACAACCUCAAGUGCGUCAAUCGUUUUGCGCCAGCACAAGUGGUCCACCUUGGCAGAAACAACAAUUGUUGUGCUGCUGCUAUUGCUCCUCCUCCUCGGAGGCAUGGGACGACGCCUGCUGGUUCCAGCUUGGUCGUCACUGCUCGUUCGAAAGAGAGGCCGAAUCGGAAUCCGAAGUGACGAUCCGAAAUAAAAAUGGGAGGAGGAGAGAGUUGGAGGGGGAUGGUGGGAUAUUCGACCUGGCCUUGCUGCCUGACGCAACCAAUUCUUAACGUUGCAGUCUCACGUACACUGGAAGAUUAAGUUUGAACCAAAACUACUCAGUUCACGUACGUAUACAGGCCUGUCAUUGCUGUCUUACCAGCGUGCUAGAAGCCUGGAAAUACCUUCAUAUGAGGUAGCAAUAUAUGCAGGAUACAACCUCGCCAAGGAUUCGCUCACAAUGUGAUUCAAAUUAUUCAAUUCAUGGAAAAUAGUGUGACCCACCUAUUGUUAAGUCACCGCAUUUGGGGGUGGCCUACAAUUUUUUCACGUUCAUUGUUCUUUCUUUUUCAAAUUGUUUCACAUGAAUGAGUCGUGUAUGAAUUUGAUAAAAGCACGAGACGUGUAUAAAUCUAUUUUGUGCUUAUUAGCACCUAAGUUUGACGAGUGACUGAUUUAUUAACACUGGCCAUAAAUGAAGAGAUUUAGGGAUUUUUCUUUGCAAAAAAGUUAUUGUUACACCAUUUACGCUCUUGAAUCACACCUUGUUCUUCACUUUCUGUUGUUGUUUUGUGUUCUAACUUCUCUGUAUUUUGGAAUAACAUGAAUUUUCAGAUUAAGCUUGAAUCUGAAAAUAUUUGACUGGAGAAGUUUGCCAUCAUAAUGAAGUAAUUGCAAUUUCAUAUACCUCCACUAAUAUAAAUAAACAUUAUACCAACUAAUUGAACUGUAGAGCACCCAUUUGUCCAACAAAAUGUCUCAUUCUCUUUGGCUAAAAUACAACAGAAGGCAUCCCCACGAAAUCUUUCUAAAUGUUCCGAUUAUAGCAAAACUUACUUCAAUGCUCUAAUGCACACAACGUAAAUCACCGAAUGUGACAUUGAAAAUGCCCAUUGACAAAAUAAGAUCCCAAGGGCAAAUCGGAAAGAUCGUAAAGAAUCUGGAAUGGAACAGAUCGCGUUUGAGGGUGAUGGUUGUUCUGACAUGCUUGAUUGCUGCAAAGUGAGGCGAUACUCAAGCUUUUCAAGUUCAAGAGAUUGGAAAUGCUAUCAUCAGCUCGUCGCUCGGUAUGAAUAUGUAGACAGAGAAGAAUUUCUAGGAGUCUUGGCACUUGGGGGUAUCUCAACACAUGUCGGUUUCAAAAUCUUCCAAGAUGAACAUCUCCAGAUAUCAUAGGAAUUUUUUAUUAGCAAAUUUUCACUAAGCUUUGCAUCUAUUUUUCUCGCCUUUUAUGCUUCCAUUUUGCACUAGUUAUCAUUCUGAUGACAGAGAACCUCAUCUUCAAUACUUUCAAAUACUUCAUGUUCUCGAUUUCAAAAAAAAAAAAAAAAAAUACUUCAUGUUCUCGACCAAACCAGGCAGCUUCUCUAUGUCCAUGUUCAAUUUAUCGAACUCAACAAAUGAUUCCAAAUUCCAGAUUGAGUCCAGUAGUGUCUUUAUUGACUUGCAGUUCUUGAAAGACUAGUGUUCGAGGCUUACGAUGGAUCCACUUGAGUUGGGAAGCUCCACGAUCCCAGCUCCUCACAGAGAAAGCCUCGAUAGGGAAGUUAGGUGACAGAUUGAAGGUUUUAUAGUCAAUGAGGAACGAUGGGAAGCACAGAGGACCUGCAAGCUCUUCAAUUCUUGACAUUCAGGCAUAUGCUUUAUUGAAGUUAUACAACAAUCCCUUUUUAAGGCAGUUAAGUCCAUGUCAAACUUUACCCUUCCAUCUUGGUAAUUCGUAGAUGUAUAUUCCCUUUUAAGAUAGAGAUUAUCGAUGUUUGUCCAUAAAAACCAGCAUGCAAAAUUGCAAAUCGAUCAAAGUCAACGUGGCUAGCAAGCUAGUCACCAUAUCUUUCUCCCAAAAAUCAUGUACUUUUAUUCGUGUGAAGUCCUCCAUCAGGUACUAACCGAGUUAUCCAGAGUUAGAUUCAUCUACUAGUAAGAAUACUUUGAGGGACCUUGUUUAGAUUUCUUAUACUUGUUUCAUUGUUUGAUUCCAUCAUUUCUCCGUUCACGCUGCUCCAUGUUUUAUAGCAGCAUUGUUAUUUGGUUUGCCCUCUCCAGUGAUCUUACUUGUUGCUCUCAGUCUUCUCUGCUCCAUGGUCUAUAUUAGCAACUGUCGCCACACACAGUGCAACCUCAAGUGGUGAAUCAUUUCGCACCAGUACAAGUGGUCCACCUCAGUAGAAACAACUGUUGAGGUGCACGAGGAUUGGGGGUGGUCUGACUUGGCCUCCCCGCCCGAGUUGCAAUGGGUUAGGAUUUUUAUUUUAUUUUAAUAAAUUAAAAAGUGUGGGAAGAGAUGACCUACGGUUUUCCAUUCUUGUUGUUACAUAAAGUGUUAUGUACGUUACAAAAUAUCUCCAUUGAGCCAUAACCACUCGAUCUAUCGACAAGUGUGCGAGACUAUCACCAUAACUAAUAUGCCAAAAGCCUGAAAAUCAUUCCACGUAACGUGGUGAAUACCUAAAAUAUUGACAAGUGAAAAGUUUACUCAUGACAUGAUUCGAACUCAUGAAUUAAUAAAAGAUGGCAUGAUCCCUUCAUCAUUGGGUUAUCGUGCUUGGGGUUGGAUUGCGAUUGCGACUUUUUCAUGUUCAAAUAUAUAUAUUUUUUGUGCUUAUAAAAUUUGACUUAAGUCAAAUGAGGAGUUAAUGUGUUUAUGUUACCAAUAAAAGAAGAGGUUUGAUGACUGGUUUCUAUAAAAUUGAUUAAUUUACUCUUCAUAAUUUUCUCUUGAGGUUCACUUAUUAUUUAACUUCGACCUUUUUGUUCUGUGUACUAACUUUUAUGUGCUUUUAUAAACAUUUGACUGUGAAUAUAAAUAUGUGAGAGCCACCAAACAUCGAGCAUGCCACGCAUCGGGGUUCGUAUAUUAUUUUGUUUGUGUGAGUUAAUUGCGAUUUAAGGAAAACAAAUCUUCCACAUUAUUUGAUAAUUUGAAAAUGACAUUUUGUGACUUUUGUUGCGUGAGGUUACAAACUCUUUUUACUUUGAACACAGCCGAUGAAAAAGUCUAAUGACUUUUGUUCUCAAAGAUUAUGGACCUUUUUACUUGUUUAAAUCUUUUACAUGUAAAGUAUUCAAUCCCAAUGAUUGUAUAACUCAUAUAUUAAAUAAGCAAUUAUGAGAUGACGAUGGCAUCAUUUUAUAAGAUAGUGAUUGGUAUGAUCGUAUUCGCACUAAAUAUUUUGUAAAUUCUAAAUAAAACAACCCAGCUCAAACUAUUGCAUAUACGUUCAUCUAAAAAUAAAAUUAAAAACUAUCGAAUCCACUUCCAUAUAAAUUUUAAAGAAAAGAAUUCAUCCGUCCUAAUAAGUCACAUACUCAAACUCUUUUUCAACUUGAGAGAAGUGGGCUCCACAAUCCACAAUUAAGCUCAACUCACUUGUCUUGGAUGUUGAAUAAUAUUCUUUUCAAGUUCGAAUAUUAUUGGCAAAGAAAAAGUUUGAAUAAUUCGAGUUAUUGGAUUGAUUCGAGCGGAAAAAUUUUACUCAAGAAGCUUGUGAUCAGAGGAAGCGCCAAAAGAGGAAGAGACAGGGAGAACGGAAAUUUGUCCAGGAGGACGCCUCAUUUUAGCCAAAAUUCCUUUAUUGCCCUCACGGAAACGACGAAAUCACCGGACGUGACACCGAAUUUGCCCGUCGACAGAGCGAGAGCCCGAGGUCAAAUCAGGAAAAUUCGCAAAUCCGUCGUCCUCUCCUUCUCUUCCCCCCACCCAAAAAUAAAAGCUCGCCGUAGCUUUCGAUCGCCAUCCGCCGCGAAAAUCGCUACGGAGUCCACGAACGCUGCGAAGACCACGAUUCGAAGGUUGAAUUCGAGCAAUGCGGACGAAGACCGCAAUCGAUCUCUCCACCUCGCCGGGCGAUCGCGCCAUUUUGAUUGCGUGAGAUUGGAAUGAUGUUGUUGCUCGGCAGAAUGUGGAGUUGAGGGUGAUGGUUGUUCUGAAGUGCUUCAUUGCCGCGGGUGGAGGCCAGAGGUAAUUGCAAUUCAUGUUCAUGUAAUCAGUUACUGCUCUGAUCCUCCCACUUGAUUGGGAUUGAGAGUCUAGUAUCGACCAUGUCGGUUUUGAGGUUGGACAGUGAGGUUUGUAGCGUGAAUUUGGCGGAUUAGGCAUUUCAGGGUUGGGGGGAAUCGCUGACCGUGUUGUGGAGCUGUAGUGCCUGAUUUAAUGGGGCAUACUAUGGCUGAAUUAUUUGGUUGGAUUAGCUAAGCUCUUGGAUUACUGAGUUUGGAUCAAUACUACAACUGGAAUAUGGUCAUAUUGAUACAAAUAUUUCAUCCUGCUGUUUCUAUUUUGGGGGUAAAAAUUUGUUGAGUGUCUCACAGUGAUUGACUAUCGGCUAUUUGGCUUUUCUCCAGUCAAGUAAUGGACUGUAGCUUGUAGGUUUCAGCGGACAAGCUUUAUGGGAAAGAGGAGCCUUAUGUUGUUUACUCAUUCGCCUUUUGUUGCAUUUGAACAUAUAGUUCUUUAAGUUCACGAACAUGGAUGGCAAAAAUAUACUGAAAUAUUAUUUUGAGUUGAUGUUUCCUUGAAGUGUUCCUCUUACUUGAUUGUCGAAAUAGCUUGCUAGAGACAUAAGAAACUUGCUCUAUUGCUUGUCAUUAAAUGAGUUUUUGACCACAUUUUCAAUGUGAAAUUUUCUCAACUGGUAAAUGCAGAACUCAGAGUGAGGUCCAAGGCUUGUAAAGCUGUUUACAAUCACAUUCUUGCCAUGACAUCGGCGGAGUAUGCAUCUGCUGUAAGUGUUCUUUAUAAGGAUUUUCAUAUUUACCUAGAGCUUGUUGUUGUUAUUACUCUUCAGGUUUCACCAUUUAAAUACAAUAACAUUGUAACUAGAUGCGCAGCUUUUUAUUUUGCAGGUUUAAUGUCAUAUUUGACAGAGCUUGGUAGUUGGACUUGUCCUAGAUGUGAUGGAAAGACCAAGGUAAUUUAAUAUGGUUUGAUAUGACAUUGUUGCUAAGGUUGCCUGAAGAAUGGAUCCUCAGUACAGUAUUAAAUGCCAAUUCUUCUGAUGAGAUUUUGUGGGCAUAUGCUGCCUCCUCUUAUUAGAUUCUGAACUGGUAAUUAAUGCCUUUUGAUAUGAAAGCAGGGGUUUGAAUUCAUUGAAUUGAUAGUGGGCAUUCACCACUGCUUACACGCAGAUUAUUUGGUUGCAGUGGCUUACCAAUCUGCAAUGCUUGCGAUGCCUAUAUGUUUAAAUUGCAUCUAAUAGUUUAUAUCUAUUUCUAAACGUACAUAUAUGUUUCCUGUAGGCAUACGUUGGGGUGGCCAAGGAUCUUAAUGCCGUGAUUAUAGCUUUUAGAGGUGCACAAGAACAUAGGUAUGCAUCUUAACUUUAGCAACUCUUCUCCUUACAAAUGACUUGCAAAGGUUUUGAUGAAAAUUUAAGCUAAGAAGAGCAGCCUCCUGUGAGUGUGUACACGAGACCCAUGGGUCGACUGUCCAUAAGAAGGGAAAAGGGUGAAUCAUUUCCACCAAGAUGCGAAAGUUACCUUUUUGUAAUUUGAGAUUGGUUCAUGAGAAGAUCACAUACUUCACUAAUUUUGUUCUGUGAAAAAUUCUAUCACCUCUCUGUGUCAUUUGAGCUUUUCAGUUAGUGAUUACUUCUUUUUAUGUCUACAGCAUACAGAAUUGGGUUGAAGAUCUCUAUUGGAUAGUGGAAACAGCUUGAUGUACUACCCUGGCAUGCAUGGUGCCCUGGAUAGCUCUAAAGAUGAUUAUGCCUCUUGCAAGCUGUGGAUUUUUCUCGUUUGGAUUGAGUUACAGUCUUACUCUAUUGAUUUCUGCUUGGGUUAAUCAUGGAUUUUACUAUUCUUAUCUUGAUAUGACAAUUCAACCUGGUUUUUUGGAUGCUGUUAUAAGAACCAAGGAUUUAUAAGGGGACAUCAAUUUCAUGGUGACAGAGCAUUCUAUGGGAGGGGCUAUGGCAUCCUUUUGCGGAAUUGAUCUUGUGGUAAGAUAGUUAAAAACUGCUAUGGUCUGGAAUUGUGAAUUUUAUCGUUUUUUUUUCCUAUUGUGUUCUUCCAAUAUUCAGAUGAUAAUCUGUUAAGAGUCAUCUAGAAUUCUCUGCCAAAUCUUUGUUGAAGAGUCUAGGCUCUUUAUGUCGAUCUUGAACUUUCUAUUGCUCUCAUAUUUAUAUUCACAAUUCAUCAUAGACAGCAUCUUGUUUUCUUUCAGUUUUGGUAAGUCAAACCAUAGACAAAACACAAGCAGAAUGGGGUGCAAAUAGCCAUUUAUGCUAACCACCAAUUGUUUAAGUAUCUAGCAAUGUAAAUUGAGUCUUACCCAUAAAGCUAUGGAGCUUCAAGUUGGUCAAAUACCUAAAUAUAGUGGAUAAGGUCACUUCCAACUAAUCAUUACAAGGUUUACUUACUUGCUGGAAAAUUUAUGGAAUUGUCGAUAUGUUUAUGGUCUGGACAUAUAACUUUUUAAAGGACUUGAAGCUCAAGUUAUAUGUCAUGUAAUCUUGAAGUGCUAAUGCAUUUUAAGAUAGAUUAUAUAUCAAUCCUAAAUUUGUGUUUGGUGUACUGUUUCUAUCUAAGUCUCUCUCUAAUCAAAAGAAGCAGCUCCUCUUCAGUAGGACUACAAGGCCAGAUAUGUUGUAGGCUGGAGCCAAUGCUAAGAUGUCUAAAAUAUGCCUUUUUUCUCAGCUUUAUUGGACAGAGUGUUCCAGGGUACAUUUGGAGGCACCUGUUGCUCAACUGGUACCAGAAAUGGUGCCCAAUCCAAAAUCAUGUCCCAUUGAUUCUCUUCUCCAUGAAAAGUGGUGAUUUUUUAGAGUUAAACUUUAUCUUGAAGUCUGAUUACACUCAUGUUCAUGUGGCCUAUGAUAGGAUCAUAGGUUGCAUGGACUUUAGACUAUACCCUUUCUCAAAAUAUUAGUAGCAAGUAUAACAUCUUGUCAUAAAACUUUUAAACGAUUUAAAAUUUUAUUUUUGUUUACUGGUUUCUUGCUGAAAAUUUUGUCGAGCCAAUUGUGACGUCAUGCCCAUUCAUUGCGAUCCUUUUUAAGAUUGACUUUGUCCUUCGCUACUUUUGACAGUAAGUUUUGUAGUUCAAGGGGCAUUUUCACCAUGAACCAAGAAUUUUUUGUUUAUGUUAUUAGCAGGAUGUGACUCACCCCACCAACAUUCAAGUGCUUCUUGUGGAAGCAAUUAAAUGCGCUUCUGUUGUAAAUUCAUGUCCAAUCCCACUAUUCCAUAUUAUUAACACCUUUUUGUGGUGCUGAGGGUGGGUUUGGUUUUGUUGUGUGUGGGGUUUGGUGUUGGGAAACUUAUGGAUGGGAUCUUGACGGAGUUAACGCUAGACCUUCAAUUCUUAUGGAGACAAAGGGCUGUUCUAUUGUUCACCUUUGUAUAUGAAAUGCAAUAUAUGGUUAUUGAUGCAUAGUGUUUUUUUCCCAUCUUGGAAGGGCUAUUGAUGUAUUGACAUUCAAGUUAUUUGGCUGUCUAAUUAUGUGUGCUGAAACUGUCUUUUCCAGACCAGCAUUCGCCUGAUUUACUUAACCGAAACACUUUAUUUCCUGGUUAAUCAUGAAGCACAGAAUAUUCAGGUUUAAACAUUUGGACAACUCUGUAUUGGCAAUGCAGUGUUUGCAUCUUACUACAGUGACUGCAUACCAAAAACAUUACGUAUUCCUCCUGGACAAGAUUUUUUGUCUUAUUUGCCUCCGUACUAUUUUUGGUUCCCACAGAAGACAUACCAUCAAUUCCCUAGAGAGUUUUGGUGUUGAUCUUGACAGAAUAUCAAAUAAAUUAUGGGGAAUUGUUGAUGACUGAAUUUGAGGUUUGCUUUGCAUUUCUUUCAACCUGUCUAACAAGUGAAGUAUCAUAUAUUCCGGCAUUGUAUGUGUCACAAAACUGAUUAGAGAACCCGCAGCAAGUAGAAAGAGAGAAAGAAGGAAGAGAGAAGGAGGAGAAAGAGAACGUAAAAGAAAGAAAGAGAGGGCUGUAGUUUUUCUGUAAUCAGAAACCCUACACCCAUUGUAUUUAUAUUGAAUAUAAAUUGUAUAUAACAAUAAUAUCCUUAUGUAAGUAAAAAAGGAAAUAAAACUCUGAUAAUAAAGGAAACUCAAUUAAAGUAACUUAACACUCCCCCUCAAGCUAGAGCAUAUAGGUCACCCAUGCCUAGCUUGGAACAACCAACAACAAAAGCAGGAUGAAAUAAUGCUUUGGUAAACAUAUCAACAAAUUGAUCUCUAGAGGCAACGUAAGGAGUAGCAACCAUAUUCUGCUUCACAGCAUCACGAACAAAGUGACAGUCAACUUCUAUAUGUUUAGUUCGCUCUUGAAAAACAGGAUUCCCAACAAUAUAAAUGGCUGCUUGAUUAUCACACAUCAUGUCAAUAGGUUGAUUAAUAGAAAAUCCAAGCUGCUGGAGAAGAGAUUUUAACCACAACAAUUCAGCCACAGUAUGUGCCAUAGCACGAUAUUCAACCUCUGCACUAGACUUGGCAAUGGUAGUUUGUUUCUUACUUCUCCAAGUAACCAAAUUACCACCAAUAAAAGUGCAAUACCCAGUUGUAGACCGUCGAUCAUAUGUUGACCCAGCCCAAUCAGCAUCAGAAUAGCCAACCAAAGUGGAAGAACCAUUAGAUUUAUAAAUGAGUCCCUUACCAGGAGAGCUUUUAAGAUAUCGAAGAAUGCGACAUACAACAUCCCAAUGAGCUUUCUUAGGUGACUCCAUAAACCGACUCACCACGCCAACAGCAAAAGAAAUAUCGAGACGUGUAACAGUAAGAUAAAUUAGUUUCCCAACUAGACGCCGAUAUUGAUGCUUGUCUUCAAUUUCUUUUCCAUCAUCAACUCCAAACUUUUGAUUUUGAUCCAUAGGAGUAUCAACUGGCUUGGAAGCUAGUGUACCUGUCUCAGACAAAAGAUCAAGAACAUACUUUCGCUGAGACAAAUUAAUACCUUUUUUACUUCGUAAAACUUCAAUUCCCAGAAAAUAUCUAAGAGUUCCCAAGUCCUUAAUCUGAAAUUGCUGCUGAAGAAAUGAGUUAAUCUCAAAAAUGCCAGUCACAUCACUACCAGAGACAAUUAUAUCAUCCACAUAUAUCACAAGAAUGACUACCCCCGAUUCCUUCUUGCGAACAAAAAUAGAAUGAUCAGAAUAAGAUUGGUGGAAUCCACAUCUGGAAAUCACCGAACUGAAUUUUUCAAACCAUGCUCUUGGAGACUGUUUCAACCCAUAAAUUGCCUUAUGUAGCCGACAUACUUUACUACGAUUCUCCCCCUGAGCAACAUACCCAGGAGGUUGCUCCAUAUAUACUUCUUCAGACAAAUCACCAUAAAGAAAAGCAUUUUUGAUAUCUAAUUGAUAUAAUGGCCAAUCGAAAUUCACAGCAAGAGAAAUAACAACACGAACAGAGUUGAGACGUGCCACAGGGGAAAAAGUCUCAAAAUAAUCCACUCCAUAAGUUUGAGUAAAACCUUUAGCAACGAGUCGAGCUUUAAGACGCUCGAUUGAGCCAUCCGGAUUGUACUUGAUAGUGUACACCCAACGACACUUCACCACAUCUUUCCCAAGGGGAAGAUCAACUAAUGACCACGUUUGGCGAGAGACUAGAGCUUCCAUUUCCACAUCCAUAGCUUUCUUCCAUUCAAGGCGAGACAAAGCCUCAGUGGUAGAAGUAGGGAUUGUGUGAGUUUGUAAUGAUAGAGCAAAGUCAUGUAAUGGAGAAGGAAUAUGUGAGAGAGACACAUAACGCUCAAUAGGGUAAGCCAAAGAGGAUUUUUGUGUGCAAGACCGAGUACCUUUGUGAAGGGCAAUAGGAAGAUCGUCUGGACUAGGAGACAAGGAGGAAGAUUGAUUGGAGGGCAUUGAAGAGCUUGAGACUAGUGGUGCCGUAGACUGCUUUCGCUGCUGAUACACCUACAAUGGAGGAAAUACUAGAGACGGACUAACAGAAUCUAAGGAGAUUUGUUGUGGGAUAGGAGGAUCAGCUACAAUGUCAGUUGAAAACUCUUUACCCUCAGUAGAAUAGUAUGGUGUGCCCUCGAAAAAAGUAACAUCAGCACUAACAUAUUGAGUAUAAGUUGUAGGAUCAUAACACCGAUAUCCCUUCUGUGUAUGUGAAUACCCGAGAAAAAUACAUUUAGUAGCACGAGGAGAUAGUUUAUCAAAACCGGAACGUAGGUUAUGAACAAAACAGACACACCCAAAGACACGCGGGGUAAGAGAGAAUAACGGCUUGUCAGGAAAUGCAACACUGAUUGGUGACUGAUGAUUGAGGACAAUGGAAGGCAUACGAUUUAUGAGGUAACAUGCGGUAAGGACAGCAUCACUCCAAAAUGAUUUUGGCACAUUCAUAUGAAAUAAGAGUGAACGAGCAACUUCUAGAAGGUGACGGUAUUUUCUCUCGGCCACACCAUUCUGCUGAGGGGUAUAAGUACAACUUAUUUGAUGUAUAAUGCCAAGAUUAGAACAAAACAAAGAAAUUGAUUUCUGUGUAUAUUCUAGAGCAUUAUCUGUUCGCAAAAUUUUCAGGGAUGUAUUAAACUGAUUAGUAACCUCACGAUGAAAUAAUUGAAAAACAUGUAAAAAUUCAGAGUGGUCAUGAAGCAUAUAGAGCCAUGUUAAACGAGAAUAAUCAUCCACAAAAAUAACAAAGUACUUAAAACCAUUUCUACUAGCAAUACGGGAAGGUCCCCAGAUGUCCGAAUGAACAAGUUCAAGUAAAGUAGAUGCACGAGAAUCACUACGACUAGGAAAUGAACUACGAUGAUGUUUCCCAAGUUCACAAGCCUCACACUCAAGAGUAGAAAUUGAUUUACACUCGGGAAUUAUUUGUUGUAACUUAAAUAAAGAUAAAUGCCCUAAACGAGAAUGCCAUAAUAGGGGGGUAAUAGAACUAGCAGCUAGACCAUUGGCGUCAGCAGUGGAGAGACCAUUGAGAUAGUAGAGUCCAUCACAUUCAUGUCCUCCACCAAUCAUCUUCUUUGUCUGAAGGUCCUGAAAAAUGCAAUGAGAUGGAUAAAAUGUAACUGAACAACUAAAAGCUUUAGUUAACUGACUAACAGAUAACAAAUUUAAAGGAAGUUGGGGGACAUGUAAAACAGAGGACAAAGAUAAGGAAGAUGUAAGUGAAACAGUCCCUGAUCCAACCACUUGAGUCGAUGAACCAUUAGCUAAAAUAACUUCGGAUGAAGGACUAGAAUUAGUGUGGGAAGAAAAUAGUUCUUGCUUACCCGUCAUAUGACUAGAAGCCCCCGAGUCAAUGACCCAAGAGGCGUUAGGAGACAAAGUAGAGAAAGAGGCCAUGUUACCUGUACGUGCAAGAGUAGCAGUGGAUGAGAAAUUGGAAGCCUCUAGUUGUUUGACACGUUUGAUGAGUUGUGCAACCAUAUCAUCUCGAGUCGUAGACUCAGAAGAACUACCCCCAAGUGGAAGAGAUGGGUUCAUGUCGUUGUAAGACACAUUUCGAGCACUCUCUUCAGACAUAGCAGCAUUUGCAAUAACCUUGGCCCAACAAGUGUCAACAAUAUGACCGAAUUUGCCACAGUGUAUACACUGACGGCUAUCUCGAUCAGAACUUUGUCCACUACGUCCACCACCGCGACUACGAUUUCCCCCGAAACCACGACCUCUAUUGGAAAAUCCACCACGACCACGACCACCACUACUAGCCACAAAUGCUGAAUUGUCUUUAGAUGAAGUAGAAGACGGAGGGAUAAUGCGCUGAAUUCGACAAAAUGCUUCAUUCAUAGAAGGAACUCUCUCUCCAGCAAGAAGCUGACUCUUCACAGGCUGUAAGUCAACAUUCAAGCCAGAUAGAAAUUUGGCCACUUGAAAUUCAGCUCGUUGUGUCUUUAGUCUCUCAAGAUUAGUAGUGAUGGGCUGAUAAAGAUUGAGUUCUUCCCACAUACCUUUCAAAGCACUAUAAUAUUCUCCAAGAGAUUUGUUUCCCUGUUUAAAAUUAAAAAUCUUCUCAUAUAGUUCAUAAACUCUAGACAUAUUUUUGUCUUGUGAGUAACUCUCCAUAAGAUCAUCCCACACUCCUUUAGCAGUUGUGUGGAACAUGACAUUAGCAGCGAUGGAUGGUUCCAUGCUAUUCCAUAACCACACCAGAAGUGUAUCAUUCUCUCUCAUCCAACCAUUAUAGUCUCUAGAAUUUUCAUCAGGAGGGUCUCUGGUAAGAUAAUGAAGUUUCCCUUUGGCAUUAAUAUAGACCUUCACAGCUUGGGCCCAUAACAAGUAAUUGGAGGAUCCAUUUAAUUUAAUAGUGGUAAUUUGAACGUUGACACUAUUUGUAGAAGCCUUAGUAUCACUCAUGAUGAUAAUCUCAAUAUAAGUAUAUCUACCACUAAUCAAGGAGGCUGAAACUUUAGUGCAAGUAACAAAGCAGCAACGCUAAUGUAUAAUCAGAUGUAAUUGGCUUCAUCAAUUAACCAAAGGGAUGCUGAAAACUCAUAAAUAGAGACUGCUGUAUAGAAGAAAAUAUCUGACUAGAAAUCUCGAUUCAAAUAAUUAUAUGUUUGACGGAAAACCAGCAAGACUAGUCAACCAUAAUCAAUAGAAUAUUCUGAUUCUUGAAUCCGCUGAUCAGCAAGUGUUGUAAUCCAUGUUCAUAAACCGAACCUGAUGAAUCCGAUAUCUUCUGAUCUCAUAUGUAUCGAGACUUGAAGAGAAAACAGAUAAAAAUUGCAGCUUUAGGUGGCUACGCACCAGAGAAGAAGUAGAGUUACUAGGGGACUCUCAAACCAGCAAUAUGAUUAAGUAAUCAGAUAGUUAGACCUACUCUGAUACCAUGUCACAAAACUGAUUAGAGAACCCGCAGCAAGUAGAAAGAGAGAAAGAAGGAAGAGAGAAGGAGGAGAAAGAGAACGUAAAAGAAAGAAAGAGAGGGCUGUAGUUUUUCUGUAAUCAGAAACCCUACACCCAUUGUAUUUAUAUUGAAUAUAAAUUGUAUAUAACAAUAAUAUCCUUAUGUAAGUAAAAAAGGAAAUAAAACUCUGAUAAUAAAGGAAACUCAAUUAAAGUAACUUAACAGUAUGUACUCUCUUUUUUCAGCUUAUAAAUUAUGACUGUCUUGUUUGUUUUUCUUCUUAACAAAGCAGGGUAGUAUGUAGGACUCAUCACGUUAUAAUUUACUUCAUGAUGAGUUUUUCAUAUCAAUUCCAAAGUUUAAGGCACAUAAUGAUGUUUAUUAUACUCUCUCUCUCUCUCUCUCUCUCUCUCUCUCACACACACACACACACACACACACACACACACACACACACACACACACACACACACACACACACUAUGUAUGUCUACUAAUGCGUAUAAUUAUUAGUGACUAGCUCAAGGACAGCCACGGUUGAACAUAUUAAUGUGAGAUGAAAAUGAUUUGAUUCCACCUGCUUCUCUAAUGACUAAUCAUACUAUGUAUGUCUACUAAUGCGUAUAAUUAUUAGUGACUAGCUCAAGGACAGCCACGGUUGAACAUAUUAAUGUGAGAUGAAAAUGAUUUGAUUCCACCUGCUUCUCUAAUGACUAAUCAUACUCGUAACAGUUUUCAUGUAAUCGGAAUCUUCCCUUUAUUGUAGGUAUGGCUAUAUAACAUAGGCUUUGGUAGUUAUCAGGUUGAGAAAGUUUGUGAUACCUCAGGAGAAGAUGCAUCAUGCAGCAAGUGAUGAGCUAGUUUCAGUCGAAGCUACUUGUUCAAACAAUUAUUUUGUGGAUUUAUCAUGCAAAAUGCAAUAAGCCGUGAUGGACCAGCUUGUCCUAGAGAAUGUCCUUUGUUACUAGGAAUAUUUGUGGACAACUGAUCAGGGUAUUUUCCUGCAGAUUGGUAACCGGUAACAGCAUUGUGGACCAUUUAGUCUCUCUAUAGUGUGCAAUUAAUGGCUAAAACAUGAGAAUCAUGCAAAAUCGUCACGGACACUAUUGACGAAAUGUGGAGGCGAAGAUGUCAAAGGAAAUCUUAUGCUUUCCAGGAAUCCUUUUGUUUCUGCAUUGAGGCCGCAUUCAGACUCUGAUGCCAAGAGGAAAUUCAGUUGAAAUGCUCCUGGGUCAGUACCUGGAUUCUCAAAGAUCAUCAGGGACCUUUGUGAUGAAGUUUGGUCACAAAAUGCAUUCCAUCGAUCUGUUGUCCAUAUCCAUCACAAGAUACAGAGGAGCUCUACUCUAAUUUACUCUGAAUGUAAAUAGCACAAAGUUGAAGGUAUCAUCCUUGUAAAUACAACUCCAUGGUUUCAAUUGAAUAAAUAUGUUCGCAAGUUUGCCUGUCAAUCUGUUAUUGGGCUUGGGGCUUUGUUACCUGACUUGAUGUGUGGAUGCUGAGCUGAGCUACAUUCAUAGUUGAAUGACGCAGCUAUUUUCCCUUGGUUUAAUGUGUUGAAGAAAUCCUUGAAACUGUAAACAGAAAAGACAAUCGCCAGAGAUGACCAAAAGCUAGUUUGCUAGACAUGGUUAUACUGUUUCGAUAGGAUAUUGCAGCGUAAUUUCACUGUGACAAAGUCAACGAUGCCUGGUGUACACCGUCCAUUCGUUUCCAAUGUACAGCCAAACAGCAGUGUGGUUUUGUGCUCUUCAGUAUCUAAUGCAUAAUGUAAGGUUCAUCAGUGAUUUCGUGGAUGAUUCCGACAAUUUGUUUUCAAUAAUCUAACCGCAGCGAUUGAGAGUCCACUGGGGAAGAAUGGACACAAAACAUCAGAUCCCUAUCCGAAAUUAGGACGGGCACAUGCCCACAUUGUCAGGCAUAUCGGAGAUAAAGAUGUCCACUGUUAAUGAUUGUUCAAAUAAGUUUUAGCACUAGGCUCCAAACUCAUCAUAGAGUACAAUUUAGGAAAAAAAAAGAAUGGCUCCUCAUAUCUAAGCACGAAAAUUGGUUCUUUAUGUGCUGCGACGCUCUCAAAAUUUUCUCUGUCAAGGACUUGCGGACAUCGUGAGACCAUUAGUCUAUAGGAAUUUCAAGCUCAGAAUAAAAUACUGAUACACUGCUAUACAUUUGAUAUGUCAAAACAAAAAAUAAAGCGCCAAUAUUGUGGUCAUUAUUUCAAGUUUAGCUCAACCGCAUUUGAACAAGUAUAUUUGUUCUAAGUCCUUUAAAAUCUAACUCUGCGACUCUAUCAUUAUGAUUUGACAUGUGAUUCAAGGUCCUCUUGUUUUCAACUUCUACUUCUGAUGAGUGUAAAACCACAAGGCGAUAGCAACAAGGGGAGUGAUAUGUAGGAACAACGAUCAUCUCUCCAACCCCAAUGCGCACAUAAAAAAUCCCAUAAAUCACAUCCAGUAGCUCCAACCCUUGAGUCUGUUCUCUGUUUGACAAUUUUUGGUGUCAAGAACCGAACUACAUCACUGUAAUUUUACGUAACUAAGGUAUAAAAGCUGCUUAAGAUUAGUUAUGGGAUUCUCGCGAUGCUGCUUCUUCGAUUCAGUUGCUCUUUGCUACUUCUCCGGUUGCUAAAUGAGCCACAAUUUCCUGCAAAGAAACAUAGUUCCAUUAACUUUGUUAAGAGUUAACCAUCUCAAUCAGAAAACCAGCUCAAAAAGUCCGUCUGAGAUGUUUGUACCUCUUGGUCUCAACGUCAAUGUUUAAUGCGUAGUAAAUGUAUCAAAAUCAAUGGAAAAGAAUGGGUUGUGUAGAUUAGCGUGAAUAUAAUCCACGUCAAGACAUAUGUCUGCGAACCUGUACAUGUGAUCUUAUGAUCCCGAAUACAUGUAUCUAUUAUUCUAACUCAGCAGUUAAAUUCUCGGAAGAGUCAUUCAAGUACAUCAUCAGGAGCAGAGUCAUUUUCCUUCUUCCCCAAUUCCUCUUCCUUUUCCAGUCCAGUUGGAUUCUUCUCUUCCACCACCACUUUAUCUUACUCGCCCUCCUUCACACGUUCAUGCCGAGGCAAGUUGUACUCGGAGGAGAGGCCCUCAGACACGAUCCCUUCCGGCACUUCCUCGUCUCUUCUGGGAGAGAAGUAAUGAUCCGGCGAGUCGUGGGAUGUGAACCUCCCUGGCUCUGCCUCUUCCUCUUCUACUAGCGGUUCUGUCUCCGGCUCUAGCUCCUGCUCCAGCUCAAUCUCCUUUUCUUCCUCUACACGCUUCUCUUCCUCUCUGUCUUCAUCCUCGGCCUUUGUUUCUUCUUCUUCUUCGUUCUCUUCUUCUUGUUCAGACUCGGGAUGUUCAGUUAUGUCCUUAACAUCAGCCGCAUUUUCUGUAUCCUGGCUCACCGCAUUAUUGAUUUCUUGUUGCACGAGUAAUGCCGCACCUCUCCCAAUUGCUUCCAUCUAAAUAACGUUCUGUUCCACUUGUUUGUUCUUCUCGGGAUUGGCGCUCGAAACUCCUACUUUUGACUCCCCGCAACCCAUUGUCAUAAAAAGGAACGUCAAUCGAGAGGAAUUUGAUUGGGGUAUUGAUUCUCUCUGCCUUUGUGCAUCAGAUUGAAAUGAAGUUUCGGCUUUUGUCUUCUUUGCCCGUUGCAGUUUUGAUUUGCUGAAGCGGGUUGUAUCCGUGGUUGACAAAACGACAGAUCGUUUCUUGUUAUCGGUGGGGUUUUCCUUUCUUUGUCUUUUUUUUUUUUUUCAACCCAACCUUAGUUCAAUGAAAAACAUACUUUACAAUUAACAUAUGAUGCAUCCAAGCAAAAUUCAAUAUUGAAAAGACCGAAUUAUUCCCACUCAAAAACUUGUUUAAAUCUCUUGCUCCAUGUUUGAGUGAUUUAAUUUUCAGUUGGUUUUAAGUGCUUUUGAUAGGUAAGAAUUUAGGAUUUGUGAAUUGACAUUUUUCGAGAGAUAAUGACAUUCUUUUAUAAAAAGAAACACAAGGCUAAUAGAUGUAAAAAUGUAGAAAAUGAUAUAUAUAUAUAUAUUUAUAUUUUUUAACAUCAAUCGGCCUCAUGAACCAAAAUUCAUAUGGUCGUCAAACAUGGAAUUGCUUACACUUAAUCACGUUGAAAAUUGAACUUAGCCAAUUUUUCAAAUUCACAUAUAAAUUAUUUUCUGAACCACUAAAUCAAAAUAGACAAAGAGUAAAUAUGUUAGAAAGUGAAAUAUCAUAAAAAGAUGAAUUAUAAUAAUGUUAACAAAUUAACAAUCCAAAUAUUACUAAUUAAUCCCACAAAUGGUUUACUUCACCAAAUGGAAUUUAAAUUUCUCUCGAGUUGCCAUAAUUUAUUUUUUCCUUAGGCUAAAUAAUAAGCAUCUCCAAACAUAUAUCCUCUCUACAUAUAUUACGCCAUCUUCUUCCAUCUUGAGAGUGUCGUUUGCAAAAGUUCUUUUAAUUGUUCCACACCGUAAGUGGCCAUGGACGCCGCCACAGGAGAACAUCAAACUUCAGUAGUUAUCAGUUCGAGCUGUUUCUAGUAAUUACGCUCUUCAUAAUUUUCAAGAAAAAUAAAUCUAAUCAAACUGCAGUUCCAUGGUGUAACUCAUUUUAGGAGAUUGCAGCAAUUAAUUGUCACUGGGAGUACAUGAUUUAAUCAGAACCUAUGUCUGUAAAUCCUUACUUAGGCUAAGAAAUUGAAUUGCAUGGUUCACUUAAUCCGUGAUGAUAGAGACUAAGGGUUGACAAAAUUGUAGGUAAGAAGGCCUUGUGGGAGCAUAAUGUCUAUUGAUUGACCCCUACAAUUGGCUCUGCAAACCAUCUUUUGGUAAUGAUGAAGUGUAUCUAUAUCAGGCAAUUCUUUUUUCCAUUUGUUUUAUUUACACUAUUCUUCUGCUAACUUGGGGUAUUGCAAUGCAGCAAUAUGCUAAAGAGCACAAAGAUGCUAACCUCAUGCAGGAAGUUAUGAAGCUUUUGAAGAAGAAUAACUUGCCAUUGCAACCCACCACGGCCGAUAUUGUUUUCAGGUUCACUUCGGUGCUGUUUCUCCUGAGAAGGAUGUUAUUAUCAUGUAGUAAGCCAUUAUUGCACUUAAUUGUGUGUUAUGUACUGCAUAGUUAUCAAGCAAUUUAUCCAAUUUAUAAGUGUCAUUUAUAUACGAUUUAAUCAACUUGUUUUUAUUUUGAAUUAUUUUGUCUGCACUGCUACUCUCGAUCUAAUAGUUUGCUCAUGUUAUUUGACAUCCUUUCUUUCCAUGGAAAAAUUUUGCAGCAUUUGUGAUGAUACAGACAAUUGGGUGUUGCUCACAAAGUAUUCAAAGAGAUUUGUCAAAAUUGGAGUGAAUUUGCAUAAAGCUGCAUUUGACAUCUGGAUGGAGUUUGCUGCAAAAGUAGGUGAGAAACACUAGCUCUGUCUCCCUUCGCUGCUCUCAAGCCCUUGUCCCUCAACAAUCUUAUUUUCCAUUUCUUCCCACAAAUAGUUUUCUCAUCCACGUCCCGCCACUUACUACAAAAGAUGGGAUGUGCUAGAAUAUUUUCUUCUGUACGGUGAUUUCUUUCUCUCCUUAAACAAAAGGGUAGAAAUAAGAAAUAAAAAGAAUUUUCGCUGCGCCAUGUCUUUCAAUGUCUUUGUUUCUUUAAUUGUUCUGAGAUUAUGCUUCUUUAUCCUAUUUAGUGGUUUGACGAAAAUUACCCUUUUCAGGAGAUUUGAAUCUCUAUGGAAAACUGAGAAGUUAAGAUGUGAGUCCAUGAAGCAGCACACCCUGGGCAGUGGAUUCUCAUGUGCGAAGGUAGUUUACAAAGGCAGACUGUUGAAAUCACAAAUAUCAGACCCUGAAAGCACUAAGUCUUCUUGCAUUAGAAAAUCUGAUAAUGGGAAAAUAUUAAUAUUGCAAUACAGAUCAGUACAAAGUUCUUGGUAAACCAGGUGAGAGGUCUAUGGCCGAAAAAAGCGAGAGUUAAUGAUUGAAUAAACCAAAUUUUGGCUCACAUCCUAGGACAUGAAACACCUAUGGGCAUGAGAAUGCUUAUUGUCACAACACAAAGGAGAUAAUAACUACUUUUUCGGUAUUUGGAAGCAUUUAUUGUGGCUUUUAGCACUCUGGUUUAAUAUUAAAAUUUAACCGACUGUCAUUUGCUUGUUUUGUGGCAAGCUAAAUGGUUUUAUAACCAAUUUUUUGUGCAGGGAUCUUUACUUGAAGGCAAACCUGAGGAGGCUGCGACAGUCAUUCAUGUCUUGAAUCAGGUCCUCCUUGCUUCUCCGAGCAUCUAUAGCUAUUAUUAAUAUGCUCAUCAUCACCAUCUGGCAUGAUUGCAAUCCUAAAUUACCUCAGCCUCUGAAUUAGUCUUCAAUUUUCCAUAUACUGUCAAGGAAUAAAGCAAUUAGUGGAAAAUAUACAGAAUUGUCCCCCAAAAUGUGCUCAGAUAAAAUUACCAUGACAUAUCCUCUCUCGAGGGGGACUGAGUGAUUUGGGUUUCAUAUUUGGUGCAUGCUAUACUAUUAAAAUAACACGGCUUAGUUCCAUGGAUCCUAAUAGAGUUCGAAAGAUCAUCUCAGACUCCUCCUGAAUUGAAUAAAGUUGGAAAUUCACCUAUGUAGGCUCUGUUUGUUCAGAUGUUGCUUCUUAGGUCUCACAAUGUGAAUGCCUUGGAUUGAUGCGAGAGUUUACCUGAUGCUAAGAGGUCCAGCAUUGUGGUUGAACUUCAAAAGCUUGUCAGUGAGUGGGUUUUCGAGGUCAUCAAAUGGAAGAAAGAAGAUGACCGCAAGGUACUUCCUUUGACUAAAUAUCCAUCACUUUGGGUAGAAGUAGAAACGUUGCUUGUUUGCAGUUAUAUAUUGCUCUGGUAAUGUUUUCUCAAUCGUUCCCUUUGCUGGAUGUAUAUAUGCUGCAUUGAACUAUCUCAAAAUUUUUAAAACCUCUCAUUCUUUUCGCUCAUGUAGGCAUUGGCUGCUUCUUUCAAAUCCAAUAUCCCGGCCAUGGUUAGUUUCCCUAUCAAACACGGGCUUGGAGGUGAAAGUGAAUAUGGAACAACUAACCACCAAAGGCGCCCUUUGUUAAAGUAUGACAGAAUUGGAGAUUAAAUGCACUAGCUGCAGAUCUGUCUCCUAUGUGGACCGCUAAGGUUGCCAUUUUAAUUUAAACCGAUUCCGCUGAGAAGCAAGACAAGCGUGGUACUCACGUCUCGAGCAACAAGCAUCUGAAGUUCUCUUGUGAAGGUCCCUGAACCAUGAAAAGAUCUGCUCCUUCUUGAUUUGAAUGUUGUCACUUCUGUACUCUGGAAUAAUGAUUCUUUUCUUUCCCCAAAAAAUCUGAGUGUAUUAGAUACGAUAGGUGCAUCGUCAGCAAUUGAAUUCUGAGAACAACCUCGGAUGACUAGUUUUUGCAGAGAGGAUUCUUUUGGCUCACGCAUUUUAGAUUGGACCAAAUGGGCAGUUAAGAGAGACAAUUGAUAAGGUGGUCCUUUCAAUUUCAAUCUGAUUUGGCAGCCUAUUUUGUUAUAUUUCUGACACAAUUUCGCUGUCCAAAAUUAAGAGUGAAUUUAAUGCCGACUCAUUUGAUGUUGGCAUACAGCGACCGCCAUGGCUUCCUGAUUUAAUCGGAUCGAACCGUCCAAUCGUGGUGCCAAAGUGCAUAACAUAAAUUACAUCCCCUUUUACGUCAUGAAAGAAAACGAAAACCUGAAUUACCAGAAAUGGCUUCGGUACCCACAUGCGUGGGUGGGUGGGUGGGUGGGUGCGUGCAUUUUGUGCAUUUUGUGCAUUUAAGGCGUAAAAGAGGCGACAAAUGCAAUCCUCUAGAAUGAAAACAUGCGCAAAUUUUAACAAUGAAUUGACAUAAUUGUAAUAGAUAUGAGACUUUUUUGGUAAUAUAGGACCAAAUUUGAAUUCAUACAAUAAGCUUACGACUGAAUUUGCGAUUCUCCUAGCUCAACACCUUAAGCAGUAAUUAAGCUCUUCAUAUGUUCACCUGCCAUAACCUAAAAAAAGUCAAGCAUGAUCAUGGUGAAAGAAAAGGUCCAAAGAAUCCUUCCCUUGGAAGCAAACAAUCGAAUCAUUCUUGUUGCCUAAAAGAAUCGAGCAUGAGCUUUGUUUACCCAACUCAACUGCAUAGACACGGAGAAGAGGCUUCAGAUAUAAGAACUUAACAGGGUACAUCACAAGAGCAGGAUCUGAUGAAAUGUAACAUCGUACAUUUUCUUUGAAGAUAUGGAAAUGAAUAUUCAAAGCCCAAGAUUAAUCCUGGGAAAAAUGGAAAAGUAUGGAACAACAAACUUUGAUUUGCAUCACAUGAAGCAAAGAACCACGUGAUAAGUGAAUUCAAGCAUCCUGUGGAAUUCUAUUGACACUGGCAGCUUCUACUGAUUCCUGUUCUGCCACAACUAUAGUCCUGGAAGGCCGCUUGUUAGGAGUCAUUUGGAGGCAUUGUAAAGCAAGCUGUGCUAUUUGGAAUGCAGAAUCUGUAUAUGUAAGGUAUAGGGAUGGUAUAAAUUUGGUUCCCAUUUCCUGCAGGUCGCAACAUUGUGAGCGACCAGCUUCUUCUAAAAUAUCCAGUGUUUCUUUUUCAGUAAUUGGAGCAUCUGCAGAAAAUGAAAAGUUAUGUGGGCAAUACAACUGUACAUUUUAUGCCAAAGGAUUCAAGUAGCUAAAAGGAAAACACACCUUGUAUUUCAUAGAGGGGAUUAUAGUGAACCUCACACCAGAAACACAACCAAAACUCUGCAUCAAUUGAAAGUAAGGUUAACAAAAGGAAAAACUCAAAAAACAUGGAGUUUCAAAAGACCAGUUGCACAUUGAACAAAAGCAACAGUAGAUCAAUUGCAAAUGUUUACACCUAGGUUUAAAAUCAAUCAAAUAUAUAUUGAGCCAUACCCAAGCAGCUGUUCUAAGCAAGCGAAAGAACAAAUAUUUAAGUUCCCCAGAUGAACAACAAGCAAAGCAUCACAAAGGAGGAUCUAUGCGUAUAUGUAUGUGAGCAACACUCUUUUUUCCAAGACAAACGAGAAGUAAAAUAUCAACUUCACAUUCAUCACAUUGCACGGACUGAUCAUUUGACCCAACAAAACAACUAUGAAGAAGACUAGCAAGCAAUACCCUAGGCAGAGGGAACUUAUAAAUCCAAUGGCCCAACAAUAAUCAAGCUAUCAAUAUAAGUAUCAUCAAGAGGUUAUAGACCUCCUUCAGGCUCUCCAACAUCAACCAAAUAAGCAUUGAACAUCAAUGACUCACCGGAACAAAUAACUUCAUCAUUCUUCAAAAUUCUGCAUUCUGACAGCUGCUUGCUGCCAUCAUAGGGCAUUACCUAUCAUAUAUCCGACCAUCAAUCACAGCAUGGACUAAUCUACUCCAAACAAGCUCAAUCACGGAGAGCAUUACAACCAAAAGCACAGAACAGAACAAUAUGUGAUAUAGAAAAAAUGAAACCCUAGGCAGCAUCGAGCUGCUGCCAUUAAGUUCAAUGCUGCUGCCAUUAAGUUCGAUCGAGCAAGCUAAAUGAGGGAAAACUGAUGCAGCCCGCAUUGAAGAACAACUCUCUCGACCAAGAAGAUCGGCCCGCAUUCAAGCUCGACGAAACCGAGAAGCCGUAACAAUAUCUUGAGUCCAUUUUGGAAGCUUGAAAUACACCUUGGGAGCUCGCGUGACGUGCAGAGUGAGAGGCAGCUGUCACAAUAGACCAUGCGUUUCAGCUUUCCAUGCUCUUUACUAUUUCGUGACAUUCCAGCACACGCAGACUCAAGCACGUAACUCAUUUCAUCAAACACCAAAAGUGCACACUGGACAGCCAAACACUGGACAGGCAAAUCUAGAUGGUUCACACUCACACGAAGCAUAAUUCAGCACACUAAUUACAAACACGAUCCAAAAGCAGUUCAGGAUUGAAAAAGAAAACAAGAGCACAACACCGAUCCGCUCCUAGAACUUACAUUGCCGGCUCAAAAUGCAGGCGUUGAGUCUAUCACAGAGCUGAAAGCUCUAACGUAUUCAUCCGUGGGAUUUUGUUGAGUCUGGAUAUUCUGUAUAAGGGCAACAAGGAUGGUGAUGCCAGACUUCUGUCCCUCAAGAUUCCGUUUGAUGCGAUGUUCAUUUUCCUUAAUCAAAACUCCAGAGUUAGAGCUUAAGCUGGCAGACUUGAAAUCCAUAUCCUUGGUGCAAUUUCUCCCUCUUUACCCAACCUUGAUUGAGGAUGAGGACCACAAUACCAAUGUGUGCGCAGAAGCUCUCCCUGAUGCUCAUAGAGUUCAACUUGACUAAAAUUUCUGAGAUUCUACACCCAAAGACAGUCAGCCACUGCUUCAGAUUUUCACUUGGUGAUUUGUCCUGUGCAAAGGUGAAUGAUGUUGAGCUGCGCAUGGCUCUGGCAUCAGCUCCGAAUAUGGAUCCCAAGUUGCUUUCUCAGCUGAAAGUAGCAUGGCGGAUUGGAAAUCUUUUGGAGAUUGUACAUGGGAAGAAUUUGGAAGAUUUUCUCAAAUUGAUGCUUGGCUUGUGCAAAGCUCUUCUUUUAUGAUCACCAGGUUCUACGAAAUUUUUCACGUACAUGGAAGAGCCAACACUACCUGAUGAAAGUUCUUCUGAGGUGGCAAGUAGCAUAUGACAUAUAAUGGACUUUGGUGGCAGUGCCAGUGUUUUCCUGGAAUUGAGUGGGUCUAAUGACAGAAACAAUGCCGAUAUUGCUUCUGAAUGAACAGUUCUAUUUCUGAAGGCGGCCUCCAGGGAAGGUGCUCUCUUUUUCUCAGCGAUCUUUUGUAAGUGAGUGCAAUUCUCGAGUCUCAGCGAGACACCCUCCUUCUCUACUGGUACCAACGAAUGCUGCAUUCUCUCAGUUACAACUGUAGGAGAUGUUUGCUGCACAGAAUGAAAUUAUGAUUGAAGGCAUCGUGGCUGAGAUAAGAUAUUCUGGUGCUGCUGCUUUAGCCAGUGCUGCCACACUGGUAAUCUCGGAAUUGCGGUGGGUCCCUCAUUUAUGACUUCUCCAUAACAUUUACAAUUCCCACUAAGAAGCACACCUUUCCUGAAAUGAAAAAUAAACUUAACUUAAGCAUAGCAAUAGAGUGCCUGUCUACUUCAAAGUCGCAAUAAUGAGUUGAUUGUGCUGUAAAGUCCCAGGAUGAGAACAAUAGUCAUAUGACCUUCCAGCAAACAUUCCAUCUAUUUGUUUACAUCAUAACAAAGUUAUCUCCAAUGCAAAACGAGGUUAUCAAUUUCGAAAUAUAUGAAGAAGGAAAUCGACAAGGAUCUCUAAUAACUUGGUACAUAUCAAAUAAAAACGAUGCAAUCGACAUGCAUAUCUCUAGGAGAAAUCAUCCUAAGAAAAUGUAGCUAAAAAAGUCAAAUCAAACUAGGAAAAGAACACAAAUACUCGUACAUAAUUAAGAGCCCUCUGGCUGUUUAGAGGUAUCAUAAUUUCAAUGCUUCAUUAGAUUUUCAGACAAGAAUCCGCUAAAAGGUCAUUAAAAAGUGCAUGCGAAACUUCUCUGUUUAUAUUUGCGAAAGAAUUUGAUUGCGAAAAAAAGGAAAACGUUGGUACUUACCUCAAUUUGUUUAAAGUUUGAUCACAAGGUUAGAAUUUGUCUUCUUCCACAAAUUCGUUUCUUCAUCGUCUUCUCCCACAAAUUUGAUUGACUUCUCCAAGCAAAGCCGAGAAAUUUCCUCCACCGCUAAUUUCCCACAAAGUCUUAUUGUAACCUCUCGCAGUCCCUUCAAACUUGAUAGAUCAGGCAACUUCUGUAAAGAUUCACAGGAUUCAAUAUCCAAGUAUUCCAAAGAUUGAGGUAGUUCGCCUUGAAUCUCAAUCAGAUUAUGACAAGAUUCUAUUGUAAGAAGUGUUAGUUUGUUCCAAUUGCUUAGAUCAGGGAUUUGCAUCAGUUUAAAGCCACGAAGCAGCAACUCAUGUCCACCUGUACAUUUAAACAUCUGAUUGCGAAUAUGCACAUAAACAUAUGUCUUACCCAUUAAGCUGAACAGAUUGGGGAACUCCCGUAACGAAUUGCAGGAAUCAAUUGUAAGAUAAUCCAAAAACCGCGGUAGUUCGCCUUGAAUCUCAACCAAAUUACCACAACAGGAUACUCGAAUAUACCUUAGCUUGUUUAACUUGCUUAGAUCAGGUAGCAUUGCCAGCCGUCUGACUUUGUCAAUGUGCAAAUGUCGUAAGUUCUCCAAACAACCAAGGCCUUGAAUCUCUGCAACUGCAGAGCACAAAAUCGAGAGAGACGAUAGUUUCCUCAAAUUCGAUAGAUCCAUCGAGCAAAGUGAGUCGCAACCAAAGAGACUUAAGGAGGAUAAAUUUGAGGGAAGCCUCGGGAGGCGACGCGGAUGAGGAGGGAGGCUCAGGUCUGUCGAAGAGUCAAAUGAGUCAAAUGAGUCAAAUGAGUAGAAUGAAUCGAAUGAGUCGAAUAAGCCGUAUAAGUCGGUCUCCCCUAAAAAGAGUAGUUCCAUGGAUUCCAAUUUGCUUAAAUUCCCAAUCCACAGCGGUAUCGGUUCUUCCAGAAGCCUAUAAGAUUUCCCAGCACAAUUAGGUGAGCAAAAGAACAGAUACAAUACCUUUAAGUUAGCGAGAUUUGAGAGAUCCAGAAACGUGUCCACCCUCAACUGCCCCAGUUCUAAUUCGAUGAGACUUUCAGGAAGCCUUGGUAGGGCGUGUAUUCUCACCCCUCUCAAUCUCAAGAUCCUCAAGGAUUUAUUCUCGUAGAUGCAAUCACCAAUUUUCAAGUGUAAACACUUGUUAUGAUAAUCCUUGCAGACGACUUCUAUUUUUUCAAGCUUCUCCAUCAUCCAAAAGGCAUCGUGUAUUUUGCUUAUGACACUUAUCUUCAUCUUCACUACUUUCAAAUUCUUCAACUUUUUGAUGGAAUCGGGUAGUUCUUUGAUGUUCGUGUAACUUAUGUUCAACUCAAUCAGCGAUUCCAAAUUCCCGAUUGUCUCCGGAAGCCUCUUCAAACUCCGGCAUCUUUCUAGAGAUAGGUAUUUGAGGCUUGCAAGAUCUCUACACAGCUCAUCCGGCAGCCUCUGAAGUCUGCUACAAUUGCUUACAUCUAAGAAAACCAAGCGUUUCAACUGACAAAUUAAUCUAUCAAUUUCAAUUAACGAUUUAGAACCCGAUAGGAUCAAACAUUCUAAUUUUGAAUGAGCAGAUAAGUCGGGGGUUAUCUCCAAGAGUAGGCAAUGGGCUAGAUCUAGAACUUUCAAAUUCUUAAUCACCUGUAAAAGAAAAAUCAUGCAAAGCUUAUUUUUGAAUCUAAUAAGGCAAAAGGAUAAGUAUUGUCUAGCAUAUAACAAACCUUCAUGUGACUCCACCCUUUCCAAUCAUGCGUAAUUUUACUCCAAGAUAGAUCAAGAAUAAUCACAUUCUCCAUGGAGAAAUUUGUAAUCGCAAAUGUUGGCUGAAUAUUAUGCCAAGAAAACCAUUGUAAUCGUGGAAGGAGAUUUGAAUUCUUCUGGAAUACAUUAGUUGAAAGAAUAUCUAACGGCCUUGUGUGCCAAAAAUGCUCAACUUCAAGGAACGUUAGAUUGGGUAGGUUCUUGAAGUCCUCAUAGGUAAAAUGAUGCUGAUCGUCAAACUUGAGAUGAAGAGCUUCAACUUUUUUCUUCAUCUGUCAAAGAGAAAAAUUUGAAAAACAAAAGAGUUGAAGAGAAACACAUUUAUCCAAGUUCACUGUUUUAAGGGGUUGAGUUGAGUACUUAUAUUCCUUUAAUCUUAAAAGAGCAAAAAUAUUGGUUGAGUAGGUUGUGACGGUGCUAGAGAACACAAAAAUAAUUCCCUCCUUUUGAAAAGAAAAUGUCCAUAAGUAACUUGGAGAUUUAUUUUUAUAGGGAAAUUUACCUCAUGGCUCUUCAGCAGAUCCAAUCCUUCCUUGGGAUUCCACACACAACGUUGCUUCUCAAUUUUCAUCUUACUUUCUUGACGAACUAUUUCUCUUCCGAGGUCUCUAAGUUGAUCAUGCAUCCACAAUUUAUUCUGUUCAUCAAUUUUUAUCAAAGACAUGUUCUGCAAAACUUCCAAGGUUGCUUCUGGAAAAAGUUUAGAUGCAUCCCAAAAAAUAACUACAAUGUCUUUGCGAUAUCCAAUGAAAUGACAAGCUAUAUCAAGGAAUAUAUGCUUUUGUCGAGAAUCUAAUGCAUCAUAACUUAUUUUCAGCUUAUUUUGAACUUUAUCAUGAGGAACACUUUCUAACAAGUUCAAUGUGGCAUCCCACAUUUCCUUAACUUUGCUGGAUAAAAGUGAACCUAUGACUUCAAGGGCUAAUGGAAGACCUCCAGCAAUGUAUAUCGCUCUGUUGGUAUGGUUGAUGUACUCGUCUAAAGGAGAAUCUCUUCUAAAGGCAUGUUUGCUAAAAAGUUGAAGAGAUUGAUGGGCAUCCAUGCUCGUAAGCUCAUACAUCCAGUCCACUUCCGGAACAUGGAGAACAUCUUUCCUUCUCGUAGUAAUAAUAAGUUUGCUUCCUUCACCAAACCAAUCAUGCUUGCCUACAAGUGCAUCCAUAUGAUCCUUUUCUUCCACAUCAUCAAGAAGAAUGAGGGCUUUGUGAGUAGGGAACCUAUCUUUAAUGGUCUUAAUCCCUGCAUCAAUGUUUCUUAUAUCCACCCAUUUCAUCUUGAGGAUGUCGCAGAUGAGCUGCUGCUGCAAGUACUCAAUGCCCUUGAGCUUUGACGUUUCACGGAUGUUGGAAAGGAAGCAACAAUUGUUGUACUUGUUGGAAAGCUUAUUGAAGAUGAUUUUGGCAAUUGUUGUCUUUCCAAUGCCACCCAUCCCAUGAAUUCCUACAAUCCGCGUUUCACUUAUGUGAGCACCUAUCUCUUCCAUGAUUUUACCCACAUGGUGGUCCAUAUUGAUCAAGUUGUUUGAUACCACCAAAUAAGCCUUUUUCAACUCAUUGAAAACCUCCUGGGUAACUGUUUUCGCGAUCUCACCUUCUUCCCUAAUGUUUGUUGGAGGUCAAAUGGCAAUGAGUAAGAAAAUUGUCUUGAAUCAAACUAUGUUUCAACAAGAACAAAGUGAAAACUGAAGACCUAAGUGAAAUGUAUUAUAUAAGGAUUUACUCCAGUGUAGAUGAAUUAGCAUCGAUACACAUGAUUAUUGAAUGACCUAAACUAGGAAAGAAAAAAAAAAAGGUUGUUUGGUUAUGUGAUUUUUAUAGUAUAAUUUCAAUAGCAUAAAAUUCAAUUUCAACAAAACUAACACGAAUCUAGAAAAUAAACCAAUUGAACCACAUCAAGUUUCAAUGAUACAAGGCACAUCAAAGGAAUGAUAGAGGCAAUCACCUGUUGGGGAUGCUUUGCAAGUCCCAUCCAUCUAGUUCCCCAACUGCAUUGAGAGCAGCCUUCCACUCAUGUAUAGUCGCUUCAUCAUAUCGCUUCUUGUUUUCAUGUGAAAGAAAGGCCUCUUCAUAACACUUAGUUUGGUGUCGAACCUCUGAAGGUUCCACAUCAUAAAAAAUUGGCAUAAUCUUUUGUCCCCUAAUUUUUUGGCACUUGACCAUUUGGACUAGCUCCUUGAGACACCAUGCACUAGAGGCAUAACCCUUUGAAAAUAUAGGUAUUGAGAUCUUUGAUUCACUAAUUACUCGGAGAAGUUCUGGGCCAAAAUUUUCCCCCUUGCGAAGCUCUUUGUCAUCCUUAUAGACGCGUAUUCCUGCAUCUAUCAUACUAGUGUAAAGGAAGCUAGUAAAACCUCUUCGAGUAUCUUUUCCUCUGAAACUCAAGAAUACUUCAUAUUCAUAUCCUGAUGAAUUAACCAUUCCCUGACCUUCUGUCGUAGUGUGAGUAAAAGAAGCGCUCACUGCUAUUCCAUCAUUUUUACAGGUACGUUGUUUUUUUGCACUCCUCUCCAUUGAUUUCACUCGAUCUGAUCUUCAAGAAAUACCAAACAGUAUAUCAGCAAAAGCAGUGGCAGCUAGAGAUGGAAAAUGUUUAGAAGCCUAACUCGUAAAUAUUGAAGAUCUCUGUAGGUCAUUAAACUUAGUAGCCGGGAUAAGCUAAAUAUGCAGAGUGUCAUGGGCUAGUUUGCUACAAUUGUUUAAUAAGAAUAAUUCAUUGUAGCAUCACUCUCACUUGUCAAAGUUGACAAUGCAUGUGAACAUAGGAGUAUUAAAUCUCAAGGGGCGUUUUAACACCUUAAGGAGUUUUAAAUCUCCUGGGGAGAACGUUGACAUAGCACAAUACAAAGUUUUCAUUUUAAAUAAAAUGGCUCGCUCUUCUCAAAUCUUGAGAACAUAAAUUAUUCCCUAGGAGUUCUAAAUCCUAAGGGGAGAACAUGAACAUGCUCUCAUUUGACAUAACACAAUGCAAGGCAUUCUUUUUAAAAAGAAAAUUUCCACACUUCUCGAAUUUCUACAACAUGAAUUGUUUCUUCUUAAUGUCACUUUUGCAAAUAUGACCACCACUCUCUCUAGAAUAAAUCAAAAUAUUAACCAGAGUUAUUCAUGUGGUGGGAUAGUUGUAGUUUGAAAUCUUACACGUUUCCAAAAUUCCAUUAACCAAAAAUGGAGUUUCAUUUCAUGCAUGCUAGAGUUAAAGAACCAAUUAUAAACUUAAAGUAUAACUGGUAAGUACAAAUUGACCAAUAACUUGUGAGUCUGGGCAAUUGUUAGAAAGUCACUAAAAAAAAUAGUUUUUUUCACCCUCAAACCAAAUAGUGGAUUACCAUUUUUUUCUUUUAGAUUUUACAAAUGGGUUAGUAUUUUUUCUUGUAGAAUAUGAAUGCUUACAUAGUUUAUUAAUAGUCUUGAUUGAUGUUCCAACUUACAAACAAACUAACUAUUUUUACCCCUCUAAUAUCCAAGUAUGGUGUUAACAUUGUUUCGAAUUUAUGAGUAGCAAUGUUCAUUUGUAUAUACCAUGUGAACAAAAUAACAGAUUUACCAUGUGGAAAAUACUCUUGUAACUUAUGAGCAAUUGUGUGCCUUUAUAAGUAGGCAAGUAUUUUUGGUAGUAAAUUACGAGUUGAUUGCAUGCUUUGUUAGUAGUUUCGGUUAACAGCCGUAACUUACAAACAAAUAAGUAUUCUACAAGUAUAAAUCCUUACUAUAUUAUUAACCUUGUUUCGAUAUUAUGAGUUGCAAUUUUAUUGUUAGUAACAUGUUGACAAAACAAUUGAUUUACCUACUUGAAAUAUUCUUGCAGGUUACGAAUAGUCGUUUGCUUUUACAAGUGGCUGUGUUCUUCCUCUAGUAGAUUACAAGUUCCUUACAUAUUUUUUCCUAGCGACACCAGUUUAUAUUUGUAACUUCAUAAUAAAAAAACCUAAAUUUUUAGUAGAUUAUUAACAUUGUUUCGACGUGUAUUUCUCAGUAACAUACAAACAUAUUUUAUGCAAUUGUAUGAAUGCCGGAUGAUUGUGUGUAUUUGUUUACUAGUGAUAUUGAUGAUUAUUUGUAUUGAUGAAGCGUUCUACCUGUUUACAUGGUCAACUAUAAGACAUUGAUUAGAAGCUCCGAGAUGACUAAAUAUGCCACACGAGACGACAUGUUGGUACUGUUUUGAAAUGAUGUUGCAACGUGAUUGGAUAUUGACAAAGUUAACGAUAUAUAAUGUUUGGAACUUAUAUAAUAUACAACCAAAUAAUAGUAUGGUUCUGUGUUAUUCAGCAUCUAAUGCAUAAUACAAGGUUCAAUAGCAACUUCGUAGAUGCUUCCGAUAUAAUUAGUUUGUUUGAUAAUCUAAUCGUGGUGGUCAAGAGUUUGCUCUAUCUAGGGAAGAGUGGACAUAGAGUAUUAGCUUCCUUUAUAAUUACUCUAUAAAAUUAGGAGAGGCGCAUGCCAUCAUUGUUAGGCAUCUCAAAAUUAAAGAUGUCCACACUGAAUGAUUCUGGUAUUGGCACUAGGCUCCAACUUAAUAGACUACAAUUAUGAAAAGAAGAAGAAGAAGAUUCUUCUCAUAUCUAAGCUCGAAAAAUUGUUCUGUUUGAUAUUGGUCCUAGAGAUGUGCCCCUCCACUUUCCAAUAUACUAACAGUGUCGAAAUUUUUUCUGCCAUGGACUUGCAGACAUUGUGAGACCGUUAGUCUAUAGGAAUUCCAAGUUGAAAAUAAAAUACCGAUAUACUACUAUUCAUUUGAUGUGUUAAAAUAAAAACUAAAUGCCAAUAUUGCAGCCAUUACUUCAAGUAUAGCUCAACGUUCAAAUUGGAUUGGAACAAGGGUAUGAGUCUAAGUACUUUAAAUCUAGUCUCCAUGGCUCUGCGCCUCUGCCUCUAUGAUUUGAUCAGCUUAUGUGAUUCAAGGGUCCUGUUGCUCUCAACUUCAUCUUAAGAUAAAGUGUAAAACCAAUUGAUGAUAAGAGUUGGCAAUUUACUGACCACAUGGAUAAAAUUUCAAAAGAGUUGGUUAACUACUUCAUUAAUAUAUUGAUAUAUUUUUUAAUAGUGCUGGUAAGUUAAUAUCAAAGGAGUUAGUAAUAUAUUAAUUCAUUAAAAUGUUGUUAAAUUCUCGUAUGUGCCGGCAAUUCAUCUAUGAUUUUGGUAAUAAGAGUUGGUAAUUAACCACUUGACUCGUAUGUCAGUAAAUUCUUGAUAAUGCUGGUAAUUUAUUUAACACGUUUUGAGAGUGGGUAAUUUAAUACUUCCAUGUAGUGUUUGUAAAUUCUUGACUGUGUCGGUAAUCUACUUACCACACUCAUAAAAUUUUGUAGGAGUCGGUAAUUUACUACUUUGUUGGUAUGUUGUUAAAUUUCUAAUGUUGCUGGGACUUUACUUACUAGCACAGACCAAAAUUUUCAAGUGAGUUAAUUUACUAAUGUCGUUAAAAUUUUGAUAAUCUUGUAAUUUACUAAAUUUCUUAAGAAAUGGUAAUUUACGAAUAUUUUGUUAGUCAGCAACCAUAAGGUUUGAAGCUUGAAGUACACUGGCGAAUGGUGGAAUAGCGGAGAUGAGAGCUAGAGCUCAAGAUCAGGAUGGAGUAAUUACAAAAGGCCAAGGUAGUCUCCAAUCAGACUAUUGCUGCAGUACUGUGGAAUAUUUGGAAGUCAGGAAACCAGGCCAUCUUUAGGAAUAAAAAACCAGAACCAAGCAACCUUGUGGAGCCUGCUUUAGCUGGGUUGAAGAGUUUCAACAGAUGGAACCCAAAAUCGAGCGAAUCUAGUAAGACCAGCAAAGGGUCGUCAAGAUUUUGGAACCCACCGCAGGCUGGAACACUAAAGAUAAACAUACACGGUGGCUACGAACCUGAAGCUACUAGAGGCUCGAUCGCUUGCGUCUGUCGUGAUUUCGUGGGGAGGUUGGUGGACGGAGUGGUGCGAGCAGUAGCGGCGCCUUCUGCGUUCGGGGUUGAGGCUCUUGCCCUCUUAUAGAAGCCUCCACUCUCUCUGUAUACUCUAAGAAAAGAAGCCCUUGUUCUUGAGUCUCGCAGCUUAGACUUGGUCAAGGCUGUGGAAAGUUCAGACAGGCUCACGUGCGAAGCUCGUGCUAUUAUUCCGUUGUGCAAAGAUUUAUUAUUAUCCUUUUCAAGUAUCCAGAUCAUGUUCAAAAAAAAAAAAGAAAAGUAUCCAGAUCAGCCAUUGGCUUAGAGAGGCUAACUCAGUUGUGGACUGAGUUGCUAAAACCCACGAGAGAAAGCCCAUUUAUCGAACCUUUCAAUCUUUUUCUGCUUAAUGAAACAAAAAAAAAUAAAAAUAAAAAUUCAGUCUCCAAUCUCAAGGAGCGAACGUGCAAGUGUUCGGUCACGCUUCACAGCGCACGAUGGCCCCCCCGGCGGUAGAAUACCUUUAUUUGAUGGUGAUAACAUUCAACUGCAACUUUAUAAAAGCGUCGGAAAGAAUACUCUCUCGAAAUCGGAAAAGGCCACCGUCCUUCAUCUGACAAUUCCUAAACAAUGUUCACGCUCCACUAGCUUUGAGGAAUGAAAAAGAAAAAAGUAGAAUUAGCAACAUUUCACGUGCUAUGAUGGUCCCCAUGACUAGCCAAGCUCAUACGCUUCGAUAAAAGGUUGUCUCUUCUCACAUCUCGGGAACAAAAAUUGCCCCUCUCUAAGUUUGGCUCUGAAGAUUUGGCCCUCAGCUCCCCUUUUUGAGUUUAUAAUUAAAUUGCCGAUGCACACCUCUACACACUAUUUUAUUUAAUAGUCAAAACAAUGUACAUGUUAUCUAGCACAACAAUUUGAUGGUGAAAUAUAAUAGAAAUUAAUGAGAGAUAAAUUUAUUAUAAGUGUACCAGUUUAAAAUUUUUAAUAAUUAAAAAAAUAAUUAAAAAUAAAUUUAUCGUAAAUAUAUCAAUUUGAGUUUUUCACGAUAACAAUCAUUUUCUAAUUAAUUGGCUUCUGCUUUUCUUUUCUUUUUUGAACAACUAAUUGGCUUCUGCUUCACCAGGCACGAUAUCAUCACUCCCCCAUGCGAACACCAACGGCUGACAGCUUGCUCUUUGUAAUAUUAUGCAAUAAUGUAAUAUUAUGUUAGUGGGCCCCAAAAGAAGAAACUGAAAAAGAAACUGAAAAGUCAGUAAAACAAAAAGGAGAGGGGAGAGGGCUCGGCUAAAUAGAAGCUGAGAGUUCCCUCACCAAAAAAGAAAAGAAAGAAAAGACGAAGAAGAGGAAGGAGAAGAGAAAAAGGGAAAAAAGGAAAGGAAUUUUGGCAUGUGCACGUCUCGGAUGCCUCGCCAAGCUGACUCGACUCCAUAACACAGCACCCGGUAAGAGAUCAAGCCCCUUGUUUGUCCGAUUGAAGUAAUUUUUGGAUUUAGGACUUAAAUUCGAAAAUUUUGGAAAACUGAGCGGCGAAGUCUAAUUUUGGAGUCGUUGAGCCGCGUAUUUUUGCAAGAAUGGUAAUUUAGGGUGUUGUGGAGCCGUGGGAUUUUACGGAUCGUGAUUUGAACUUAUGGUUUGUCCAAAACAGAAUUUCAAAGUUUCCCACGCGCAGUGAACAGUACGCGUCCAGCAGCUUUGGGCCCGUAUUUUGUCAUUUUUCGGCUUGAUUUUGGGAUGGCCAAGUCGGAAUUCUUGUGAUAUGUUUCAAGGGCUCUCUAUUGAAUAUAAGUACGUUCGGAUCGGAGUUCAGAAGAGAAAGUUAAGGCGCAAUCAAGUUUUGCACUUAAAUUUCGUGUUGCGAAUGGCUUGAACAAUCGCUUUGGUUAUGCGAUUUGUUAGCGCGUAGAAGUCCUUUUGUUAGAGUUAAGGCGUAAUUUAGUUGUUUCGAAGUAGAGACAGUGUUUUAUUAGAUUUUAACAUUUUUCUCGGUUAUUUGAUAGGACCUUGAAUUCGACGAUACGAGUAUCGUUCGUCGUUUGGUCAUCGACGACGAGGUGAGUGGUACUAUAUCUUCUUUGGUUUUAUAAAAUCAUGUCUUGAAGUAUAUAUAUGUAUAUAUAUGUAUAAUAUUGAAUUGAGAAGGGCAUUUUUAUUGCAUAAAAGCUAGAUCGAGCAAUUGCUACUCUUUGGUUGAUUGUGAAUCUUUGAAAAGCACAUUAUACAAGGUUUGUGGAGAAACAUAUAUGAAAUUGCUUUGCGACUGAUUUAUAAAAAGGUUUAUGAUGAUUUGAGAAACGGAUAUGAAAUGGAUGAUGGGCUAUGUUGCAAAAUGUUAUUUGUUUGGUUUGAGAUAUUGAUUUUUGGAUUGGAUUUCUGGUAUUGGAGAAUGGUUAUUUAUGCUCAAUAUGACUGUGAAUCCAGUGAUGGGUUUUUGGGGUAUGCAUACCAAGUUUAGGAUAUCCUUCUGGGCCUAGCCACCGGCUUUGUAGGUGGAGACCUUGCCAAGGGGGGAAUCUUGGUCGCCUUGUCACAAGGCGUUGUGUUGUGACCAUGGUUAGUUAUUGAGCAAAAGAUUGAUCAAUGGAUAGACCAUUGAUAUGUGUUUUUGAUGGAGAUUAUUCGAUGGAUUCGACCAUUGAUACUUGACUUUUGAUGGCAAUUCAAAUGAGUUUUUCGUAUUAGUAUAAAUUUUUGAUGAUAAGAAAUAACUUUUAUAUGAUUCGAUAUGUAUUUUAUAUAUUGAAUUGGUGUUAUGAAAUUUGGUAUUGUUUUGUAUACAUGCAUAGUGGUUGUUCGAUCUGCUUAGAAGAUAUGUACUACUCACUGAGCUGUGGUUGCUCAUCCCAUUCCUCCUUUAAUCUUUUCAGGUUCCUCAGCUAGCGGCGAAUAGAGCGAGUGCGUAGUCGGUGGGAACUUUUGGGGAGUUCUAUUUUGUUUUUGGUAUGGUUAAAGGAAGUGGUGCAAAUAAUACUUACUAGUAGUUGGAUCGUUUAAGUUUUAAACGUAUAUCUUAUUCUCUUUUGGUGGAUUAUAGAAACUCUGAUGUUGCAACCAAUUUGUUGGUUCAUCUAAUAUAUAUAUAUAUGGUUUGAGAUAUAUAUAAGUUAAUAUCAGUUUGUUGGUUGUAUUUGAGGCUGCGUCCUGUGAAAAGAAGGACGGCCGUGUCAUUCCCAUUCUUUGUGGUUUUGGGGUGUGACACUCUUCAUCCGAAUUGCGACCCCUGUCCUUGUCCUCUGCUCCUCCAUCCCUCCCCUUUCAUUCUCUGGAAUCUGUAGAUCAUCAAUUACAUGUGUCUUACGCUUUUGCCAAAAUGCCCAAAUGCUCUCAUGGCGAGGAAUUCUUUUGCCUUUUAUGGAUUGAUUUUAAUGAUAAAUAGGGUUGAGGGCCUUUCUCCUGCUAAAAAAAUCGAGCGAGUUAACUAAGUCGAGCCCCUAUGCCGCGGCCAUAUGCAACCAUGGCCGUGCGAGGCCAGCAACCCCUGUCUAUCGCGACUUCCACUGGACAUAGGUUGUGAGCUCCAUGCGGAGAAAAAAAGAGACCAAGGGAUAGCAAACAGGUCAAACUGGUGUGGAGUUAAUGUUGUCGGUGGAUUCACGCGCGAAGGUGAGGGCUUGUGAUGGCAAUGGGUGGGCGACAGUGAGCGGCGAUUCUGUAAAAAUCCUAAGCUAUAUUAAUUACUAAUUAUUCCAAUUUUUUUUUUCAUCAUAAAAAAUCGAAACUUGUCUCAGAAAUCCAAAAGUACUUUCCAUUGGAUGUUUACUUACGCACCGCUUUUCAUUAUUUUGAGUGUAAAUUUCUCUUCUAAAUUAUGUUAGGAUUAGUCUAGACAUUAAAAAAAAAACUACAAAAACAUUUGCAUGGACACUUAGUGGUUUCAUAAAGAUUAUAAUUGGUAAUCAAGAUUGUAUGGCCAUUUAGAUAAACAGCCUUCCAAGUUAGUGGUACCGCAAGGGCGCUAAUAGAAACAUUGGCGUAAACAAGUCCCCGUUCCUAGAAAUCUCUGGUUGCGUAUGAAUCGAGACAACACUCCCGUGUCUUGAUUGGUUUCCAGCCGACCUCAAUAGGCUAGUGGCGACUCCUAGAAUUACAUAAGUUGUUAAUAACUAAAAAACGAAUCCAACAUCGCGCGGGGUAUGGGCUUGGGAGAGCCCGCGCCUAAUCUAGGGCCAUUGGUCCACCUCUUUACGCAAAUACCCCUAAACCUUCUUCUUUUUCCCCGGACGGAAAAUUUGGAGGUCAUGACAGCUUGGCGACUCCACUGGGGACUUGGUUGCAAACCUUAGAAGACUUAGGCCGUAAUAACUUGGUUGGUUGUUCACUAACAUGGUCUUCAUUUGAUAGCGCGUGUCAAAGUCGCGUGGAAAACAAGGUUAGCCCGCUAACAAUGUGUUAAAUGUUUUUGUAGGUUUGGAGUAAUAAGGGGUGGAGUGUUUGUUAACCCAUCUCUUUUGUAGGGAGGCGUAGGAAUGUAUGCCGAUAUGGAUGAAAUUGAAGUGUUGUUUGGAUAUCAAUUGAUGUGCGUGCCUUUAUACUUAUCUUAGUACUACACAUUUACACACACAGCUUGCGAUCUAAAACCCCGAUCGCACUAGGAAGCCCAUAUGAGGUGCCAAAAGAUGGAACCCGUGCGGGGAAUGACCCAUGGUUAUCCACUUUUGGUCCCGCUCAUUUUGAUUAAUGAUAAAGAGAACUGUCCGACGUAAGCGCGGAGUGGGGAAAACUCUUUUGAUCUAAUCAAAAUGGGGACCUUAAGCCUUUAGAACUCCACCUUUAUGUGUCAAACCUCACAAGUUUGCAUCCGCAUGUCUAUGUGACUUAGAAAAAAAAAGGGUCUCUUCACCCACUGUAAGUAUGAUUUCUCCAUCUACUUGCUCACUUCGGAUUGAAAUUUUUAUUUAUUGGAGAUUCGCGGAAAUCAAUGGAAUGCCCUUGAAAAUAUAGGCUUGGCACUCACUUUUGAUAAAUAAGCAUUUCAAAUACCUAUGAUCUACUAAACAUAUGUUUUUGUUAAAUUUUCAAUUAUGAACUUAAAGUCACAUUUUGUAUAGAAAUUCUUCCAAAUCAAGAUUACAUUUUGGGGCAUAGAAUUAAAAUCAAAUUUUCAAUAAAACUCUUUGUUGGUCACAUUUCAAAAUUAAAAUUCAAAUCCCAUGUUGUAUAUUGAUUUUUCAAAAUAAAAAUCACCUCACCUUUGCAUGAGUGAAACCACAAAUUAAUUUUUUAAAAUCAAUGCCCCAUUUGUGUAUGAAACUUUUGGAACAAAGUGGGCAUUCAAUUGAUAGUCACGGAUCUAUCUUUUAAUGAAAUCUCCUCUUACUAAUAAAAUCUUGACGAAAUACCAAACUCUCGUAAGUGGAUACUACGGAGAAGGUAUCGUCGCCUUGAUUUCAUUGUAAGAGGCGGCUUUAUUGAAAGAUCAAUUUUUCAUUCAUAUAUUGACAUUAUCUUCCUUUCGCAGGUCAUGCGUGACAACCAUUCCUUAAAGCUAGGACGAGAAUUGUGCUUAUUAUGCUCCUCUAUGAAAGAGCUUCUUGUACUUUAUCCUUGUCAUUAUUCCUAUUAGGAAACGUGUUUUGCGUUUUGGGUUUUGAUUGUGGACCUAAUCAAAUGCCUCUGUAAAUCAUACAACUCACAUUUUCUAAUAAUGAAAUUAGAGUUCAUAAAAGUUAUACCCUUUAAAACACUUGAAGUGUUUCAAACGAACCCUCUGGGCUGAGUUUUAUGCCUUAGCUUCAAAAUGUGUGAAAAUAAGUUUCAAGAACUUGCGUAAUACUUUAUCUCUUCACUUAAUCGCUUUUGCAGGUUGAUCCGUAGAACGAUGCUUUGAGGGGGUAAGGUUGUAAUCGUUCCAAUAGGGAUUUCUUGCGCAACAACUAACUCAGUCAUCCAUUUUUGUGAAGCAGGCAAGAUGACGGUUUUGUUCAAGAUUGACAAAAGUGCGGGCCUUUCCCUAAUAGAGCGAGUCAUGAGAUGCACCAAUUCAUGCUCAUUUAUGGGCAUAGUUGGUUGAGCCAUGAACUACUUGAAUAUUUUCGCAACAUAUGAAUUCAAACAUUGUAAUUAAGUGUGAAAAGAAUCAUCAAGGCCUCGAAGAUCACAAAUCUACUGGUCUAAUGAAGUUCCACAUGCUGGACGACCUCAUAUUAAUUUGACAUUCUUCGUGGAAGAAGAAAUUUGUAGACAUUCUUUGGCAACAAACUACUUCGUUGGUUGCGAACAAGAAGCAUUUGCAAUCCCUACACUUCCAACGGUUUCUUGGCAUCCAAUCCUGUAUGGAGAUGAUUAUUGGUGGUAUGCAAGACAACACUUCGAGAUGUAGAUGUACACAAGCAAGAAUCGGUCAUCAAAUGUUGCAUUCAAAUAAAAGGUGGUAAUCGUUUCAAGUUAAAUUCGAUUUAUUUUAUGAAUGACUUGUCCUUCAACUUGGCGCAGAUUUUAGUGAGGCAAAUUACUGGCAAGCAACAAGAUUACAUGGGGAGGACAACCUGGUCCAGAAUCACACGAUCUCUAAAAGAAAAGGGUGUGUUCGUUCCAAAAGUCAGAACAACUCAUUCAUAAACUAACAUAGCCACCCAUGCUUACAGAUUGUGAAAUGGGAAAUGCAUUGAUGCAGCAAAAAUGGCGAAAAAUCACCUAGCCUAAAAGGGGUACGCGGGAAACCAAGUAAAGCAUGAAGGAUUCAAAUGAAAUGAAGAUUCAUCAAUCCAACAUAAUGAAGCUGAAAUUUUAAUUGGGGCAGAUGGCCAUAAAAUGGAUCGGGGGCAUGCAAUGCCUGAGUCACCCGACUUCUAAAAGGGGAAAAUUUCAAAUGGAAUAGACAUUUGCCAAGUGAAUCACUGUCAAUCAUGAAAGCAAAUCCCUCUUCAUAGCCAAGGAAACGAGAUGGAACGCAGUCAUCAUAUAUGCCGUAAAAGGGAGUAUACCGUUCCUAAAAUGAAUCAUGUCGAGUAUGAAAAUAACAUAUUCGUCUCUUUUUCCUUGCAGUUGAUGAAUGGGGCAAAUCACUUACAGCAGAGCAAUUUUGACCCAUGAGCAAGAUGAAACAUAGUCAAUUGAUUCAGCACGAAAAGGGAGUAUCGUUUCUAAAUUAGUCCAAUUCAAUUUUGGAAUAUAAGUACCAUGCCCUAUCUCUUGUAGGAAAAGGUGCACAUUGACCGUUGGAGCAACACCUUAUACCAAGAAGGCAUGUUAAGGCCUAACCAUCCAUUUUGAUGGAAUAAAUGGAGUAAAAUAUCCACGGAGCAAUGCCCUCACAUGUCGAAACAAUGAGUACCCCUCUCCUUUCAUCUUUGACGCCCACUUAGAAUGAGUGAAUUCGAUAACAUCUUUGAAAGGAAGACCUUCAAGGAAAUGUUAACACCUGAGGAGCAAAAGCACAUGAAGAGGAAACACAAGAUAUUUAAAGUCAGCUGCAGGAGAAGGGUAAUUCGGUAUUGUUUCCAAAAUGCCCCUCUCUAACUUCAUUAUUUGACGUAGUUCCCUUGUUUGACAGGAAUCGUCGGUAUUCGGGGAACAAGCUCGAGAAAUUGAUUUAAGCAUAAUUCAUAUCAACCAAGCAAGCAUGUGGAGCCAACACAUGACAAAGUCACCUAAGUUGGCUUAAAAUAUGUGUCGUUCUAGAGCCGGUUCAAUUAAAUAAAAAAAGAAGCGCCUUAUGGACACUACCAGCGCUUUGGCCUGGUGGUAUGGGGAAUGAAGUGGGUCUGAGAGGUACGGGGUUCGAUCCCUGGAAACAGCAACAAGGUUGCCAUGUAAAUAAUAAUAAUAAAUAAAUAAAUAAAAACUUUUGCAUCUCUUAUUUUUGCAAAAAGAGGAAAAUGCUUGAACUAAUGAGACCAAAGAUCUGAGAUUCUCUUCAAGCCUUAAAAUAGUACAUUCAUUCCGUUGUUUGCCGCCAAAUGGUGAAACUAACCAAGGGUAAUGUUGUAUCGUUUCCAAUUUUACGAUCCCUGAGGAUUCAUGUACUAACACAUUCCCUUUUGUUCUUCGUAGGGUCGCUUGACUACUAAGGCACAGGUAAGUACCCUUCUUCUCAAAAUCAAAUGGAAAAUAAAUGGGGAAUUUCCAUCACAAAAAAAGAACAUCUACUGUUUUUCUAGAAGCAAGCACAAAAAAAAAAAUGGAAAUUGAAGAAAAAAAAUUUCCACAAAGUUUGCAAAAAUCUUCUUUAUCAUUAAAUUGUUCAUCCACUUGAUGGAUCACUCAUUUCGAAUCAAAAUUCCCUAGGGAGAUUAAUCCAUCCAAAUGUUCUCAACAAAAAUGAAAGGGAUGUUACUCAUGCCAAGCAAGAAACAUUUAGAAUGAGGAAAGACAACCCAUUUCCAAACAUGUCCUUUAAACACUCUGGGAUUCGAGCGAAAAAGAAAACCUGUGUCAUUCAAGGUCAUCGAAUUCAUUCGCAAGCGGUACAUAGACCAAUAUGAUAAGAGGCAUUUCUUUCCUCUAUCAUACACACUACAGGUGACAAUAGUUAGCCCAUUUGAGCCUUUUAAUGUGAAGAAUUUUCUACAAAAUACCCCUGUCAAGAACCACCCCACGAUGGGGCAAUUAUGGAGAUUUGGGUUGACAUUAUUUGGAGAGAAAAGAUGAGAAAGGUUUCUUUACUCUCACUUGCAUAAAUCUUUUCUAUGGUAACUUCAGGUGAAUUCUUAUGGAAGCUUGAAGCAUCCCAAGGUAAAGAAGAGCAUUCUUUUCUCUACCCAAACACCGAUACCCUUUGCUUAAACCAUAUUGAGCCUAACUAUUCAUUUCUAAAACCCGAGUGGUGAUUAUCUCCCCACAUUGGGGCAGGGCACAUGAUUUACCAAUGCAAUUGGUGUUUAUAUGAGAAUAUGAAAAGCAUCUUGAAAGUCCCAAGAGCUCAAAAAGUUUGAAAGAACAAAAGUCAAGUGAAAAUUAAGGGGCAUGAAAAAGCAGUGUGCCUGGUAAAAGCAAGGCCAAUGCCCACAAAAAAGGGAGAGAGAGUGGAAGAAAAACAAUUGCAUCAAGAGGAAUAUCUCUGUGAAAGCAAAAAUGGCAAAAAAAAAUGCAUGCAUUGAAAAGAAAAUCAUUGCAAAUGCAAAAGCCAUUAUGUUAAGAUGAUUAGUCAAAGGACUUUCAAGACAAUUUGAAUUCUAAACAUUGAGUGCUUUAAAAAAUGGAUGAUAUGGUAAUGAUGCCAUGAUAAUCACCAACUCCCAAAUCCCCCUUUGACAAAAAAGUUCUAAGCCUUUUGAGCUAAGCCUUUUGAACCUUUCCCCGAAACAACAUUACAACCCAUUUCCAAAGUCUCUUCAGAUUGGGAUGAUUUGAAGUGGAAAUAAGGACUUCCUAAAGAAGAUGCCGCUCGAAGAAGUGAGAGUAAGGUUGUCUUAUCUCAUCUUAAGGUUUCUUGACUUGUAAACCUGGCGGAGAUGUCGAUCAGUGAUUAAUUCAUUUCAUAGCCAAUGAUGCUUAUCCAUUGCUAAAACCAUGACCAAACCUGCACUACGGUCCUUCUAAAAGACCUCUUUGAUUGGUCAAUGUGUACUUAUUGCGAAUGAUUCAAAGCCUUGCGCACUGGAAGAGUGAGGUUGAGUGAUCAGUUUAUUUCCCACAUGAACAGAUUGGGAUCAAAUAACCAUUUUCUUGAGGAUAUGCGAGAAGCCCUUUCUGACUAGGGAUCCUUGCUUGGCAUACUUAACAAACCUUUCUCAUAAGUCGGGGUCAUUUCGACAAGGACUUUUCUCCCAAGAGAAUUUGACGAUUAAUGGUAUCAUCCGAGCGUGAUGACAGUUUUGCGAGUUUGUCAAGUUGUCGGAAUUAGUUUGAUUUGUUUAUGCAAUCAUUGUCUUCUCAUUACCGAUACACUUUUGAUAUUGUUUCUAAUGACAUAUGUUGAAAUUGACCUCAUCUAGUAUGCUUUCGCUACUAGAACACUUGUUAUAAUGAAUACUAUUUGAUGUGCACCAUUUCAGAAUAUUCUCGAAUGACAGGUUCCUCCAGUGAAACCACACAAUUUCAAAGGGUUCAUGGGUUAGCCUUAAACCAUGCACUUUCAAGAGUUCUUGGUUACCUUUAAACCUUGCAAUUCUAAAGAGUUCAUGGGUUAGCUUUAAACCAUGCAUUUUCAAAGGGUUCUUGGUUAUCCUUAAACCAUGCAAUUUUCAAGGGUUCUUGGAUGAGCCUUAAACCAUGCAUUUUCAAAAGGUUCUUGGUUAUCCUUAAACCUGGCAAUUUCAAAGGGUUUAUGAGUUAUCCUUAAACCAUGCAUUUUCAAAGGGUUCUUGGUUAUCCUUAAACCAUGCAAUUUUCAAGGGUUCUUGGAUUAGCCUUAAACCAUGCAUUUUCAAAAGGUUCUUGGUUAUCCUUAAACCUGGCAAUUUCAAAGGGUUUAUGAGUUAUCCUUAAACCAUGCAUUUUCAAGAGGUUCUUGGUUAUCCUUAAACCAUGCAAUUUUCAAGGGUUCAUGGGUUAGCCUUAAACCAUGCACUUUCAAAAGUUCUUGGUUACCUUUAAACCUUGCAAUUCUAAAGAGUUCAUGGGUUAGCUUUAAACCAUGCAUUUUCAAGAGGUUCUUGGUUAUCCUUAAACCAAGCAAUUCUAAAGGGUUCUUGGAUUAGCCUUAAACCAUGCAUUUUCAAAAGGUUCUUGGUUAUCCUUAAACCUGGCAAUUUCAAAGGGUUUAUGAGUUAUCCUUAAACCAUGCUUUUUCAAGAGGUUCUUGGUUAUCCUUAAACCAUGCAAUUCUAAAGGGUUCUUGGAUUAGCCUUAAACCAUGCAUUUUCAAAAGGUUCUUGGUUAUCCUUAAACCUGGCAAUUUCAAAGGGUUCAUGGGUUAGCCUUAAACCAUGUAUUUUCAAGAGGUUCUUGGUUAUCCUUAAACCAUGCAAUUCUAAAGGGUUCUUGGAUUAGCCUUAAACCAUACAUUUUCAAGAGGUUCUUGGUCAUCCUAAAACCAUAUAACUUACGUGGUUAGUGGGACUGCCUUAAACCACACGGUUAGUGGGACUACCUUAAACCACACGGUUAGUGGGACUACCUUAAACCACACGGUUAGUGGAACUACCUUAAACCACACGGUUAGUGGGUUUACCUUAAACCACACGGUUAGUGGAACUGCCUUAAACCACAAGGUUAGUGGGUUUACCUUAAACCACACGGUUGGUGGGACUACCUUAAACCACACGGUUAGUGGACUGCCUUAAACCACAAGGUUAGUGGGACUGCCUUAAACCACACGGUUCGUGGGAAUGCCUUAAACCACAAGGUUAGUGGGACUGCCUUAAACCACAAGGUUAGUGGAAUUGCCUUAAACCACACGGUUUGUGGGAAUGCCUUAAACCACAAGGUUAGUGGGACUGCCUUAAACCACAAGGUUAGUGGGACUGCCUUAAACCACAUGGUUUGUGGGACUGCAUUAAACCACAAGGUUAGUGGGUUUGCCUUAAACCACACGGUUAGUGGGACUGCCUUAAACCACAAGGUUCGUGGGACUGCCUUAAACCACACGGUUAGUGGAACUGCCUUAAACCACAAGGUUCGUGGGUAUAUCCUUAAACCACACCUUUCAAAUUGUUCACAAGUACAUCCCUAGAUCACACUCUUUACAUUAAGCUUACUUGCAUUUUCAUUUUACUAUUGUAAAAAAAACAAAAAAACUAAAAAAAAAAACUAAAAAAUUAGGUGUCACAUUGUCUUUGAAAGAAAUCUCUUUGAGAUUUCUUCUAAAGAGGGGCAGCUGUUGACACCUAAAUUUUUGCCAAAAAAUAUUUCAUGUUAAAUUCUUGCAUAUAGAUUAUUUAGGCAUUUUAAUAUAGUGUUUUAAAUGGAAUAUGUUUUUACUUUAAAAGAAAAUUGAAAAAAAAAGAUUAAAAAAAAGAAAAGAAAAAAAAGUUGGGGCCAAUGAUCUAAAUGUGACUAGCCAAGCCAAGGAGGUUAGAUUGGAAUUCAAAUGGUAAGUUUGGGCCAAAAUGCAAUUUCCAAAAGUUGAGGGACCAAUUUGCAAAUUUUGCAAAAUUUGCGCCCAAGCCCGUAAAUCAUAAUCUUGGUCACCAAUUAAGUUGAAAUUGAAUUUGGGCCAACUCGAAUCAAUCAAAUUGAGCGAAAAGGACCAAAUUUGCCUUGAGUUGGGUAUUUUCGGAUAAGAAAAUGGCUAAGUUUGAGGGACUUUCUUGCAAAAUUGGGUGAGCUGGGUCAGUGGACAGGCUUGGUAGGUGGACAAAAGGCCGACCAAAAAUUCUCUAAUUGGGGGGGAUAACAUUACGGAAGGGAGGUCUUUCGAGGGAGUGGAGAGAGGAGACGAGAGGGAGAGGAGAGAGCUUGGAAUCGUCCCCCAAAGAGGCCCUCAGAAGCAACUCUAGAAAAGCAAAACCCAGAAAUUCCAGACCGACCUGAAGAGAGAAAAGUGAGAUUUUCACACACCUGUGGCCAAAAUUAGCCAAACCCUUCAACUAGAGAGUGAAAAUUCAUUCAAAGAUCUUUCCAACCAUAGGUCGCAAGUCCCAAAUGGAGAUCGGGAAGGCCUCCUAAAGCCCCCCGAAAACAGUGCCCUCCUGGCAGGCCAAGAAAGUCCGAAAUUUUUCUAAGUGUUGAGCCUGAUUGUUCAUGAGUGAGGAAAAACGAGUGCUUUUGAGAAACUUGAGAGACAAUUGAGGAAAGCCAUGACUUACAAGCCAAACGAUAAUAUAUAUAGUUUUGGUUGAUUUGAACUUCGUCAACAAGGAAGGUUUGGAAAUCUAAUUUUGGAAGUUAACGAAAACCUUCGUUGUCACCUUUUCUUCUGCAGAUCUCACUUUCAGCUCGAAGGAACCAGUUUCCACGUGCUUCCAGAGGACAAUUUCGUGGUUUCCUUGGCCAACAGUCACUUGAAAAAGGAACUAGGAAGCAAGAUUUGCAAAACGGCUCCAACCCGCAUAUUGAAGGCCGUUUUCAGUUUGAUUCUUGCGUGUUCUAGGCUGUAAUUUCUAGUCAAAUACGUUCUUUGCAUGUAGUAGUAUAUCCUUGAUACUUUACAUUCACAUGAGAUUGCUUAUGGGUUGAGAUUGAAGGCCACGAACAUGACCCGAAUAAGCCGUUUUGGAGUGAUUUGAUGCAAGCCAAGUGUUCGACAAAAUGCUCAAACUAAGCUUCGAUCUUGAAACGGUCGAUUUGAGCUUGAUUAUUGUGAUAUUCAUGUGCUGUGUUACUCCAUGUUAGCAUAGAUCGGUUUAAGGAAUUAUUUUUUUUUUUAAAAUAAUUAAAAAAAGAGAAAAAUAUGAAAAUUUCAAAAAUAUCAAAAAAUGUUAGAUAGCAUCAAAUUAGGAUAUAAAUGACAUAUAUGAAAUUUUCCUAAUUUUAAAAUGUCAUUUUCCUAAUUUAAUGCUAUUUUGGUAUUUUAUAACCAUUUUUGUAAAUAAUCCAUUUUGUGUAGAUUAAAACUAUUUAAAGUAAUUUCAUGCAUAUAGAGUAAUUUCAUGCAUAUUUGAACUCUCAUUUUGCUCAUGGGGGUCCUGUCCCGGGGUGUGAUAACAAGGCCAUGUAAUAUUAUUUGCCCGACUUGUAUCGGGUUUACCUUUUCCGCGUUUAUUUUCAAGUCAUUUCAAUUUCUUGGAUGUUUACUUACGCGCCGCUUUUCAUUAUUUUGAGUGUAAAUUUCUCUUCUAAAUUAUGUUAGGAUUAGUCUAGACAUUAAAAAAAAAAACUAAAAAAACAUUUGCAUGGACACUUAGUGGUUUCAUAAAGAUUAUAAUUGGUAAUCAAGAUUGUAUGGCCAUUUAGAUAAACAGCCUUCCAAGUUAGUGGUACCGUAAGGGCGCUAAUAGAAACAUUGGCGUAAACAAGUCCCCGUUCCUAGAAAUCUCUGGUUGCGUAUGAAUCGAGACAACACUCCCGUGUCUUGAUUGAUUUCUAGCCGACCUCAAUAGGCUAGUGGCGACUCCUAGAAUUACAUAAGUUGUUAAUAACUAAAAAACGAAUCCAACGUCGAGUGGGGUAUGGGCUUGGGAGAGCCCGCGCCUAAUCUAGGGCCAUUGGUCCACCUCUUUACGCAAAUACCCCUAAACCUUCUUCUUUUUCCCCGGACGGAAAAUUUGGAGGUCGUGACAUCUUGUUACUAAUACUAUAAGUAAACUUGAAUCAGUGACUCGCAAAUAUUAUGCGUCAUAGUUCCAUCCAAGACGGCCGUUAAAAAUCCAACAUGACCACUUGCUUGGACAUCAAUAGGCAAAUGGAGCCAAUGUAAAUUUGACGUGAUUUUAGUAUGGUCUAAAAUGACUUUAGAGAAACAAAUUGGACAUGCUUUUACCAAUGUGGAGUAUACAUCUUCUUAAUGUCACAAUUUUACGAUGGUUACUGUCAUAGAGGUGAUGCCAUAAGUGCUGAGAUACUUUCAUGCAGAUUGUAACAACUACUUUUUCGUAUACGAAAUAAUGAAGUUAACGUUCUCCUAGGUGAAGAGUGGGCAUCAACCAAUUUCAAACACAGUAAAGACAAAACAGCAAUUUAUAAGGUAUCUCAGAUAAUUCACCACAUAAUAAAUUGACAAAAUAAUGCACUUGGAAUUUAUAUAAUUUGACCUGACCUCACUAGGAAAGUUAAUUAGCAAUUCAAAGCCACUGAAACAUUUAAACCAAACCAAAACAAAACAAAGAAGAUCUGAACAAGGGUACUCGCAGAACUAUAUCACUAGUCAACAUGCAAAGUGCACGUGAGAAGAAGAUUUACAUAAACCUCUUUGUAAUUGAUAUGUAUAACAGAAUAGGAAGUACUUCUUAUCAGAAAAAAAGUACUCAAGAGAGAAGGUGUCCAUUCUUUUUUCUUGUGCAGAAAUUUAUCGAGUUUGAUCUAACAACUCCAUGAUGUGCUGAAUUUCCAAAUCUCCCGUGGUGAAUGCCUACCCGAUCAGACUGAAUUGAGGUCAUACAGCAACCCCUUUUUAAGGCAGGAAGUCCAUAUCAGACUUUCCCUUCCAUCUUGGUAGUUUGUAGAUGUAUUAUCUCUGUAAGAUGGAGAUUCUUGGUGUUUGUCCGUUAAGACUAGCAUGCGAAUCGAACAAAGUCAACCCCAAAAUCAUGCACCGCUUACCAAUUAGUCGGGGGUUCACACCAAUAGCUCUCACAAUACUAACCGAGAUACACUUCUUUCAUCACUUGAUUCGAAUCAUUUCACUGUUCCCGCCGCUCCAUGGCUUAUUGCAGCAUCAUUAUCUGGACUGCCCUUUCCAGUGAUCUAUCUUGUGCUUGUUAGACUCCUCUGGAAGAAAUCUUUGAACGGAACAGCAAAAAUAACGAUGGUAGCAACUGUGACCACACGUAGGGCAACCUCAAGUGCGUCAAUCGUUUUGCGCUUAGCACAAGUGGUCCACCUCGGCAGAAACAACAAUCACUGAGCUGCUACUGCUCCCCCUCCUCCUCGGAAGCUUCGGACGACGCUGCUGGUUCGAGGGCUUGGCCAUGGCAGUGCUAAGAACCUAUUUCGGCGGAGAUCGACCGAUCGAGGUCGUCGCUGCUCGUUCUAGAGAGAGAGAAAGAGAGAGGGGCUGAAUCAGAAUCCGAAGUGACGAUCUGAAAUAAAAAUGGGGGGAGGAGAGAGUCGGAGGGUGAUGGUGGGAUAGUCGGAGGAGAGAGUCGGUGUUGGAAACUGGUGGAAGCAGAGGAGGAUUCUUUGCGUCUUUUCGGAUUUUUGUUUUAAUUAGUUUCUCGCUUUUCCUUUUUAUCUUUUGGGGUUUGGUUUUUUCCUUUCGGUUUUUCUUUUCAUUUGUCGCAACACGCGAGUGGCGCAAAGAUUUGCCGCCAGCAAGAGAGGGAGGCAAAAUUGUAUUUUCGUUUCCCCUGCCGCAGAAUUGAGGACAGCAGCGUCAGCUCCCGCGCGAGAUGAGACUUGCGGCUCUAGGAUUAGAGGUGGUCUGACCUGCCCUUGCUGCCUGACGCAACCGACUCUCGAUGGUCUGCGAUUUUUUCCUCCGUAUAUUAAGAGAGUAGAGAGGGAAAAUUAAACGUAAUUUCCCUCCCUGAAGUUUUCGCUGUUGAAGAUUAAGUUUGAACCAAAACUACUCAAUUUACACGUACGUAUACAGGCCGGUCAUUGCUGUCUUACCGCGUGCUAUAAGCCAGGAAAUAUCUCCGUAUGAGGUAGCAAUAUAUGCAAGAUACAAGCUCGCCAAGGAUUCACUCAUCAUGUGGUUCGAAUUUGUCAACUCGGGAAAAAUAGUAUGACCAGCCUAUUGUUAAGUCAUCGCAUUUGAGGGUGGACUACAAUUUUUUCAUGUUCAUUCUUCUUUCUUUUUCAACUCAUUUCAAGUAAAUGAGUCGUGUAUGAAUUUGAUAAAAGCAUGAGAGGUGUAUAAAUCUGUUUCGUGCUUAUUAGCACGUAUGUUUGAUGAGUGACUGAUUUAUCAACACUAGCUAUAAAUGAAGGGAUUUGGGGAUUGUUCUCUACAAGAAGUUAUUGUUACACCCUUCACGCUCUUGAAUCACUCCUUGUUCUUCACUUCCGCUUGUUGUUUUGUGUACUAAUUGCUUUGUACUUUUUGAAUAACACGAUUUUUUAGAUUAAGCUUGAAUCUGAAAAUAUUUGACUCGAGAAGCUUGCCAUCGUAAUGGAGUACUCAAUUGCAAUUUCAAAUGCCUCCACUAAUAUAAAUAAACAAAUGAAUUAUAUCAAUUUUAAUUUUAGUGCAUAGUAACUAAGUAAUUGAAACGUAGAACACCCAUUUGUCCAAAAGAACAUCUCAUUCUCUUGGGCUAAAAUACAAUUGAAGGCAUCCCUAUGCGGUCUUUUUGAAUGUUUCGAUUUUAGCAAAACUUACUUCAAUGCCCUCACGCACACGACGUAAAUCACUGAAUGUGACAUUAAAAAUGCCCGCCAACAAAAUAAGAUCCCAGGGGCAAAUCAAGAAAGAUCGUGAAGAAUAUGGAGUGGAACAAAUUGCAUUUGAGGGUGAUGGUUGUUCUAACAUGCUUGUGUCACGGGCUUAUCGAUUAGGAUCGUGACCGCGUGGCGACUCGAGCACUUUAGGAUCGGAUGGAUCACCGAAGCACCUAAGCCAAGCCUUGCUCGGUCGAACGCUCACUCGCUCGCCUUACCCGGAUCGUAGAGAGAGAAAGAAUCUAGAUAGAAAAGCUCUAGAAAGAAGCUUUGCUUUAUAUUGCGGAAGUAAUGGAUGCCUACAAAUGAAAGAGGACACCCCUUUUAUAGUUGAGGGCCUCGGAUUACAUCCAUUGAUCUAGAAUUCUAUCAGCGGACGAGAUCGCACCGCCUCAACUACCGACAUAAGUGCCAAUUACCGUCUACCGACAUAAAUAACAGAACAGACUUCUGUAAUAGGACUCAAUGACGGUUUCGCCCGCCCUUGGAGACUUUGGGUAGAAGGUUCGGUGGGAAUCCGAGUGAGAGCAGGAGGUCCACGGGCGAGUUGGGGUCGACUCUGGGGAACCUCUCAGAUCGACUCUCUUUAGGCCCGUGAUAUUCUCCCCCACUCAAUCGAGCGACGUCCUUGUCGCUCUCAGCUUGAUGGGCAGCUUUGCGGGCUUUGACACGAGCUUUGUUGUUCUUGUUUCGCUUCGCUCGGACACUCAUGAACGAAGGGUCACAACCUUCGAUGAUGAAUUUGGAUUUGUCAUGCGGCUCGGUCUUCGAUUUGGACGGAGCAAGUGGCGCGCACUCGACCUCGGGGAAGAGCGCUUGGAUUGGCAUGGCGUGGGUUGGAGUAGGAUCCAACUCGACCUUUGGCUUCACCUCGGACAGCUUGUUGAUGCGCAUCACAGCCUUUAAGCUCUUGUUGAGGCGUCGGAUUGACGCGAUGGUCUUGGUGUUGACCACCCCUUUGAUCAUGGGGAUCAUCGACGGGCACUUUUGGUCGAGGAUCAUCAUGCACUUUGUCCUCAUGUCGAUCAUGGCUCCCACACUUUCGAAGAAUUGCAUGCCAAGAAUGAGAUCAUAAUCGUCAAGAGGGAUUACCUCGAACGUCAUUCUGCCCUUCCACCCGCCAAUUUUGACAUCCACGUCGGGUGUUGCUCCUACGCCAUGGAAGUCGCCCGAAUUGAUGGGCUUGUACGACUUCCCGGAUGGUUCCACGUGAAGUCCCAAGGCUUUUGCAACCUCAGUCAACAUGAACAUGUUGGAUGCGCCGGUGUCGACCAAAGCGUAAAGUGUUCGGCCGCCCACUUCGACCUCCACGAAGAACAUGUCUGUGUUUGGAGUGAUUCCUUUUCCUUUGGUUAGCGAUCGGGCUUGGAUCGAGUUUACCAUCUUCACAGCUCCAAUCCGGAUUUGUCUCCUAUCUUCUUUGGGCACCUCCUUUUCUUCCUCGAUGGCAAGGAGGGUGUUGAUGCGACCCCUCUUCGGGCACUUUUGGGUCCAAUGCAGACCUUUGCAAAUAAAGCAAGGAGAGGGUGGAGGUUGAUCGAACUUACUCGCGUAGUCCGUUUGCGGUCGACCUCUUUGGAAGUACGGCUUGGAAGACCCUUCUCCCCACAUCUUGGCUCGAUCGCCUUGAUCGGGCGCGCCUUGAGGAGUGUUUGUUCCUUCGUAGUCCGGUCGAUCCGACCUCUAAUCUCUUGCUCGGUUGUUUCUCGGCUCAACCUUGGUGAGAUCGACGAGAGACUCGGCCAUGCUAAGCGCUCGUGCAAGACUACUCACGUCCCGCCGUUUCAGCUCAAGUUGUGCCCAAGGCUUUAGUCCAUCCAUAAACGCUCCGAAAGCCUCCUCUUCGCUUAGGUUGCGAAUUUGGGGUUUGAGUUCCGUGAACUCCUUCACGUACUCUCGGAUCGCGCCUCUUUGCUCGAGGCGAUGGAGCAUGCUUCGGGCUUCUUGUUGAGCGAACUCGGGGAAGAAAUAGUCCCGGAACUCCCUCACGAAGUCGUGCCACAUGUUCAUGAGAUUGGCGCCACGUCGAAUCUCAUCGCACCUAUUGCGCCACCACAGCAUUGUCGUAUUAGACAGGAACAUGGAAGCGGUUCGUACCUUGGUUAACUCGUCUCGGAUGUUGACGGCGCCGAAGUAUUGCUCCAUGCUCCACACGAAGUUGUCUACUUCUUGGGCGGAUCGGUUGCCUUUAAACUCCUUUGGCUUCGGCACCUCAAUUUAGGGCACCGCUUGAGUAGGCACUGCACCGUUCGUGAUGCUGAGUUUGCAUAGGGCGAGCUCGGUUUUGAGCUCUUGGAUCUCCGCCUUCAUGGCUUCGACCUCAUCCCUACACGUGCUUACCUCUUCGAUUAUUUAGACGCGAUCGUUCAAACCAUCAAUCGAUGCUUCGAGAACUUCGUCCUUGUCGAACAAUGGAGCCGUGGCUUGGUUGAUGCCAGUCGUGAAGUCUUCGCGGAGCGAGCCCUCAACCUCCAUGAUCCAGUCUCGCACAUCAUCAAGACCUUCCAAGAGCUCGAGCAUAGCACUCCGGACCUUCCCGAUCUUCUCAUCGAACGUGACCGCAACAUCCACCGAGGCAUCUCUCUUCUUUGCUUUGCUGCGCGUGUCCUUGACUGGCACAGCUUCUCCAACUAUAGCCGCUUCUUGGCUUGACAUUCUCUCGAACAGUUGGUGCUCUUCAAUCUCUUGGAAACUGAUCUCUCUUUAGCUCUGAUACCACUUGUCACGGGCCCAUCGAUUAGGAUCGUGACCGCGCGGCGACUCGGGCACUUUAGUAUCGGAUGGAUCGCCGAAGCACCUAAGCCAAGCCUUACUCGGUCGAACGCUCACUCGCUCGCCUUACCCGGAUCGUAAAGAGAGAAAGAAUCUAGAGAGAAGAGCUCUGGAAAGAAGCUUUGCUUUAUAUUGCGAAAGUAGUGGAUGCCUACAAAUGAAAGAGGACACCCUUUUUAUAGUUGAUGGCCUUGGAUUACAUCCAUUGAUUUAGAAUUCUAUCGGCGGACAAGAUCGCACCGCCUCAACUACCGGCAUAAGUGCCAAUUACCGUCUACUGACAUAAAUAACAUAACAGACUUCUGUAAUAGGACUCAAUGACGGUUUCGCCCGCCCUUGGAGACUUCGGGUAGAAGGUUCGGUGGGAAUCCGAGUGAGAGCAAGAGGUCCACGGGAACCUCUCAGAUCGACUCUGGGGAACCUCUCAAAUCGACUCUCUUUAGGCCCAUGACACUUGAUUGCCACAAAUUGAGGCAAUACUCAAUUAUGAGUUUUGAUAGUUUCAAGUUUGAUAGAUCAAUCAAUGUAUGGAAGUCUUAAGACUAAAGCAUAGUUCAUCAAUAUAUUUAGAAACUUUGAUAGGAAUUUUAAAAUUACUUGCCUCAAAUUCACUGUCUGAGUCUGAUUCAGAGUCUGAGUCUGAUUGUGCCAUUAGACAUAGAUUGGCAUAUUCAUUAUCACUUUCUUCACACUCUGUGUCACUCCGGGUUUCGGCUUUGAGAGCUUUUCGAAAUUUUUCAGCUUUUCCUUUCUUCUUCUUCAGAAAAGGACAGUUGGGUCUGAUGUGUCCCUUUUUCUUACAUUCAAAGCAGACUAUGUCUUUGUUUGGUUCCUCAUCAUCAACAGACUUAGUCUGUUGUCUUUGAAAGCUUUGUUUCUUUGAGUUGAACCUUCUUCAUUUUCUAUUCAGUUUUCUGAAUCUUCUUAUCAUGAGAGCAAGCUCCUCAUCGUCCAUAUCUUCUUCAGAAUCUGUAUCAUCAGAAUCAUCAUUUGAUUUUAAUGCAAUGGAUUUCUUACCUUUUGGAUCUUCAUCUUCAUUGAUUCGUUCCAAUUCAUAAGAUUGAAGAGUUCCAAUUAGCUCGUCGACAGAUAGUGGCAUAAUUCUCUGCGUCUCUCUUAUCGAAGUCUUUAUGUGAUUCCAAUCCCUGGAGAGUCCACGCAGUAGCUUGUUUACCUUCAUGGGAUCAAAAGUUGGUUGACCUUGAUUUUCAAGACCAUUCACAAUAUCUGUAAAACGACUAAACAUGUCAGAUAUUGAUUCUCAUGGUUUCAUUCUGAAGGCUUCGUAUUGACCGAGAAGAAUGUUGAUUCUUGUUUCCUUCACUCGAUCUGUUCCUUCAUAAGUGAUAUGCAAUCUGUCCCAAACUUCUUUUGCUGUACCACAAGAAGAUAUUCUAUUAUAUUCAGUUGGUGAUAAAACACAAUAUAAUGAGUAAAUUGCUUUUGCAUCGAGUGUUUGUCUCUUGAUUAUUUCUUCCUGAAACAUUCCGCUGGUUUCUUCAGUUUCUUUUCCUCUUUCAGAGACUGAUGCAGUGGUAGGAGUAAUUCCUUUUUCUACAACGUCCCAUUCUAGAUGAUCCUUUGAUCGUAGGAAAGCUUUCAUCUUGUUCUUCCAGAUGUUGUAAUCCUUUCCAUCAAAGUAGGGUGGUCUGGUAUUGCUUUGCCCUUCCAUCAGCCCUGGUGCUAGCAUACUAGCCAUGGAUCUUUUACUAUGAAGUAAAACACUUCAAAUAAAGUAAGUACAUAGGCUCUGAUACCAAUUGAUAUUGCUAGUAUGAGUACCUAGAGGGGGGUGAAUAGGUGCAUAAACAAUUUAUAGAAAUACAGAAGCGAUUCUUAGCAUAUGAUAGAAAGUAAAUUCUCUCUUAAUUAACAAAAUGAUAUAUGAUCGAGGUAGAGAGAAUGAGGAAGAGAAAAUUGAACACAGGAUUUAUAGUGGUUCGGCUUAUUCCAAGCCUACGUCCACUCUUUCGCACUGACAGCCCACCGGCUGGAUUUCACUAUGAUCAAAAGAGAAGUUACAGCACAGCUUUGCCUUGAUUCCACAGUGUAGAUGUUCUACCACACCUCCUCAAGGUCUCUCACAAAUAUAGACUCUCUUUUGUAUACAAGUAUUCGCUCAAAUGAUUUAUCUAAACAAAUAGGAGCUUCAGACUUUGGAAUUCUUCUAUCGCGCACACCUUGAACAACUAAGACAGUCUUCCUUAUAUACUCCUUUAUGCCAUCAUACCCGUUGGCACUUACCAAAGGAAUUCCUCCAAUCUAUCCAUUGGACGAAAUCAAUUAGGAAGAUUGUUCAAGCUAUUAAAGGAACGUGUUGAUAGCCCAUCAAUCAUGUUCGCCCAUACAAUCAGGAUCUCGGUUUCCAUAAGCAGAACCUUCCAAUAAUACUUAGGCAAUCACCGGAUCUUCAAUUAUCGAGUCAAUCUUAGAUCAAUCAAAGGACUCCGUUAUGUCUUUUCCAGCCACGAGAUCUUCUCCAGUUGAUAAGGUCAAAUCCUUAACGAAAUAUACAGUUCUGGAUAACCUUUCUUCAACGGAUUAGAGACUGUCAAUGAGGAUAGACUUUGAGUCUUGAGUCUGGCUGUCCGGAGGUCUUCAGACUUUAAAUAGCAGAGUCUGCAAACCUUCAGACUAGACUGAUAGAAACGUUUUGUCAACUUCAAAAUACUUUAAGAAGAUUUCUCCAACAGCUACACUGUGAUGUAUUGAAAUACAUGCGUACGUGUCUAGCAAUGCAUCUUUGAAAGUUGUUGUGCUAUAGACAGCUACGAUGACUAAUAUGUUUGAUCGCUGUAGUUAUUAGAAUGAAGAAAAGACCUUUUAAUAUUGUCGCAAAGCUUUUACCAACGUUUAUAUCUGUGUUAUUGGAACUUUUGCUGGAUACCAUUUUCACCAUAUGAUGAUGAUGAUGAUGAUGAUAGUCGAAUCCGGAAUAGACAUUUUGAGAGGACUUCAUUUCCAACUUAAAUACCAAAGCAAUCCAUGUUUAUACAUGAAAUUGCAGAAGAAAAUAUAGGCAGUACGAUGCCGAACCCUUGAAAUGCACAAUCUACUGCAGCCCAAUGAGGCGGCAGCCAUAUGCAUCCAAUUGCAAAGGGCCACAAGAGCGACCGUACAAUCAUACGGGAAAGGAAAUCCCACUUGGAAUUGCUCUCUCCACCUGUCUUCCUCAACUUCAUAUCCUGUUGAACACAGUAGCAAUCUGUCCCCGUGAGCUUAACUGUUCAGAUGUUGAAAGGAUGUAUUCUGCACCAUGCCUUGGAGAUACAGCAAGACUGGCAUGAUGCCAGGUGAUAAGGGUAAAGAUAAAAAGUUCAUACUACUCGCCAUGCAGGUGAUGGGGGUAAAGAUAAGCGCAUCUCUCUCUCUCUCUCUCUCUCUCUCUCUCUCUCUCUCUCUCUCUCUCAAUUGUGCAAGCUUCUCUCCUCUGUUAAUUUACUACUGAUGCUGAGUUCUGCCUGCAAAGUUCUGGCAAGUUUUUUGCCAUUAUCUUCUUUGAAAUAUCAAAAAGAAAAGUGGGGUUCAGAGGUGGAAAGAAGAACAGCUUGAAGAGAAACGGAAAAGCGCAGACUUGCAACAGAAGGCAAGGAAAGCUGUUUGCUUUAAGAUGCAUGACAACCGUGCAGAUGGCCAGUGUGGUCUUCUCCACCCAAAAAACAAUUGCUUCUCGUGGCCUGAAACGGAAUUUUAUAUGAUUUGCAUCCAAAUAGAAGAAUAAUAUCGUAAUCUAAUAUCAUCUACCGCCUGCAAAGUUGCUAUUAUCUUCGUUGAAAAUUCAAAAGAAGGGGAGAGGCAGAAAGAAAAACAACAUAUGAAGAGAAACGGAAAGUGCAAACUCUCCAUAGAAGGCACAGGAAAGCAGUUCGCUUUAAGAUGCUUGAUAAACUACUAAGAAACGAUUUCAUGUGGUCUCUAAUGAAAUGUUAUAAGAUUCUACAUCAAUGAUAAUCGUACUUUGCGCUCCACUACUGCCUGCAAAGUUGCUAUUUUCUUCUUUGAAAACUCAAAAGAAGGGGCAACGUAGAAAGAAAAACCACAUCGAAGAGAAACGAACAUCAUUAACUCUCAACAGAGAGCACGACAAAGCUGCUUGCUUUAAGAUGCAUGAUGAACUACUAAUGAACAAUCAUUUCACGUGGUCUCUGAUGAUAUUUUAUAAGAUUUACAUUCGAAAUACCGGAUUGAUAUCGUACUUUAUGCUCCACUACUGCCUGAAAAGUUGCUGUUAUCCUCUUUGAAAACUUCAAAGAAGGGGGGAGAGUCAGAAAGAAAAACAACAUUGAAGAGAAACGAACAUCACCAACCCUCAACAGAAGGCACAAGAAAGCUGCCUGCUUUAAGAUGCAUGAUAAACUACUAAUAAACAAUCAUUUCACGUGGUCUCUGGUUAAAUUUAUAAGAUUUACAUCCAAAUACAGCAUCAAUAUCGUACUUUAUGCUCCACUAUUCCCUUGAAAGUUGCUAUCAUCUUCUUUGAACGCUCAAAAGAAGGGGAGAGGCAGAAAGGGAAACAACAUUGAAGGGAAACGAACAUCGCAAACUCUCAACAGAAGGCACGAGAAAGCUGUUUGCUUUAAGAUGCGUGACAACCAUGCAUAUGGUCAUUGUUGAAUUCCUACUUAAAACCAAUUAUUUCUCUUAGCCUCUGAUGAGAAUUUACAACCAUUACAGCCAAAUGGAGAAUGAUAUUUUACUUUAUGCUUCAUUACUAUAAUAUAUGUACAUAUCUAUUCAACGCAACCAAAAGAAUCAUGUUUCUCACACAUAAAUAGGACAAGUUUUUGGAGUGUCUGAAAUUUUUACAUUCAAAAUGUUAUUGUUUUGCAUCGAAAUAUUGUGACUCGACGCUGGAGAAUUGAAAUUCAAUUGUAAACCUAUCGUAUGAAUUCAAAUUCAAUCCUGAACAUUUUAAUUCAAACAAUGUUGUUUUAAACCUUUGAGUGAAAAUGUAAUCAAGUCCUCCUAGUCAAGUCUCGCCUAAAUGGCAGUCCAAUCAUUUGUCAUUGUACGUGUCCCGACUAGUGAUUUGACAUGGACAAAUUUACUCGAAACGGUGCCAUUGUUGCUCAACUCCACAAGCCGUCAACCUUGCCUAGAACCGCCCUCUCUCAAGUUGAUUUCUAUCAAUAGUCACAGCUCAGCUAGAGCUGGCACCUCCAAAUGUGGAGGCUCAGCAGUCGGUCACCAUGCCCAUCGGGCUCCUUGGCCCCUCCAUGGAAGAUGAUUGUACAAUCCUGAAAUUUUUAGCGAUGUUUGUUUUCCCUCCCUGACCCUUCCAUGCCAUGCAAGAUGAUUGUAUAACCCUUAAUUUUUUUUUUUUUGUGACGUAGAAUUUUUUGUUUAAUUUUUAAAUAAUUUUUUUCCCUUUUUUUCUUCCUUCUUCCUCCUCUAGAUGGUCAUGGGACCUCGGUGACUAGCCAGAGACGAGUUGACAAGGCCAACCUUGCCCAACCAUCGCAAGGCUCCAUCGAGAUUGGUGAGGCCACCCUUGUCGGCCCUCCUCUCUAGCCGGUCACCAGCUAUCAUCGAGGCUUGACGAGAAGAGGGAGAAUAAGAAAGGAAACGAAAAAAAAAAAAAAUGACCUUCAUUAGAAACUGUUCCUGAGGGCAAAUAAGUAAAUUCUUUCUACUUUCUGUUUUUGUUCUAAAUCUAUUUUCUGACUAUUGAUCUAUUUCGGAAAAGAAAAUUAACUAACAUUAUCAAAUAAUUUUUUUUUUCUGUUUUGGAGAAAGAAAUAACAGAAAAAUAGAGAAAUAAAAUGAUCACCAAAUAGGACCUAACUUUAUAAGUGAAUUUGUAAUUCUUCCCACUCAACCUAUGCCUAUUAUAAGUUUUCUUUUCUUUUAAUAAUUCUUCCUCUCUUCUGUCUCCUCUCUUCAUCGGUAUAAAAUGGGUAAUCAGGGAUGGGUGGCUUGUGUAGUGGAAGAGAAACCUAUUCCCAAUGGUCGACACAGCGAACUUGGGUCCAAAUUCAAAUACACCAGGGGAAGUAAACUGACCUCUUUCACCAUUAAAUCACCACGUUGAGUGUUGAUUUUAACUCCGUAAAAUCCUCUUGUUGAUUUUAACUCCAUAAAAUCCUCUAACACGUCUGCCCCUCGGGACCUUCCAGAUUAUAAAAGCAAGAGCAAAAGUCAUAUCCUAUUAUUUCCAAUCUUUAUCAACACAGAGAAACGGAUUCGUGCAUAGUUAAUAUGAAAAAACAGCUAUCCUAUACAUUGGCAUUUGAUAAAAAAGGUUGAUCAAUUUAUGGAUGACAUGCAGCGACUUGAAUUCCAUCCACACAUAGAUAACAUGCAGCCAAGGCUAUGUCAAAGCCCCAAUACAUGUAUUAGAUACUAUGCCAUCUCAAUCCACCAAGAGAAAAGGUAUGCAUUUUCGACUCCAGCAGAUGAGAUAUCCUUUGGGAUGGUAGUCUCGGAAGAUGAAUCUUGCUUCUGGUCUCCAUAAUUUGGCAGCAAUGAUGGUGAUUCCACUGGACUGGUUAGGACUACUUUUAUCUUCCUCUCCUCUAUGUAUUUACCACUUUCUUUAUCAAAUUUAAAAUUUAAAAGAAAACUUCUCAGGUUACUUGACCCAAAAGAUUAUGGAACACAAAGCAGCAAAAUCUACCAUGUAAGCAGUAAUGUCCUCUUCACCUGUAUCAAAACCUUGUCUCGACGCUGCAAGACAGGUGGAGCUACCUGCUGUGCUUACAUGGUAACGGCAUCAAACAGAAGAUAGGAUGAAGGGCCUACCCUAAUUCUUUCGAAGUAUCAGGACAUAGCUUCUGAGGCCUAUUGUGGUUUUCCUUUGUCUCAAUGUAUAUUAGGCUACUAUGGUAGGCAUUCAAAAUCUUAUUCAAAGAUGAUCCUUACUGCAAUGCGACUGACAUUGCCUUAAGCAGUUCAUGUCCUAGUAAUAAUACAGUCUUACAGACAUGUCGUGGCAAAGAAAUUGCAAAAUAAUCGUUCAGCUGAUUCAAGUACUGUGGGCAUGUCCAUCCUCACAAGUAUGUCAGUGGCUUUUUAGUAAGUAUGUGAACAUGAUGUUUCACUGACUUGAGCAGAACAAUUUCGAAUCAGAUUAUCCAUUUGGUUGAUGAUGCCUACAUUUGACCGCACACAGAAUUUCUUCUGAGACGUAGCCUUAGCCUGGAAUGUUUUGGAUAUCCAAUAUAGAUCUCAUAAUGUUUCUCCACAAUAGAGAGUUCUUAAUGCGCUGAUGUACUACUCUGAAAAUUAAAUUACAUCAAGAGAAUACAAGAUUGAAAGGAUAUUGUCCACCCGCCAUAGCCUAAAAAAUAAAACUUGAUCACGGUGAAAGCAAAGGUCCAAAGAAUAUUCACCUUGAAAGCAACAUACCGAUCAGUCUUAUUGCCUAGCGGAAUGAGCAUGAGCUUUGUUUGCUCAACUCAAUUGCAUAAACACGGAGAAGAGGCUUCAGAUGAAAGAAUUUAAAGAGAAAGGGGGCCCGACAUGAGGACAGGAUGUGAUGAAAUGGACCAUCUUACAUUUUCUUUGAUAUAAUGCAGUAAUGCAAUCUCGUCUUGUUCAUUCAUUUUCUCUACUAAUCAUUCUCUCAGUCAUUUGGUUACAACAACCAUUCACCUACUUAAUCUCCAGAAAGAAAUUUACCGCAGAAGUCAUUCUAAGAGUUUGUGGUGUGAGGGACUACGCAAAAAUGAACAAACCUGACCAAAUAUUUGAAAACGACACAAGGAAAAGAAUUUGAAAACGGGGCGACCAGUGACUGAUUCAUACAUGCCAUUGAAGCUUAUGCCUUAAGAUAUUUCCUUUACCAUUUUAUAUGAUGUUGAACCGCAAAUUCUCAAGCAAAUUAUUGUAGCACAGAGAACUAUCAUCCCCUUCACUUAUUGCCUAAUAAAACAGGUGGCAAGCAAUGCAAAUUUAACGUGGCGCCAAAAAUGAAAAUGAACCAAAUGUGCAGCACUAUAGAUACUCACAAAUUAAACUCAAGUUCAUGAGGCCGGAUCUCCAACAGCUCUUCAGCCAUGAUGACAACUAUAAAACCGAUCCACAUAAAACAACAGGUCACGUGGCAGGGUAACAACAAUCAAGCAAAAAGCUCUGCAUGAAGCUCAAUUUCAAGGUAUAAAUCUGAUCACGCGCUGUCUCUAGCAGAUUCCUCAUUUCAAACACCAAAAUUGCACAUGAUCAACAAACACUAGACAGUCAAAAAUGGCUCAGCACCCAAAUUACGAACACCAUCCAAGAGCAGUUCAGGAUUUACCAAAAAUCAGAGCACUACAUUUGGCAAUGAAAGCUUAACCAUCGGGGGAGUAUCUUACAGGUCAGAAACUUCCUUUGGCAGUGAAAUCUUAAUCUUCAAGGGAGUAUCUUACAGGUCAGAAUCUUCCUUUUGAUGGAUCCCAAUAAUGAGAAAAUCAAACUCCAGUGCAAGUUCACAACAAAGGACAUGACAAUAAUAUCAGCUAAGGGAUAUGCCAUGACUUGCACAACCCGAGAGAAAUCGCAGGAAAGACCCCAAGUCAGCAGGCCUAAAUUAUCUCUAACCACCUCUCCAAGACACAACACUAACAUAGCAUCAGCAGCAGCAGCAGCAGCAGCAGCACCAAACUCUAGUAGUCCCUGAUGACAGUUGGGUUGACUCUGACUUGGCAAUAACAACUUCGUGCCAUUUUACUCAGCAAAUGAACACAUAAUCUUCAAUACAUGUGGCACUACAAAUUCAUAAGAACCAAUGUAGCGGGAGUAGCAUUGAACCAAGAAUCCGAGAGAGCAAACAUGUUUUCCAUUAUUUGAUUUUUCAUACAAUAAAUUUAUGACUGAAUUUGCGAUUCUCUCAACUCACCUACGCUUAUUAUGAGUUUUUUCCCUCCUUCCUUUAAAAUAUAUCUUCCCCUCUUCUGUCUCCUCUCCUCAUCUGUAUAAAAUGGGCAAUCAAGGGUUGCUUGUGUAGUGGAAGGGAAACGGUCCUCCCAAUGAUCUUACUGGUGAAAGUAGACCCAAAUACAAAUCAACCAGGGGAAGAAAACUAACCUCUUUCAACUUUGUAUCACCUCACUGAGUGUUGAUUUUAACUCCUUAAAACCUCUGACACAUACAACCCUUUAGGAUGCUGGCAUCCAAAGACAAUCCUUCUGGAUUAUAAGAGUGAGAACAAAAGUCAUAUUCUAUCCUGAGUCAUAGAAGUGGAUACACGUACAGUUAAUAUGAGAAAAAAGCUAUCCUAUACACUCGCAUUUAGUUGCUAAAGGGGUUGAUCAAAUUAUGGAUGAUGCGUAGCAACUUGAUUUCCAUUUACAUAAAUAACAUGCAGCCCAGCCAAUGCUGUGGCAAAGCCCCAAUCCAUGUAUCAGAUACAAAGCCAUCUCAACCCAGAAAGACAAUAAAGUGACACAUUGAUGUUUUCUGGCAGUCAUACCCUGAGAAAAGGUGAUGCAUUUUCGACUCCAGCAGGUGAGAUAUCCUUUGGGAUGGUAGUCUCGGAAGAGGAAUCUUGCUUCCGGUCUCCAUAAUCUGGCAGCCCUGAAGGUGAUUCCACUGGACUGGUUAGGACUGCUUUUAUCUUCCUCUCAUCUAUGUAUUUACUGCUUUCUUUAUGAAAUUGAAAAUUCAAGAGAAAAUUUCUUGAGUCACUUGACCUGAAAGAUUAUGGAACAUAUAGCAGCAAAACCUACCAUGUCAGCAAUAGUGUCCUCUUCACCUGUAUCAAAAACUUGUCUCUGCACAGCAGGACAGGUGAGCUACCUGCCGUGCUUACAUGGUAACCACAUCAAACAGAAGAUGGGAUGAAAGGCCUACUCUAAUUCUUGUUGCCUAGCGGAAUCAGGCAUGAGCUUUGUUUACUUAACUCAACUGCAUAAACACAGAGAAGAGGCCUCAGAUAAAAGAACUUAACGGGGCACGACAUGAGAGCAGGAUGUGAUGAAAUGGACCAUCAUACAUUUUCUUUGAAGAUAUAAUGCAGCAACAAAAUCUCAUUUUGUGCGUUGGUUUUCUCUACUGAACAUUCUCAGUCAUUUGGUUACAGCACUCACCUACUUUAUCUCUAGAAAGAAAUUCACUCACAUGGCACUAUAAGAGUUUGUGGUGCGAAGAUAGAAACUAUGCAAAAAGAAAGAACCUGACCAAAUAUUCGAAAACAACACAAGGAAAAGAACUUGAAAAACAGGGCGACCAAUGACUGAUUCAUACUCGCCAUUGAAGCUCAUUCUUUAAGAUAUUUCUUUUACUAUUAUUUAUGAUGUUGAACCACAAAUUCUCAAGCAAAUUAUUGUAGAACAGAGGAAUAUCAUCCGCUUCACUUAUUGCCUGUAAAACAGGAGGUAAGCGAUUUGAAUGUAGCUCCAAAAUAAAAAUGAACCAAACGCACAGACUCAGAUAAACUUGCCUUCAUGAGGCUGGAUCUCCAAGAGUACUUCAGCCAUGAUGAUGACCAUAUUGCUGAUCUACAUGAAAUGGUGGAUCAUAUAGCAGGGCAACAACAAUCAAGCAAAAAGGUCUACAUAAAGCUCAAUUUCGAGUACCCAUUCAUAUAGGGUGCGUUUGGUUUGGCUUUUGGAGAAAGCCUUUGGAUAAUGCAAAGGCUCUUAGCCUAAAAACUGUUUGGUAAUUUGCAAUUUUAAAGUGACUUGGUAAGUAACAUUGGGAAAAUACUAUUUGAUAACAUAUAUUUAAAAAGUCAUUUGAUGUAAUCAAUUUUUUUAAAAUUUAUUUAAAAUUUUAAAAAAAAAAACACAACGAUGGAAACUUUUAUAUUUUCACAUUAAGAGUGAUGUAAAAGAGACAUAUUAACAAGUUCAAAAAUAAAAAAUAAAAAAAUUACAUGAGAAGUGUGAAAAAUAAUAGGGCCCUCAGAUAUACAAACAGUAAAGAAAGUAUAAUGACCAAUGGGCUAAGUUACUGAGAAUAUAAAAAUAAAAUUUAGUUGUUUCUGAUGUCAUAUGGAAAGUCUUAUCUAAAACUGGCAUAUGAUAAGAAAUGUCUCUUAUUCAGCAAUAAGACAAUUAGACAUAUCUCAGCUGCAACAUGACAGCACCAAAAGUCAUACCUUGCUCUUUUUGAAUGGACAAGUGAGCAACUCUUUGCCUUAAACGACUCCACCACAUGAACACAUUCGUGAUGGCAACCAAAAUGAGCUUUUGCUCAUGUUCAAAGCCUAAGCAUGCAAGAAAAUUAAAGAGCUCCGACUCUUGAAGAGCAAUGGACUUCUUCUGCAAACCUCAGAUUGCUGACAAAUCGAGGAUUAGCCUUAAAAAACUGUUCCUCUCAUAAACAUAAGUACAAUCACAACAUCUCAAUUCACAAGGCAGUGCAUGUAUUAAUAUACACAUCAUGGAUAUUCCAAAGAACUUACAAGAGAAGAUAACUCCUAGUAACUGCUGGGUACAAUGGAAAUGAACAUUCAAAGCCCAGGAUUAUUCCUGGGAAAAAUGGAAAAGUGGGGAACAACAGACUUUGACAUACAUCACAUGAAGUAAGAAUGAAAUAAUGAGUGAAUUUAACUGUCCCAUAGUAUUCUAUUAGCUAUGGCAGUGUCCACUGAUUCCAGUUCUUCCACGACUUUAGUCCUGGAAGGCUGCUUGUUAGGAGUCAUUCGGAGGCAUUGUAAAGCAAGUUGUGCUAACUGGAAUCCAGAAUCCAUAUAUGUAGGGUAUAGGGACAGUAUAAAUUUGGUUCCCAAUUGUGGCAGGUUGCAAUAUCAUGAGCGACCAGUUUCCUCUAAAAUAACCAGUAUUUCUUUUUUGGUUUCUGAGGAAGGGGAACAUCUGCAGAAAAUGAAAAGUUAUGUAGGCAAUGCAACUGUGGAUUCCAUGCCAAAUGAUUUAAGUAGCUAAAAGGGAAACACACCUUGUGUUUCAUAGAGGGGAUUAUAGUGAACCUCAUAUCCAGAAACUCAACCAAAGCUCUGCAUCAAUUGAAAGUAAGGUUAACAAAAGGAAAAACUUAGAAAGAAAAUGGAGUUUCAAAAGACCAGUUGCUCAUUGAACAAAAGCAAAAGUAGAUCAAUUGCAAAUGUUUACAUCUAGGUUCUAAAUCAAUCAAUAUAUUUAACCCUACCCAAGUAGCUGUUCUAAGCAAGCAAAAGAACAAAUAUUUAAUUUCAGAGACGAAAAACAAGCAAAGCAUCACAAAGGAGGGUCUAUGUGUAUAUGUAUGCAAGCAACGCUCUUUUUUCCAAGACAACCAAGGAGUAAAAUAUACCCAUUUGGAAUUUUAACAAACCAAACCCAAGAACUUCACAUUUAUCACAUUGCACCCACUGACGAUUUGAACCAACAAAACAACUAUGAAGAAGAAGACAAGCAAGCAAUACCCUCGGCAGAGGGAACUUAUAAAUCCAAUUGCCAAACAAUAAUUAGGCUGCGAAUAUAAGUAUCAUCUAGGGGCUUUUGCCCUCCUUCAUGCUCUCCAACAACGACCAAAUAAGCAUUGAACAUCGGUGACUCACUGGAAUAGAUAAAUUCAUCAUUCUUCAAAAUCCUGCAUUCCAACAGCUGCUCACUGCCAUCAUACGGCAUUACCUAUCAUAUAUCCGACCAUUAAUCACGACAUGGACUAAUCUACUCAAAACAGGCUCAAUCACGCAAAGUAUUACAAUCAGAAGCACAGAACAGAACAAUCCGUGAUGAUGGAAAUAAUGAAAUCCCAAGCAGCAUUGAGCUGCUAUCGUUCAGUUCAAUUGAGCAAGCUAAACUUGGGAAAAAAGGGUAAUAAAUCGAUAGCCACUGCAGUUUUGACAUAGAUUAGCUAGUCAAACCGAAUCACGUCCUACCCAAUCAAAGGCAACUAAAUUGCGGAUCGGGUUGAGCUGGACAUCAAUGGUAGAGAUUAGUAGUGAAAGCAAAGGUACCUUGCUGGUGGUGGUGCGGAGAGAGAGGAAGCUGUCGCAAUAGACCGUGCGCUUCAGCUUCUGCUUCAGGUGCUUCUUGAAGGUGACAUUCCAGCAAGCAUGGUCUCAAGCACAUAGCUCAUUUCAUCAAACACCAAAAUUGCACAUGAUCACCAAACACUAGGCAGGCAAAACUUAGAUGGUUCACACUCACACAAAGCAUAAUUCAGCACACUAAUUACAAACACAAUCCGAGAGCAGUUCAGGAUUGAAAAAGAAAACCAGAGCACAACAUCUGUCCAUUCCUAGAACUUGCAUUGCCAGCUCAAAAUGCAAGCAUUGAGUCCAUCACAGAGGAGUCAUACUGGAUUCCUGAAAGCUCUGACGUAUUCAUCUGUGGGAUUCUGCUGAGUCUGGAUGUUCUGUGGAAGGACAACAAGGAUGUCGAUGCCAGAUUUCUGUCUCUCAAUAUUCUGUUUGAUGUGAAGUUCGUUUUCCUAAUCAAAACUCCAGAGUUAAAGCAUAAGCUGGUAGACUUGGGUGCAAUUUCUCCCUCUCUGCCCAGCCUUGAUUGAGGAUGAGGACCCCAAUACCAAUGUGUGUGCAGAAGCUCCUUCGAUGCUCAUAGAGUUCAACUUGACUAAAAUUUCUGAGAUUCUACAACCAAAGACAGUCAGCCACUGCUUCAGAUUCUCACUUGGUGAUCUGUCCUGUGCAAAUGUGAAUGAUGGUGAGCUGCGCGUGGCUCUGGCAUCGGCUCUGGAAAUGGAUCCCAAGUUGCUUUCUCAGCUGAAAGUAGUAUGGCAUAUUGGAAACCUUUUGGAGUUUGUGCAUGAGAAAAAUAUGGAAGAUUUUCUCAAAUUUAUGCUUGGCUUGUGCAAAGCUCUUCUUUUUUUAUCACUAGGUUCUAUGAAAGGUUCCACAGACAUGGAAGAGCCAACACUACUUGAUGAAAGUUCUUCUGAGGCAGUGAGUAACAUAUGAUACAUAACUGACUUUGGUGGCAGUGCCAGUGUUUUCCGAGAAUUGAGUGGUUCUCAUGACAGAAACAGUGCCAAUAUUGCUUCUAAAUGCACAGCUCUAUUACUGAAGGCAGCCCCAAGGGAAGGUGCUCUCUUUUUCUUACCAAUCUCCUGUAAGCCAGUGCGAUUCUCGAGUCUCAGCAAAAGGGAGCUCCUUCUCUACUGGUACCAACGAAUGCUGCAUUCUCUCAGUUACUCCUGUAGGCGAUGUUUACUGCACGGAAUGACUUUUGUCAGUGUGCCUGUCAAAGAUUGCUAUGAUUGAAGGCAUCAUUGCUGAGAUAAAAUAUUCUGGUGCUGCUGCUUUAGCCAGUGCUGCCACAUUGGUAAUCUCAGAAUUGCAGUGGCUCCCUCAUUUAUGACUUCUCCAUAACAUCUGCAAAUCCCACUAAGAAGCACACCUUUCCUGAAAAAUAAACUGAACUUAAGCAUGGCAGUACAGAGUGUCUGUCUACUUCAAAGUCGCAACAAUGAGUUGAUUGUGCUUUCAAGUCCCAGGAUGAGAACCAUAGUUGUAUGACCUUCCAUCACACAUUCCAUCUAUUUGUUUACAGCAUAGCGAAUUUAUCUCCCAUGCAAAGUGAGGUUAUCAAUUUCAAAAUAUGUGUGAAGCAGCAAAUCAACAAUGAUCUCUAAUAAUUUGUUACAUAUCAAAUAAAAAUGAUGCAAUUGACAUGCAUAUAUCUCUAGGAGAAACCAUCCUAAGAAAAUGUAGCUAAAAAAGCGAAACCAAACUAGGAAAAGAACACAAUACUUGUACAUAAUUAAGAGCCCUCUGGCUGUUCGAAGGCAUCACAAUUUAAAUACCUUCAUCAGAUUUUCAGAAAAGAAUCCGCUAAAAGGUCAUUAAAAAGUGCAUGCAAAACUUCUCUGUUCAUAUCUGUGAAAGAAUUUGAUUGCCAAAAAAGGAAAACAUUGGUACUUACCUCAAUUUGUUUAAGGUUUGAACACAAGGGAACAAUUUGUGGUCGCGCAUCAAAAAGCUUCCAAGUGCAAUGUGCACUUAUUCAUCUUCUUCAUCGUCUUCUUCAUCAGAUUCGUCUUCUUCAUUGUCUUCUUCCACAGAUUUGUCUUCUUCAUCAGAUUCGUCUUCUUCAUCGUCUUCUUCCACAGAUUCGUCUUCUUCAUCGUCUUCUCCCACAAAUUUGAUUGACUCCUCCGAGCAAAGCCGAGAAAUUUCCUCCACUGCUAAUUUCCCACAACGUAAUAUUGUAACCUCUCGCACACUCUUCAAGCUUGAUAGAUCAGGCAACUUCUGUAAAGAUCCACAAUCUUUAAUCUUCAAUAUAUUCAAAGAUUGGGGUAGUUUGCCUUGAAUCUCAACCAGAUUAUGACAAUGUACUACUGAAAGAUAUGUUAUUCCGUCCAAAUUGCUAAGAUCAGGGAUCUGCAUCUGUUUAAAGCCAGAAAGCAGCAACCGAUGUCCACCACUAUAUUCAAACUCCCGAUUGCGAAAUUUUAUAAAAACAUUUUCCUUACCCACUAAGCUGAACAGAUCAGGGAACUCCAGAAACGAAUCUAAUUUAUCUAAUUUAUCGCAUCCUCUUAUUGUGAACCCCCCUUGCAGUCUCUUCAAGCUUGACAGCUCAGGCAACUUCUGUAAAGAUCCACAGUCUUCAAUGUCCAAGUGUUCCAAGGAUUGGGGUAGUUCGCCUUGAAUCUCAACCAGAUUAUGACAAGAUUCUACUCUAAGAAGUGUUAUUCCAUCCAUAUUGCUUAGAUCAGGGAUCUGCAUCUGUUUAAUGCCAGAAAGCUGCAACCGAUUUCCACUUAAAUAUUCAAACUCCUGAUUGCCAAUAUGCACAUACACAUAAACAUGUGUCUUACCCAUUAUGCUGAAUGGAUCGGGGAACUCCUGUAACGAAUCACGGGAACCAAUUGUAAGUUCAUCCAAAAACCGUGGUAGUUCGCCUUGAAUCUCAACCAGAUUACAGCACCCUGAUACUCUAAUACGCCUUAGCUUGUUUAACUUGCUUAGAUCAGGUAGCAUCGCCAGCUGUACGACGCCCCGAAGGUUCAAAUAUCGUAGGUUCUCCAAACAACCAAGGCCUUCAAUCUUUGCAACUGCAGAGCAGCAAAUGUCGAGAGACGAUAGUUUCCUCAAAUUCAAUAGAUCCAUCGAGCAAAGUGAGUCGCAACCAGAGAGAAUUAAGGAGGAUAAAUUAGAGGGAAGCCUCGGGAGGAGAGGCGGAUGAGGAGGGAGGCUGAGGUCUGUCGAUGAGGCGGUCCCCCCGAAAAAGCGCAGUUCCAGAGAUUCCAAUUUGCUUAAGUUCCCAAUCCACCGUGGUAUCCGUUUUUCCAGGAGCCCAUAAGAUUUCCCAUCACAGUUAGGUGGGCCAAAGCCCAGACGCAAUACCUUUAAGUUAGCGAGAUUUGAGAGAUUCGGAAACGUGUCCACCCUCAACUCCUCCACUACUAAUUCAAUGAGACUUUCAGGAAACCUUGGUAGGGCGUGUACUCCCGGCCAUCCCAAUAUCUCCUCAAAUGGACCCCCGUGUAAGCAAUAACCACUUAUUGCGUGGGCAUGCCUGACAUGAUUAUAACGGUCGGCGAUUUCCAUUCCCUUGACCUUCCCCAUCUUCUUCUUACAAGCAUCAUUGUUCGUUCUUUUUUCGAAACCAUUCUGCAUCUUCAUUACUUUCAAAUUCUUCAACAUUCCAAUGGAAUCGGGUACUUCUUCAAUGCUCGUGUGACUUAUGUCCAACUUAGUUAGCGAAUCCAAAUUUCCAACCGUCUCCGGAAGCCUAUGAAGAUUCCAACAAUUGCUUACAUCUAAGAAAAUUAAGCGUUUCAACUGACAAAUUGAUCCAUCAAUUUCGAUUAAUGAUUCACAGCCUGAUAGGAUCAAAUGUUCUAAAUUUGAAUGAGCUGAGAAGUUGGGGAUUCUCUUCAAGUGUCGGCAAUGGGCCAGAUUCAGAACUUUCAAAUUCUUCAACUUUCCAAUGGAAUUGGGUACUUCUUUGAUGCUCGUGUGACUUAUGUCCAACUCAGUUAGCAAAUCCCAAUUUCCAACCGUCUCCGGAAGCCUUUGAAGAUUCCAACAAUUGCUUACAUCUAAGAAAAUUAAGCGUUUCAACUGACAAAUUGAUCCAUCAAUUUCGAUUAAUGAUUCACAGCCUGAUAGGAUCAAACGUUCUAAAUUUGAAUGAACUGAGAAGUUGGGGGUUCUGUUCAAGCGUCGGCAAUGGGCUAGAUUCAGAACUUUCAAAUUCUUAAUCACCUGUGAAAGAAAAAUCAUGCAAAGUUUACUUUCGAAUUUAAUGAGAUGGAAGAAUAAGUGUUCUCUAGCAUAUAACAUACCUUCAUGUGGCUCCACCCCUUCCAAUCAUGUGUAAUUUCACUCUCAAAUAGAUCAAGGAUAGUCAAAUUCUCUACGGAGAAAUUUGCAAUCUCAAAUGUUGGGUGAAUAUUAUGCCAAGAAAGCCAGUGUAAUUCUGGAAGGAGAUUUGAAUCCAAAACAUCAGUUGGAAGAACACUUGAUGGCCCUUUGUGCUGAAGAAGCAUCUUUUCUACACAAAAAGUUUGCUCCGAGUCAUCAACUUCAAGGAACCUUAGCCUUGAUAGGCUCUUAAAGUCCUUGUAGGUAAAACGGUGCUGAUGGUCCAAGCGGAGGCGAAGAGCUUCAAUUUUUUUCUUCGUCUGCCCAAAGGAAAAUUUUUAAAAACAAGAGAGUUGAAGGGAAACACAUUUAGCCAAAUUCACUAUUUUAAAGGACUGAGUUGAGUACUACCAUUCCAUUAAUCUUAAAAAAGCAAAAAUGUCCAUAAGUAACUUGGAAAUUAAUGCGCAGGGGAUUUUACCUUAGGGCUCUUCAGCAAAUCCAACGCUUUCUCACGAUCCCACACCCUACUUUGUUUAUUUAUAUUGGUUUCUUGACAAACUAUUUGUCUUCCAAGGUCUCUAAGUUGGUCGUGCAUCCACACUUUAUUAUCCUAUUUAAUCUUUACCAAAGACAUGUUCUCCAAAACAUCCAUGGCAUAUUCCGAAUGGAAUUCAGAUUCCCAAAAAUGAACUACAAUGUCUUUAUCAUAUCCAAUUAAGAGACAAGCUAUAUCAAGGAACUUUUGCUUUUCCUUUUCUUUGUAUUCAUCAUAACUUAUUUUCAAUCUACUAUGGACAUCCUUAUGAGGAUCACUUUCCCACUUACGUAAUUCGAAAUCCCACUUUUUCUUUUCAGUAGUGCAAGAUAAAAGUGAACCCAUGAGCUCAAGAGCUAGUGGAAGACCUCCAGCAAUUUUUAUCGCCCUCUCGGAUUGGUCGAUAUACUCGUCUAAAGGAUGAUCUCUUCUAAAGGCAUGUUUGCUAAAGAGUUGAAGAGAUUGAUCGUGAUCCAUGCCCGAAAGCUCAUAACAGCUGUCCACUUUAAGAACAUCAAGAACUUCUUUGUUUCUAGUAGUAAUAAUAAUUCUGCUCCCUUUACCAAACCAAUCACACUCACCAACAAGUGCAUCGCUAUGAUUCUUUUCAUGUACAUCAUCGAGAAGGAGGGGGGCUCUUUUAUUAGACAACCAGGCUUUGAUGGUAUUAAUCCCAUCAUCAAUGUUUCUUAUAUAUGUGCAUUUGUCUUUGAGAAUGCUGGAGAUGAGCUGAUUCUGCAAGGAUUCAAUGCCCUCGCGUUCUGACAUUUCACGGAUGUUGGACAGAAAGCAACAAUCCUCAAAAUUUUCUAAAAGCUGAUUGUAGAUGAUUUUGGCAGUUGUCGUCUUCCCGAUGCCACCCAUCCCAUAGAUUCCUAUAAUCCGUGUUUCACUUGUGCGAGGACCUAUCAAUUCCAUGAUUGCAUCAACAUGGUUGUCGACAUUGACCAAGCAAUUUGAUACUACCAAAUAAGCCUUUUUCAACUCAUUGAAAACCUUCUGCAUGAUUGUUUUUGCAAACUGACCUUCUUGCCUAUUAUUCGUUGAAAGUCAAAAGGCAAUGAGUUAGAAAAUUGAGUUAAGCCAAACUAUGCUCUAACAAGACCAAAUUGAAAACUACAGACCUAUUCUAAAUGCGUUCCUCAACGAUUUAUACCAUUUUGAUAAACUAGCACUGGAACUUAGGGUAAAUGAAUGACCUGAACUAACGAAAAAUGUUGCUUGUUGGGAAUGAAAUGGGACAAAAAUUGACAUGGUGAUAUUAUUUAGCCUGAUUUUGCUGCAUAAUUUCAAUUGCAUACAAUUUCAACAAGACUAACACAAAUUUAGAAAAGAAACAAAUUUAAAUGCAUCGAGUUUAACGAUACAAGGCACAUGAGAUGGAAUGCUAAAAGUAGUCACCUGUUGGGCAUGCUUUGCAGGUCCCAUCCAUUUAUAUCCACGACUGUAGUGAGAGCAUUCUUCCACUCUGCUAUAGUCUUUUCAUCAUAUCGCUUCUUUCUUUUGUGUGAAACAAAAGCAUUUUUAAAACUCCCGGUUUGGUGUCGAACCUCCGAAGGUGUCACAUCAUAAAAAAUGGGCAUGAUCUUUUGUCCUUCAUUUUUCUGGCACUUGACCAUUUGAACUAGCUCUCUGAGACACCAUACGCUAGAGGCAUAACCUUUUGAAAAGAUAGGUAUUAAGAUCUUCGACUGAUUGAUUGCUUCAGGAAGUUCUGGGGCAAACUCUUCCCCAACACGGAGCGCGUCAUCGUCCCUAAAUGUGCGGAUUCCUGCAUUUAUAAGAUAAUUGUAAAGGAAGUCGGUAAAACCUGAUCGUGUGUCAGGCCCUCUGAAACUCAAGAAUACUUCAUAGUCAUGUCCGGAAGAUGUUGCCGUUUCCUCAACUUGUGGUGUAGUGCAAGUAUGAGUAGCCCUCUCUACGGUACCAUUCUGUGGAGCUGAAUCAUUAUCUGCACUGCCCUCCACAGCGGUCUGACCUGCUCUUUUCUUCAAGAAUCCUUUGAACAGGAUGGCAGAGAGAGCUAUGGUAGCAACCGUCACAAUACAGGGCAACAGCAAGUGCUCAAGCAUUUUGUGAGUUAGCAAAGAGAAGGUUUUUAGUUAGAAAUACAGGGGAAUGGUGGAAUAGCAGAGAUGAGAGGCGGCACUUAAAGAUCAGGAUGGAGUAACGAGGAACGGCGAGCCCGCGACGGCGAGAAAUCGCCAGAGAAAGAGUAGAGACUGAGGCGAGGGCGGCCACUGAUGCUGCGACGGAUCAGCGACGAGGCAGAGGAGGAGAAGGAUCGAGAGGAAGAGGAGAGGAAGGGGGUCGUGCGGCGAGGAGGCGGAGAAGUAUCGAGAGGAGAAGGAGAGGAAGGGGGUCGUGCAGGUGCGGCAAGCGGCGAGCGGCGAGCGGCGAGAGGAGGAGGAGAAGGGCGCGCUAGCUUUUGGGUUUUGGAAACUCAAAAAGAAUAUAAAAAGGAGGCUGAUGAGGGUGAAGUGACAGCCUGUCACGUGGGUGGGGGAGGGGAAAAAGAGUUAAAUAAAUUUGGGUUGGGGGGAAAUGGCCUGACGUGAGGAGAGGAGGGAAAAAAAAUUGAAAUAAAUUUGGGGGGGGAAUAGUCUGACGUGGGGAAGGGAGAGAAAAAAAUUGAAAUAAAUUUGGAGGCGGGGGAAAAUAUAAGAGGGAAAGAAGGGAGUGGGGGUUGGCGGUGGACCCCUCGAUUAGAUUUUUUUUUAAUCGAAAAAAUAAAUAAAUGAAAUAAAAAAAUAAUUUUGAAAAGUAAAAAUACUGAAUUUUAAAUGAUAAUAAAUUUUGAUCAUUAUAAAAGAUUAUGGAUUUAUUUAAAUAAGUUGAUUCUAAUUUCUUGUUAAUAAUCAAUUUUAUCAAUAACUUUUGUUAAAAAUAAAAACAUAUUUCUAAACAUGAAUAUGUAUUAAUUAUGAAUAUAUCUUUCAAAAUUCUAAUGAAUUGAUUUAUUAAUAUUAUUAGUGUAAAUUUAUUAUAGGCUUUUUAAUUAUUUAUUUAUUUAUGAAUUUGAAUUAAAUUAAUUAAAAAUAAAAAUAACCGUUUAAUAUACAACGUGCCUUAUCGUAUUGAAAUUCUCAAUUUUUGAGAAAUGACAUAUCGACAUGUCAUGUCGCGUGUCGAUACUAAUUAGGGAGUAAGCGCAAGAAGCCAAGGCACUUUAAAUCUCAAGGAGCAAAUGGGCAAGUGUUGGGAUUCACACUCUACAUUGUACGGUGCACACUAUUUUUCCCCCUUAUGAAUGCCUUUUGAGGAGAUAACAUUCAACUGCAAUUUCAUAAAAGGUUCUGAAGGAUUAUUCUCUACACAUCAGAAAAGGCCACCAUCUUUCAUCUGGCAUUUCCUAAACAUUGUUCACACUGCGCUAGCUUUGAGGAAGAAAAAAAAAAUAGUAGCAACAACGUUUCACGUGCUAUGAUGCAUAACAAGUUGGUCUCCAAGACCAACCAAGCACAUCCGCUUUGAUGUAAGUUGUCUCUUCUCAUAUCUUAGGAACGAAAAUUGUCCCUUUCUAAGGUUGAUUCUAGAGAUUUGGCCCUCCACUUUCCUUUUUGAGUUCAUAUUUGAUCACAUCCUUUUAUUUGAUGAGCAAAACUAAAAUACGAAUCCUACACUUCGGUGACUGUUUGAAUUCUUGCCCAAGGCUUUCAUAUUACAAAAAAAAAAAAAAUCAAUGUAUUUAAAAAAUACUUCAGCUGUGCUUGCAAACAAGUGUAAGCUGAAGUAUUAAAGUGGUGGAAUGUCAUUGGAAGGUUAAACCAACGAACAGACCAUGGCUAGCAAAGUAUCCUUCCAAAUGUCACUUCUAGAAAUAUAGACAUAGCACAAUGUAGAGUUUUCUUGUUAAAAAAAUUUGGCUCGAAUCUCAUGAACUUAAAUAAUUCCCAAAGGGUCUUACAUCUCAACAAACAACAUGAUUGCAUUUACAUUGGACACAGCACAGUGCAAAGUUUCCGGCCGGCCACCCCGGAGGAGUUGCCCUCCUCCGGGACCUUUCAUUGGAGGUUUACUAGCCUAGUAUGCUAGGAGAAGGCAGUGACCUCCCUCCAGGCAGGAUCCCAGCACUAGAAGUGCUAUGGCCGGAGAGCCCAAUGGGGACUCUAUCCUGUUUUCCUCCCCUCACUUCCCUGUAAAUGGGUUGUGGGAGGAAGCACCCUAGGAUGUCCUAUUCAGGGUGGAGCACUUUAAGGACCUGCUUAGGUCCUCACUUCUAGAAAUAUAGACAUAGCACAAUGCAGAGUUUUCUUGUUAAAAAAAUUUGGCUCGAAUCUCACGAACUUAAAUAAUUCCCAAAGGGUCUUACAUCUCAACAAACAACAUGAUUGCAUUUACAUUGGACACUGCACAGCGCAAAGUUUUUUUUUUUUUUUUUGGUUAGUGCAAAGUUUUUAUUCCCCUUAAAAUAAAAUUAAGAAAAAAGACAAAAAGACAAAAGUUUGAAUCUUUUUGAAUCUCUAUAAUAUAAAUAAUUUCUUCCCAAUGUCACUUCCAGAAAUAUGGACAUCUAGUCUCUCUAGAUUAGAUCAAAACAUUAUCCAACGCAAUUCAUUUGAUGAAUGGUUGUAGUUUGAAAUCUUACAAAGUUCUAAAAUUCCGCUGGCCAAAAAGGAGUUUUGAUAUAUGCGUUGUAAGUUUGAAUAAUCAAAUAAUAAAUUUCAAAUAUAGCUGGUAAGUGAAAAUUACAUAUGACUUUAUAUAUAUAAUAGACCAAGUGACGAUUGCAGCCAUAAGGACGUACUUAAGCUGAACUUGCACCGAGAGCAACCAUGUCUACUGAAGAGAAAAUAGCCGACCCUGAGGCGGCGAAGACGGCUGAAGUGCUGCCGCUGAAAGAGGAGGCCCUGCCUCCACCCACGAGCCCUCCCGACGAGGCAAGCUUGCUCACAGCGGACGUGGCUCUUCAAGGGUUGCUGUUUGCUUCGAUGCUAAUCGCGCUCUUGAGGACCGUUCUAAGUUUGGUUCUGGAGAUUUGGUCCUCUACUAUCCUUUUUGAGUUCAUAUUUAAAUUUUGAUGCACACCAAUACACACGCUUUUACUUGAUGGGCAAAAUUUUAAUAAUUGAGUCGAGCCCCGAUACCGCGGCCACAUCCAACCACGGCCGUGCGAGGCCAGCAACCUCCGUCUGUCGCGACUUCUAUUGGACAUAGGUUGUGAGUUCCGUGCGGAGAAAAAAAGAGACCAAAGGAUAGCAAACAAGUCAAAUCGGUGAGGAGUUAAUGUCGCCGGUGGAUUCACACAUGAAGGUGAGGGCUUGUGAUGGCAAUAUGGGUGGGUGACACGUAAAAUUCCUAAACUAUAUUAACUAUGACACUAAUUAUUCCAACUUUUUUUUUUCAUCAUAAAAAAUCGAAACUUGUAUCAGAAAUCCAAAAAGUACUCUCCAUCCAAGAUGGUCAUUAAAAAUUUAAUGUGCCUGUUUGCGUGGACAACAGUAGACAAAUGAAGCAGACAUGACUCGGGAGAAUUCCACCAAAAAGCCUAAACCUUGCCUGGUGCGACAAUGGAACCCAAUUUUUUUUUACCUGUUACUAAUACUAUAUAUAAACGUGUAUCAGUGACUCGCAAAUAUUAUGCAUCACAGUUCCAUCCAAGACGGCCGUUAAAAAUCCAAUGUGACCACUUGCUUGGACAUCGAUAGGCAAAUGGAGCCAAUGUGGAUUUGAUGUGAUUUUAGUAUGGUCUAAAGUGACUUUAGACCACUUGUCAAAGUUAUAAGUUUUUAAAAAUUAAACCUCCAUUAUAACAAGUUAUCUCUCACAAUUUUUAGGGUCCAGGAAAUGGUAUAAUUUGGAGAUGCAGUUUUUUUGAAUAAUAAAUGGGACGAAUUCAUCUCUAUUUUAACUAAAAGAGCUCCGAGCUUAAUUUGAAACUAAUAUACAAAAUAAACGAGCUUCAACUUAUUCUCCAUUUAUUUCUUAAAAAAUGAAUGAUUUGGAAAACACUUUAUAUUGUUCAUAAAAAUGAAUAAAUUAAAGAUAUUUUCAUAAUCUAUCAAAAUAUUUAGACAUAAAUUAUUAUUGAUAGUUAAAAAAUUCAUUAAUUAAUUGUUUCAAGAAAUAUAAAUGAUGAUUAUUAUUUAUUUUUCGCGAAAUAAACGGAAUGCCAACUUUAACAAAAGUGUAAUGGAAAAUAUUCUUGCUUUGCCUUUUCCUUUUUCUCUAUGUGCUCGAGACCUUACAUUCGUCCACCCUCUUUUUAGCAUUUCACUUAUGUCCUUCUUCUUUUUGGGACUAGAAAGAAUAUGAAGGGAUAUGAUUGUUCACUUUGGAUCUCUUUAUUGGCAUCAAAUAUAUGGUCUAUCGUCAUACCAAUCUGACAUCUAUCAACGACUUUUUUUGGGGUAUGGAUUCAUCAACAACGUUAGCGUGCAAACACUGGUACAAUUUUGUGCCGAAGGGUUAUACUUUUCCUAAAAGAGAAAAAGAAAAAAGAAAAAAACUGGAAUUGCCCCUCACGAUCUUCCUUCUUUGUUUGGUGAAAAAUCAUUUUUGGAAAAUGUCUUUCCUUACUUUCCAGUGUUUGAAUAACGUAAAGCUACUCGAUCCAUAAAAACCUUUACCAUGGGCUAAAAGUAAUAAAUAAGCUUAGAGAAAAAUGACUUGGCAAGAAGAAUUGUUUUCCUUGAUUUUUGUCCUAAUUUAUUUUGUUGUUAUUUUCAUGGAUUAUAGAAUAAACGGUGAUGAUAUUAUAUCCAGUUUGUUAGUCAUCACAUGUUACUUUUAACUGUACAAGCCACCCUUAAUGAAUUCACUUAUACCAAUUAUGAUCAAAUCAAUUUCUUCAACUUGUUUUCAGCACAAUCAAAAUUUUGUGUUUACUUUUUCUGAGAUUGAAUUUCCUAAAACAUUUUCCCGCAACAAAAAAAAUUCUCAGUGAGAUAAACACAACCUAAGAAUUUGUUUUCACAUGAUGUUAUUCGAUUGAAAGAAAUGGUAAGAUGGAAUUAUCAAUGAUAUGAGAAUUGGACAUCGAUUUGUUGUCAUAUGAUUAUUUGGGGUUGAAUGAGAGAAUAAUGAAUCGGUGUAGGAUUUUACAGAAUGAUCUUAGUGAAAUAUUUUUACAAUAAAAUCUCUACGUUUAUGGAAGUUUGAUUGGGAGGCACAGAGUGCCAAAUAAAUGGGUCAUUGGUGUGAUUCCUUCUUGAGCAAGCUGGUUCAUCGUGGACUCUUGCUAGUCCAAGUCUUUGUUGACUUUGACUUUGCCCUUCUAAUCCCAUGACGUUUCUGUCUUGCUUGCACCACUCCUUACGCUGUUCUAUCUUUUUUUUUUUUUUUUUUGCUCUCUUUUUUAGAGUGGUAGCUAAUGCGAUUUUAAAUCUAAUGAUAGUAUUUUGAUGCAAGGCAAAAUUAUAUGUAUACGGCACUUUUGUCAUUCAAUUAAAUUAGAUGUUAUCAACUUUUCUAUUGAUUAAUGAUAGGAUUGGCUAGAUUAUUUAAAGAUAAAAGUUCUUUGAAUAGAUGGUAUUUGUUUUGCAGGUAUUUUUCAAGUUUCUAAAUCAAUUCCGUGGCUACUAAACAUUUUGUGUUUCACAAGAGAAAGUAGCCACUUCGCAACUAAAGUUUCACGAUAUUGACUCGAUAGAAACCAAAAUAGCCAAAGUCAACUUUUUUCAACCAUUCUUUAGCCAACCAAAGUCACUUGUAAAGAGUUGGCCCUUACAAUAUCAUAAGCUUUUCACGAUCUAGAUAAUGAUCAAUUCCAUGAUGAAUAAACAAAGCAUUGCCUCCUCUUCAUUGAUCUCUUUUGAUCUUCUCUCCGAGAAAAAAGGUCAAAUUGUAUAACAGCAAAAUCAGUGCAGCACAUUGUGAAAUCUAAAUCACUUUUAGAAGCCAAAAUUACAAAUGGAGAUAUCCAUGGGUCAUUAAAAGUAGAACACAGGAUUUGUUGACUAUGCUGAGAGCUGGGGGCAGUUCGUAUUCUAAUGAUAUUGUCUUUGUAGAGUUUGCUUUCACCCUGAAACAAAACCGCACGGUGGCCAAUGCGUCUUCCUUUCUUCCAUUGAAUCAUCCGAGAGCACUGUGUCGCCAUAGAUGCCCCCGCCCUUGCCCACAAAUUAACAAGAAUGAUAGGGCACGGGGACCCACUCGUGGCUUUGCUUGAACAUAAUUGUAGUGUCGCUUUCAGGACAGGGGCGUGUCCCAAUCGGGGAAAAAGGAUCAGGUCUAUUUUGAAGAAAACGCCCUGUCUGUUUUUCUUUUUUUUUUUUGGUAAGAGGUAAGAAUAUUAUAGCUAAAGAAACAAGGAGUUACAAGGAGGCAAGACAGACAGGCGACUCCAAUCAUGCACUCAAAAUGACACAGGCGUCAUACUGAGUGGAUGGGAGGCGGGGUGGAUUCCCCAGCACAUUUGGAGUCUUCGGUUACGCGGGUUAUCCGGAACUCUUGAGAAUGUGGAGGCUCUAUCUUUGACAACUUUCCGAAGACGAUCUUUGAGAGCGGGCAGGAAUAGGCUUUGAUUCCGAAAGAUGAUGUUAUUUCGCUCCUUCCAUAUAAGGUAGCACAGGGCAGCAAAUGCAAAGCGAGCAAUGGAAUGGUGGAAGCAUGAGUCCGAGAGAUGGAUGACCAUCCACUGUAGAUUCUCUUUCCAAGGACCAUUUCGCCAACUCAAAUUACAUUUAGAAGCCCAGAAAGAGGCCAAUCUACCCGUAACUGAGCAACCAAAGUAUAAGUGGUCGAUUGAAUCUAGCCUACUUGAGCAGAACGCACAGGAACCAUCCGGGAUCCUCCCAUACGACAGAAGCAAGACCUAGGUUGGCAAUCUAUUCCGAGUGAUCAGCCAUAGAUGGGUCUGAUAACGCGGGGGAAGAGUGGAGCUCCAGACAAAUCGAGACCAGUUAACCAAAGAGCCUCUAGCUCGAAGCAUAGUCCAUGCAGAAGCAGUAGAGAACUGACCUGAAGAGUGGCCAAGCCACACCAGACGGUCAUCCUGAUUGUUGAGGCUGGGGAGAGGAUCAACCCAAGUCUGGAUAGCAACAGCUACAUUAGACGGGAUAGACAGGGCAGCAAUACCUAUAACAACAGAAGCAUUCCGAGGGAUACGAGAGCAAUAUAUGUCACGAUCCGAGAAUAACUUGUUGAAUGGGCCACGAGGGUGCCAGGUAUCAAACCAAAAAGAAGUCGAUAACCCAUUACCAAUGUUCCAGGCAAAAUACCUCUGAAUCAAUUCACGCAGGCCAAAGAGUUUCUUCCAAGACCAAGAACAAACGGUCGGUCUAGGCGCAAUCCAGAAAUUCUUGUGUUUUAAGAAGACUGAAUGUAUCCAUUUGGUCCAGAGUGAUUCCUUAUCAGAGAAAAGCAGCCAUAUAUGCUUAGUCAUGGCAGCAAUGUUACUAACUCGAAGUGAGCGAAUACCUAGUCCUCCUUCCGCUUUAGGAAGGCAGACUUCUUCCCAACAAACUCUAGCACCACCAGAACCAAGGUUCAGGCCACGCCAAAGAAAUUGGCGGAAGAUCUGCUCAAUUCGAUUAAUAACUGAGGAGGGGAGGAUAAAAACCGAAGACCAGUACACCUGAAUGGAAUGGAGAACAGAUCUAAUAAGUUGGAGUCUACCAGCAGUUGAAAGGAAACGGUUAGUCCAUGACUGAACUCUCUUCAUUAUAGCAUCCACCAGAGAUACACACUCUUCCUUGCCUAAUCUUGAGGAAAUUACGGGGAUGCCAAGGUAUCGAAAGGGCAAUGAUCCAAGGUUGAACCCCGAUGCAUUAACCAUUGUGUUGGAGAAAUCUUUCCAGAAGAUUUUGAAGCUGACAAAACAUUUCUAUCAGUCUAGUCUUGAUAUCAUUGGUUUAAAGUCUCAAGACUUUGUAAUCUCAAGACUCAAGACUCAAGACUCAAGACUCAAGAUUAUUCUCACUGACAGUCUUUCUAAUCCAGCUGCGAAGGAUAUCCAAAGCCGAAGUAUAUGGUUGGGGAUUUGAUCCAAUCCUCUGGAAUAGAUCCCUUGGUUGGAUAAUCAUUUCGGAUUCUUUUGAUUCUUAUCUAAGAUCAAUUGAAGAUCUGAUGGUCGACGAAACAUUCUUGGAAUGUUCUAUUCUUGGAAACCAAAAUCCUGAUUGUAUGGGCAAACAGGAUUGAUGGGCUAUCAUCAGAUUCCUUAAAUAGCUCGGAUGAUCUUCUUAAUUGAUUCCGUCCAACGGGUAGAUUGGAGGAAUUCCUUUGGUAAGUGCCAACGGCUAUGAUGGCAUAAAGGAGUAUAAAAGGAAGACGUUCUAGUUGUUUUAAGUGUGUGAUCGAUAGAUAAAUUCCAGAGUCUGAAGAACCUUGAUUGUUAGUCGAGACUGUUCAAGCGAAAUUGUAUACACAGAGAGUAGUUGUACUUGGUGAUACCUUGAGCGAGUGUAGUAGAUCAUCUACAUCGAGAGAUCAAGGAAGAUCAACACUGUAACAUCUCUUUGUUCAUAGUGGAAUCCAGCCAAUCGGCUGUCAGUGCAGAAGAGUGGACGUAGGCUUGAAUCAAGCUGAACCACUAUAAACCUCGUGUUUAAUUCUCUCUUUCUUUUACUCAGUCUUACGAUUGUUUUUUAAUCCUUCAUCUGUUUAAGUAUUGCGCAAACUGCAAGAAAAUUUUCAUAAACCUAUUCACCCCCCUCUAGGUAUUCGUACUAGCAUUAUCAAUUGGUAUCAGAGCUUGUGUUCUUACUUUAUUUGAAGUGUUUUACUUCAGAGUAUUGGGGAUGAGACCAAACCAGGCAGCAAAAGUGUUUACUCCAUCCAUUAGAAGGCUUAGAGACGGCAUGGUUGCUUCCGAGAAGAGCAACACAUCGUCAGCGAAGAAUAGAUGGGAUAACUUGGAGGGUUUACAACGCCAAAAGAACCGAAAUCCGGGUUUGCAGGUGCGGGCAUUAAUACUGCCAGUAAAAACUUCCAUUACAAGAGUAAAGAUAUAUGGGGACAGAGGGUCCCCCUGUCGGAUACCUCUCCCACUAGGGAAAAAACCAUGCAACUCACCGUUUAAAGCUAUAGAGAACUUGGGGGUUCUGAUGCAUGUCAUAAUUCGAUCAAUAAAUGUGGGUGGGAAGCCAAAUGCUUGGAGCGUCGACUCAAUAAAGUUCCAGUCAACUGAGUCAUAAGCUUUGGAGAAAUCAACCUUAAUAAUGUUCUUUGGAAAGUAAGGCUCAUGGUGGAAGUGAGCAAAUAAUUCUUGAGCAAGCAUGAUAUUAUCACUUAUCCUCCUCCCUUUAACAAAAGCGUUCUGGGGGGGACUAAUUAUAGAUGGGAGCAUAUAAGCUAAUUUGUUGGCUAACAGUUUCGUGAUACACUUGUAUAUAGUGUUGCAACAAGCAAUAGGACGGAAGUCAUUUACCGUGGAAGCAUUGGGGGACUUCGGGACCAAGGUUAGAAUAGUGGUGUUGAUCUCACGAAGCAGCUGGCCUGUAGAUAAGAAGUCCCGAAUUGCUAAUAGAACGGAAGGGCCUACAAUAUCCCACGAUUGCUUAAAGAAAUCAACAUUAAAUCCAUCCGAGCCAGGGGCUUUUCCAAUGGCCAAUGAAAACAAAGUAGUUUGGAUUUCUUCUUCAGUGAAUGGCUGAGAGAUGGCUUGGAUCUGAUUAUCAUCGAGCGUAGAAGCCAGAUUCGCACGAAUCUCUUCAACAGACGGAACGGCGGAGGGGGUAGCGUCUGACAGCAGAUUUUGAAAGUGAUCAACAAAGAGUUGCUGCACUUCAACUUCAUCAGUAAUUACAUUACUACCAUCAAAAAUCGAGAGAAUUCUAUUCCGGAGAUGGCCUCGCUUCACCGAAUGGUGGAAGAAACUGGUGUUUAAGUCACCUUCUUUAAGCCAUAUGACCCUUGAUUUUUGUCUGUAGAAAGAUUCUUCCUUGAGGUGAAGGUCAGAAAAGACACGGAGGUGGUCCUUUUCCGCAUCAGCUAGAGCUUGAUUAUGAGGGUCAAACUGAAUAGCGUUUUGAGCUUGCACGAGAAGACGUCUGGCGUCAGAAGUUCUAGCCAAAAUAUCAGAGUAAGCCUCCCUGUUUAAUAAUUUGAGUCUGCAUUUCAGGGACCUAAGCUUACUACAAAGGACAAACAUAGGCGUACCAGAGAUACGCAGCUCCCAGAUUUGCCGAACCAACUCAAAGAAGUUGGGGUGUGACAUCCAGAAAUUGAAGAACUUGAAGGGUUUACGCGAGCUAGGAACAGGGAGAAUCCUGACCACCAUAGGAGAGUGAUCAGACACUCCAGGGGCAAGAAAGUUGGCUUCCGAAUAGGAGAAGGCCGAGAUCCAAGCUGCAUUAGUAAGAACUCUGUCUAUCUUUCUUUGCCUUUGAUUAGGACCAGACGAAGUAGACCAAGUAAACCUGUUACCCACAAAGCGGAGAUCAUCUAGACCAAAUUGGAUGAGGCAAUCUCCAAAGUCUUCAAAGGCUGGGAUCCAGUAAUUGGAUCUAUCUGCUCUAUCAGAAGCAUACCGAAUGACAUUGAAGUCACCAGCAACAAUCCAGGGGAUGUCCAGACAAAUGGAACUAGUGGAGAUCAGAUCAUUCCAAAGCGGUCUUCUCAGGACAAAAGAAUGCUCCGCAUAGACUACCGAAAGAUUAAAAGCAACACCAGAAAUAAAACACUUCAACCGGCCAUGAAUGGCCUGAGCAGAACAAGCUGAGAUGCAAAAAGAAGCGGCCAAGGGGUUCCAACCCACCCAAAUACGACCCCUGAUGGAAUAAGAGUAAUUUGUAGACCAAGACCACCCAGGAAGAAGGGAUGCCGAAACAUGGGAAUGGGCAGCAGGGGAUAUUUUAGUCUCCAAAAUACCAAUACAACAGAGGCAGUUAGUCCUCACAAAAUUCCUAAUCUCAGCUUGUUUGAGGGCUUGUCCAAGACCCCUAAUAUUCCAAACACCAAAAAACAUAGGAAUGAGAUAAUAGGAUUACCUUCUCUUGCCACCUCGUUUCCUUGCCGAGUGUGGCAUAAGCUUCGGGCCAGCAGGAAUACUUGCCUCAGCAGAUUCAGAGCGGAGGAUUCCUUUUUGACGAACAGGGGCCUCCUGAUUAACCUUCGGAGGGGGAAAUUUAUCGCGUUCCUCCGGUAUGGACGAGGGCACCUUACAAGGUGAUACAGAUUCACCAUCAUCGGAACUGAUAUCUUCAUGAUUUUCAUCUGAAGGUGCAGACUUAUUCAAGCCAGGGGAAACCUGUCUUUGCAUCACAGUAGCGGAAUCUGGGUCAAUAGAGGUGGCAGGGAGUAGAUCAAAGGAAGGAUGAUGAUCCUCCUGCCUGGUUAACUCUGGUUGCCUAUGAAGGGCCAUUGAAAUCUGAGGCAUCGGAUCUCCAAUCUGGUUUCCUUCAGAACGGGGGGACUUGGGACGAUUCGGGACCGGAUCAUACAUCAGGCCAUCAUUUGCAGGCGUCGGGGCGUGCUUAUUGCGUUUACCACGCACUUCACGCCAUUCGUUUGGACGAGGGACAGGUGCCUUCGGGACUGAGGGACCAGGUUUAGAAGGACCUGAGGAAUUGGGGGCAGGACAUCUAUGGCCAAAUGAAGAGCAGGUUGGACAAAGUGUCGGGAUCCACUCAUAUUGGACUGUCACUGAUCUAAGCUCACCCUUCAUCAUAAACUCUAUAACUUCAGGGAAAGAGUUAGACGUAUCAACUUCUAUACAAACUCAAGCAAAAGCUACCAUUGCCAUCUGUUCUGUUCGAUUAUCAACAAAUAAGGGCUUACCAAUACCACUUGCCAGAAAACUAAUGCCAGCAGCAGACCAUAGAGCCACAGGGACGUUCCUGAGUCGAAUCCAGAUGGGGACAGUAUUAUGAGUUGAUUUCUUGAGCUCCAACAUAGGGUGCCAUUGUUGCAGGAUCAAGGGGAUUUUGGCUACUGUAAUCGGGCCUCCAUCCAAGACUUUCAUCCUGAAUUCACUAUCCGGAAUGUGAAAGAAGUAAAAACCAAGGUCAGCAGCAAUAACUUCGACCAAGUGAUGGCCCCAGGCAUUCUUGAGGGCGUCCUCUGUGAGGUGGAAGGGUAGGCGCUUCCCAAUGUAGUAACCAACCAGACAUUCCUCCCAUUUCGGGUGAGUAGAUUCGAGAAUCUCCUCCGGCAUCUGCAGAAUCUUAGAGUUCUCAAUUGUGGCCGGAGGAACAAAGGAUAAACCAUAGCCUUUGGUUGCCGAACGGGUCAGCAGCCCAGGAGCGAGCAGGAGGGGGAGUUUCCUUCACAGGGGGAAUAUGUACAUUCAGAAAUGGCUCCUCCGGCGCCUUAUUCGGGGCAUUCGGACGCCCUUUGGCCUCACGACCGUGGAGAACAGGGAUAGAUGCAGUGUCACGGCUGAAGGAGAUCUUCCUAUCCUUUCGAUUUAGACCAGCAGAGGCAUUAUCACACCCAACAGCAUUUAGCCGAGCAGGAAUACCCAGCAGAGGACGAGCCCUACGAGCCCUGCUUCGUCCCCUGCUUCGCGAACGCCCAGAGUGGGCGCGAGGUCCUCUCAGAGCCGAGGAGUAUCGCAUAACAGGGUUGCGAGUGGGUGUGGGGGAGUGAGGGUGCUCAACCGGAGCAACAACAUGGGCUUUACCCCGGUUAUCUUCCACCACCUCAGAGGAGGACACCAUUCGGAGACGGCGAACUCGGAAUUUCAAGCCCUAAAAACUCAGAUCCGAGAUUCCAGCUGAGGAAGACAUACCAGGGAAAUUCGCUCGGUAGAAGACAAGAUCAGAUGUAGAGGAAUGUUGUCUCCAAGCGUGGGCGCAAUCGGCCGGCCAGAACGGCCGGAAAUGGGAGACGCGCAGGCGAUGAACAGUGCUCGCGCAAACCCAGUCGAGAGCUUCAGCUUGAACAGUAACUUCUCCUCGUUUAAUGUUUAACUCACGCCCCAUCUGUUUUUCGUGCUCUCCAAACCUCAAAAAUACAAAGGAAGUUUGGGAAAAUAUGGCAAUUUCAAUGGGGGACGCGUGGGCUAAAAAUCCAUGAUUUCGGGGUUGCGCUGCCAACUGCGGCAUAUGGACUGGAUUACACCUCUCUUCACUUCCUAUUCUUCGAGCAGGUCUUGCCCGCUCGAGCACCGGGGCAUGUGAACCUGACUCAUGCACAUAUGGAUCAUGUGAAUUCUCCAUACGUUCCAUCUCACCCAUUGGUAUGCAUGACCCCAGAUUGAUUUAGCAUAUUCUUCCUAUUAAUUGGCUCCCGCUUCACUGCACCCGAUAUUAUCAGUCCCCUCAUGUGCAUGUGACCAUUGACAUUUGACAGGUCUACGUUCCAUCUACCAUGUGAGUCAUGUGACCACCGACAGUUGACAGGUCUACGUUCCAUCCACCAUGUGAGUCAUGUGACCAUCAAUAGUUGAUAGGUCCAUGUUCCAUCCGCCAUAAUCAUGGCCCCUUGUCCUUUUCCCUUUGCUCCUCUCCUUUCUCCCCUAUCAAUUGCAUUUUGUCUUUUUGAUGCUGCCAAAAUACCCAAAUGCUCUCUUGGCGAGGAAUUUAUUUAUCCUUUUCUUUAUGGUAUUGAUUUUAAUGAUAAAUUGGGAUGAGGGCCUUUCUCUAUUCCUCAAAAAAUCUCUCGAUAUAGAUUUGAGAGUUUAAUAAAUAUACUUUUGGGGAUUCAAUGCUCUCAUGCUUUAUUCAUGUAUAGAUUCUCUGCCCCAGUCUCAAUGAUGAUCGUAGGAGUUUUAGCAUUUCGUUGAAUUACGGAGAUUUGUUCCUCCACACAUUAUAAUUGUGUUUAUCUAACAUAGUAUGGUUGUUUUUGUACGAUGAUGGUAUAGAGGAAGCUGAAUCAAGGCACGCACCAUCAACUAACAACAUCAUAAUUAUUGAAGAAGGAAUUUUUGGCGUGUACUCAUCACUGACACAGACUCGAGAUCUGGUGAUUGGUUACCAAUUUUGUUUGACAUAUAUGUUCAUGUGGAGUGAGUUUGUGCUUAACUUUGCAAUUGCUCCAUCAAUCCUCCUUUUGUUCUGGAUUUGGCUUUGUUUUUCAGUAUUCAUGCUCUAUUUUGAUUUGCUUUGUCAUGAAAAUUAUUUACUUAUGCAUCAUUUUGAGUAAUGAAUACAAUUUUCCUUCGAUCGAGGGAAAAAAAAACUAAGUCAAGCCCCGACACCACAACAUUCAACCAUAGAUUUGUGGCUCUAGCGACCUUUGCCAGUCGCGAGUUCCAUGGACAUAGGUUUAUGAGCUUUGUGCAGAAAGAAAAAGAGAUGAAGGCAUAGAAGACAGACUUGAGCAGGUGAGGCGUUAACUCGCCGAUGGAUUGAUGCAUGAAGUUGAGGGCUAGUAAUGCAAUGGGUGGGCAGCAAAUUCGGCAACGCUGAGUGUGCAAUUUCAUAAAAAAAUCCUAACCUUUAUAUUUACCGUAAUACUAAUUAUCCAAGCUUUAUUUUUAUCAUCAAAAUCCCAAACUUAUAUGGUAACCAAAAAAUAUGUUCCAUCAAAGUUUGGUCCAAGAUAAAUGUCAAAAAUCUAACGUGGUGUCUUGGACGACGAUGAACUUAAAAAUCUGAAUAAAGCUUUUGAAAGAAAACUCGACUUAGCAACUUUUAGGGUCCAAGAAGGGAGAUAAUCCACUUGGCGGUCCUUUUUGUAAAACAAACGAGCUACAAUUUUUACUUCGAAGAAAAAGUGGGAUGGAAUACAAAUUCUAGCUUUGCUUUUUAUCCUUUUCCGCUUUGCGCUUGAGACUCACAUUCGUCCACCUUGAUUUUAGCAUUUCACUUUUGGUCUUACUCCUUAUCGGGAGAAGAAAGCAUAUGAUGGAUCUCUCUUUAUUUGGAUGAAGAGACCAAAAUAUUCAACAUGCCCAGGUUUAGAAUUUUUUUUAUCUUUCCUUUUAUUUAGUUUCUUUUCUAGGUGAACUUCGUCUAAACUCCACGACAACUCCUUCCACAUCGUUCCUUGACCUUUUCGCACGUUUCUUCCUUUGCUUCAAAUCCUUGAUCUUCCCCUCGUUGGCACUGCUCUCUGCUCACACGCCUCCAAAACCCUAACCCGAUGCCCAUGGCCAUGGUCAUUUCCGGUGAUUGACGAACUGACCUCCUCAAAGUUGCCGGGGAGUGCAUGAUCGAUGUGAACGCUCCAACACCAGCAAGACCUUCAGACUUCGAUGGGUACAGAUGUGGACUAAAUGAACCUAUUGGUAUUUGAUAAGGACGACAUGGAGGAAACACGGUGAGGCAGCCAAGGAGGAAAAAUAAAAUCCCGCAAGAUACAAAGGUGUAAAAUUGUUUGGUUCCAGAAUUCAUGGGCUCUUAAGUCUUUUCAUACAUACAUCCGAAUUUGACAAAAGCAAAAUUUAAAAUUGAAGCAAUUAAUCACGAUUGACUCUAUGAGUCAAAAAAGACUCUUGGGAAGUAUAAAAUUCAUCGAUUCGAGACCAAUGGAAGAUCAAAUUGUUUUCUGAUAGCUUUAGCUUUGAUUAAACUCCACUAAACUUUUGUUUUAGUAAAACAAACUCCAAAGGUCUCAUUGCAAUUUUUUUUUUUAAUCGGACUCCUUCCAUUUAAAUUGAAAUUGAGUGUCCUCCAUUAUAGCUCAGAAGCUCCAAGAAGAAGAGAAAAUAGGUGGGUUCCCAUUGCCUUAACUCAUCUCUUUAUAAAGGAAAAUAUAGACUUCGUAUUAGAUGUGGGCCUUAACUAUCAAAGACCUUUACUCCUUCACGAUAGAAAUAUCAAGGAAAUAAAAAGGAAAGAUCUUUUUCAAUGACUUUUGGGUAGAUCAUUGAACUUAGAAGCCAUAGGAUUGGCUGAACAUGCAGAGAGAGUUGUGGGCCAGUUUGCUACAAAAUUUGGUCAAUAAGGAUGAUUCCUUGAAGCAUCAUCCAGCUUGCCAAAGUUGACAAUUAUUUACAUUUCUUAACACAAAAAAAUCACUAGACCAUGUGAUGCAAAAAUUUUAGGAUUAGAAUCAACUUUUGCCCCCCAAAUAAAUGGCAGAUUCAUUCAAAGUCAAGUCAACAAAAGCAGACAUCAAAUUUUGACAAUUGACAAGUGUAUCAAAUUGGGGUUUUAUCCUUUGUUUGUCACAUAUGUAUUGGUUUGUGCUUUUUCCUAGUAUUAAUCAUAUUUAACGGAAACUAAUGGAGGGUAAAUUUGUCACAAUGUGCUAGUUUGGAGUUUUUGGUGAUCAAAAAAUUAAUUUGAGAUUCACGGGUAUAUAAGUUUGAGAUUUUUCGUGGUAUUAACUCUAAAAACAAUAAGAUUUAGAGAAACACAACUUGGCAAGAAGGAAUCAUUACCCUUAUUUUCUUGCUACGCUUUAAAGUGAGAAGAAUAUACUUUAUCAAUGCUCAAUUUUUCUACAUUCCCAAAGCACGAUUAAUCUAAUAUUUCACAAAUAUGAUUUCAUAAUUUCUAUCUUGAUUUCUUUGUAAUCGUUUUUAUUUCAAUGGAUUAUAGAAUUAAUGAAGAAGAUAUCAAUUCUAGUUUAUUAGUCAUUCCAUGUUACUUUUAACGAUACAAGCCGCAUCUAGUGGAUUCACUUAUUACUAAUUACGAUAAAAUCAGUUUUUUCAACUUGUUUUCACCAUAAUCAAUUUUUUCUGAUUCCCUUUCUCUGAAAUUGAAUUUCCUAAAAGCAUUUUCCCGCAGCAAAAAUCAGCGAGAUAAAGACAUCCUCAGAGUUUUUUUUAUUUAUUUGAUUUUCUAAUUUCAUAUGACAUAAUAUGAUGGGAGGAAAUUGUACGAUGAAAUUAUCAACGGAUAUGAGAAUUGGAGGGAAAUUUGUUGCCAUGUAAAUUUUGCAGGUGAUGGGAGAACGAUCAAUCAGUGUUGGAUUUUACAGAGUGAUAUGGUGACCUUUUUUUCUCUUCUUUUUGAUAAAAUCACUACAUUUAUGGAUGUCUGUCCGCAAGGGACAAAGUACCAAAUGAAUGAACCAUUGGUGUGAUUCCUUCUUGAGCAAAGCUGGUUCAUCAUGGACUGUUGGUAGCCUAAGUCUUUGUGGACUUUGACUUUGCCCUUACUGGUAGACUGUUCUUUUAUUUAUCUAUUUUCUUUGGAGAGUGGUAGGUAAUGCAAUCUUUAAUCUAACGAUUUUAUUUCGAUGCAAGACAAAAUUGUAUAUAUACUGCACUUCACAUGAUAACUAAAAAUUCUAUGUUUCACGAUGGAAAAAUAGCCACUUCACAAUUGAAGUUUCACAAUGCUAACUCAACAACAGCCAAGGUAAGUUGCAUAUACCAAAAUCAGCUUAUGUCUGUUGGAGAAAUCCUCAUGAAGAGUUUUGAAGUUGACAAGAUGUUUCUGUCAGUCUAGUCUGAAGGUCUGCAGACUCUGUUAGUUAAAGUCUGAAGACUUCCGGACAGCCAGACUCAAGACUCAAAGUCUAUCCUCAUUAACAGUCUCUGAUCCGUUGAAGAAAGGUUAUCCCGAACUGGAUGUUUUGUUUAGGAUUUAACCUUAUCAUCUGGAGAAGAUCUUGUGGCUGGAGAAGACGUAUCAGAAUCCUUUGAUUGAUCAAGAUUGAUUCAAUGAUUGAAGAUUCGAUGAUUAUCUAAAUAUUAUUGGAAGGUUUUGCUUAUGGAAACCGAGAUCCUGAUUGUAUGGGCGAACGGGAUUGAUGGGCUAUCAACACGUUCCUUUAAUAGCUCGAACGAUCUUCCUAAUUGAUUCCGUCCAACGGGUAGAUUGGAGGAAUUCCUUUGGAAAGUGCCAACGGGUAUGAUGGCAUAAAGGAGUAUAUAAGGAAGACGUUCUUAGUUGUUUAAGAGAGAGUGCGCGAUAGAAAAAUUCCAAAGUCUGAAGCUCCUAUUUGUUUAGAUAAAUCUCUUGAGCGAAUACUUGUAUACAAAAGAGAGUCUAUAUUUGUGAGAGACCUUGAGGAGGUGUGAUAGAAUAUCUACACUGUGGAAUCAAGGCAAAUCUGUGCUGUAACUUCUCUUUUGAUCAUAGUGAAAUCCAGCCGGUGGGCUGUCAGUGCGGAAGAGUGGACGUAGGCUUGGAAUAAGCCGAACCACUAUAAAUCUUGUGUUUGAUUUUCUCUUCCUUACUCUUUCUACCUCGAUCGUAUUUCAAUCUGUUAAGAAUUGCUUCCGUAUUUGAGAAAAAUUGUGUGUGCGCCUAUUCACCCCCCCUCUAGGUGUUUAUACUAGCAAUAUCAAUUGGUAUCAGAGCCUGUGUACUUACUUUAUUUGAAGUGUUUUACUUCAUAGUAAAAGAUCCAUGGCUAGUAUGAUAGCACUAGGGCUGAUGGAAGGGCAAAGCAAUACCAGACCACCUUACUUUGAUGGAAAGGAUUACAACAUCUGGAAGAACAAGAUGAAAGCUUUCCUACGAUCAAAGGAUCCUCUGGAAUGGGACGUUGUAGAAAAAGGAAUUACUCCUACCACUGCAUCAGUCUCUGAAAGAGGAAAAGAAACUGAAGAAUCCAGAGGAAUGUCUCAGGAAGAAAUAACCAAGAGACAGACACUCGAUGCAAAAGCAAUUUAUUCCUUAUAUUGUGCUUUAUCACCAACUGAAGAUAAUAGAAUAUCUUCUUGUGGUACAGCAAAAGAAGUUCGGGACAAAUUGCAUAUCACCUAUGAAGGAACAGAUCGAGUGAAGGAAACAAGAAUCAACAUUCUUCUCGGUCAAUACGAAGCUUUUAGAAUGAAACCAGGAGAAUCAAUAUCUGACAUGUUUAGUCGUUUUACAGAUAUUGUAAAUGGUCUUGAAAAUCAAGGUCAACCAACUUCUGAUCUCAUGAAGGUAAACAAGCUACUGCGUGGACUCUCCAAGGAUUGGAAUCACAUAAAGACUUCGAUAAGAGAGACAUAGAGAAUAAUGCCACUAUCUGUUGAUGAGCUGAUUGGAACUCUUCAGUCCUAUGAAGUGGAAAGGAUCAAUGAAGAUGAAGAUCCAAGAGGUAAGAAAUCCAUUGCAUUAAAAUCAAAUGAUGAUUCUGAUGUUACAGAUUCUGAAGAAGAUAUGGACGAUGAGGAGCUUGCUCUCAUGAUAAGAAGAUUCAGAAAACUAAACAGAAAAGGAAGAAGGUUCAACUCAAAGAAACAAGGCUUUCAAAGACAGCAGAUCAAGUCUGUUGAUGAUGAGGAACCAAACAAAGAUGUAGUCUGCUUUGAAUGCAAGAAAAAGGGACACAUCAGACCCAACUGUCCUCUUUUGAAGAAGAAGAAAGGAAAAGCUGAAAAAUUUCGAAAAGCUCUCAAAGCUGAAACCUGGAGUGAUACUGAGUGUGAAGAAAGUGAUAAUGAAUAUGCCAAUAUAUGUCUGAUGGCACAAUCAGACUCAGACUCUGGAUCAGACUCAGGAUCAGACUCAGACAGUGAAUUUGAGGCAAGUAAUUUUAAAAUUCCUGUCAAAUUUUCUAAAUAUAUUGAGGAACUAUGUUUUAGUCUUAAGACUUCUCUCAAAAGUAUUUCCAAACUAAAAAAGGAAAACUCAGCUCUAAAACAAAAGGAAAAUGUUUUAGCAGAAAGAGUUAAAAGUCUAGACUUGUCUGUUUCCAAUCUUAAAGAAAAUAAAGAAAAUCUUUUAAAAGAAAAUGCUUUUUUAAAAACAGACUUAUCUAAUAUAUCAAAGAAAUUUUCUAUGGGUUCUGAAAAACUUGAGAAAAUUCUUUCAGCACAAAGACCUUACUUCAAUAAGUCUGGUCUAGGUAUGACAGAAGAAACAAUUCCCUUGAUUGAUUUUCCUAAAGUAAAAGAAAGAAUUAAGAAAAGGCUUUCGAGUGAGGUUUACAAAAAUCACUUCAAGAAAGUCUUUGUAAAACCUGUAAGUAGAAAUGCUCUCAGAUGUUCUAAGUGCAACAGUCCGGAUCACUUUGAAAAAGAGUGUCCUAUGGUAUGGAAACCUAUUAAGAAAGUAUGGGCUAAUACUGUUUAUCUUACUAACACCAAAGGACCCAAGAAAAUUUGGGUACCAAAGAAAGCUUGAGACUCUUUGUUAAAUGCAGGUCUCCAUCAAGAAACAGGUAAAGUGGUAUCUUGACAGCGGAUGCUCAAGACACAUGACAGGAGACUCAAAUUGCUUUAUAAAGCUUGCUCAAGUAAAUGGUGGAAAAGUUUCAUUUGGAGGAAACAGCAAAGGAAGUAUUGUGGGAUUUGGAACCGUGAAAAUUGGAACUCUCACAAUAAGUAAUGUUUCCUUAGUUGAAGGACUCAAUUACAAUCUUCUCAGCAUUAGUCAAUUGUGUGAUACUGGUUUCAAGAUCUCCUUUCAAGAAGGAACAUGUUCCGGAAUCAGUAAAGACUCUACUCAAUCUUUUCUGGGUCGAAGACAUGGGAACAUCUAUCUUCUGGAUGUGAAAUCAAAUGAAUCACAAUGUCUGAUCUCAAUUCAAGACGAAGCAAGCUUAUGGCACAAAAAGCUUGGACAUGUCAAUAUGAAGCAAUUAGCCAAAAUCUCAUCAAAGCAGCUUGUUCGAGGUCUACCAAAAUUGCCAUACCAAAAGACUAAUUCAUGCACUCCAUGUAUUCUGGGAAAGCAGGUAAAAAAUUCUUUUAAGCCAAUAAAUCAUGUCUCUACUAAUCAUGUUCUACAGUUGCUGCAUAUGGAUCUCUUCGGACCAACCAGAACUCUAAGUAUUGGGGGUAAGAAGUAUUGCCUAGUAAUUGUUGAUGAUUACUCCCGUUUUACUUGGGUAUAUUUCCUUUUAAGUAAGUCCGAAACCUUUUCGUAUUUUGAAAAUUUUGCUAAAAAGGUUCAAAAUGAAAAAGGUUGUGUUAUCUCUAGUAUAAGAACAGAUCAUGGAGGUGAAUUUGAAAAUCAAGAUUUUACAAAGUUCUGUGAUGAAUCUGGCUGUAAGCAUAUGUUUUCCUCUCCGUAUACUCCUCAACAAAAUGGAGUUGUGGAAAGAAAGAACAGAUCUCUUCAAGAAAUGGCUAAAACUCUUUUAAUUGAAAGUAGAAUUUCUUCUCGAUUUUGGGCAGAAGCUGUUUCAACAGCUUGCUAUAUCAUCAAUAGAGUUUUCUUAAGAUCUAUUCUUCAGAAAACCCCUUAUGAGUUAUUCAAAGAAAAGAAGCCUAUUGUUUCAUACUUUCAUGUAUUUGGUUGCAAAUGUUUUAUAUUGAAAAAUGCAAAAGAUCGAGUUAGUAAGUUUGAAGAAAGAUCAGAUGAAGGUAUCUUCCUUGGAUAUUCUAUAUCAAGCAAAGCUUACAGAGUCUAUAACAAGAAAAGCCAGUCUGUAGAGGAGUCAAUGAAUGUCAAAUUUCAAGACUCAAUGCAAGAUGAAUCAAGUUAGACUCAUCAAGAAGAAUCUGAACCUACUUCAGACCCUCCAAAGUCUACAACUCAAGAAGCAUCUCAGACUCUUGAAAACCAGCAUCAGGUUGUUAAUGAAGAUCCAAAUAAAGAAAGAGAUCAUCAACCAGACAAAUCAACAAGUAACUGGAAGCAUAAGUCCAGUCAUCCCAAAGAUCUUAUAAUCGGCGAAAUAAAUGAAGGAAUUCGCACAAGAUCCAAAAGGCGAGAAGAGUCUAGUGCUGUGGCACUCGUUUCUGAAAUUGAACCAAAGGGCAUAGAAGAAGCUUUAUCUGAUGAAAGCUGGAUUGAAGCUAUGCAAGAAGAACUCAGACAGUUCAGCAUAAAUGAUGUUUGGGAAUUGACAUCCAAACCAAAAGGAAAAACUGUUAUUGGAGCCAAAUGGGUGUUCAGAAACAAAAUGAACGAGAAAGGAAAAGUCGUACGAAAUAAAGCAAGACUUGUGGCCAAAGGAUAUACGCAAGAAGAGGGAAUAGACUAUGAUGAGACUUACGCUCCAGUGGCAAGGUUAGAAGCUAUUCGACUAUUACUUGCGUUUGCUUGUUAUAAGAAUUUCAGGUUAUUCCAAAUGGACGUCAAAAGCGCCUUCCUAAAUGGAUUUAUCCAUGAGGAAGUUUAUGUGGAACAACCGCCAGGGUUUGAAGACCCAAAGAAGCCAGACUCAGUCUUCAGACUGAAAAAGGCUUUGUAUGGUUUAAAGCAAGCACCUCGGGCUUGGUACGACAGGUUAAGUAAUUUCUUAUUACAAAAUAGUUUUGUCAAAGGUAAAAUAGAUACGACUUUAUUUAUCAAGAAGGAAAAUAAAAGUUUCUUACUUGUUCAAAUAUAUGUGGAUGAUAUUAUUUUUGGAUCCUCCAAUGAAAGUCUGUGGUAGAAAUUUUCAAAGUCUAUGCAGGAUGAGUUUGAAAUGAGUAUGAUGGGAGAAUUAACAUUCUUUCUUGGUCUUCAAAUAAAACAAUUGAAGGAAGGAACUUUCAUUUUUCAAGAAAAAUAUGUUAAUGAUCUUGUCAAAAGGUUUGGACUGGAGAAUUGCAAAAAGACCGACAUACCAAUGUCAAGUUCUUUAAAGAUAGACAAAGAUGAAGAAGGGAAGAAAGUUGAUCAAAAGCUGUACAGGAGUAUUAUUGGAUCACUUCUUUAUCUUACUGCCUCUAGACCUGAUAUUUUGUUGAGUGUUUGCAUCUGUGCUAGGUUUCAAUCAGAUCCUAGAGAAUCCCAUCUCAGUGCUGCCAAACGCAUCAUAAAAUACGUUGCUUCAUCAUCAAGCAUCGGUCUUUGGUAUCCUAAGAAGGGAGACUUUAAACUUCUGGGAUAUUCAGACGCAGAUCUAACCGGUUGCAGAGUUGAUAGAAAGAGCACUUCAGGAACUUGCUAGUUGCUUGGAAGCAGAACAGUGUCUUGGUUUUCAAGGAAACAAAGUAUUGUGUCUCUUUCAACAACAGAAGCAGAGUAUGUAGCUCUUGGAAGCUGCUGUUCACAAAUUCUAUGGAUAAAACAACAGCUAAGAGAUUUUGAAAUCGAAGACUCAUGCACAGAGAUUAAUUGCGACAACACCAGCGCUAUCAACCUCACCAAAAAUCCAAUUCUCCACUCAAGAGCGAAGCAUAUAGAAAUUCGACAUCAUUUUAUUAGAGAUCAUGUUCAAAAUGGAGAUGUUUCAAUUCAAUUUGUUGACUCAAAGAAUCAGCUGGCUGAUAUUCUCACGAAGCCUUUGGAGAAAAAUCAAUUUGAGUCUAUACGGACCAGACUCAAUAUUUUGAGGUAUGAGGAUAUCAAAGUCUAAAGACUUUCAAACUCAGGCUUACAAGACUUUAUCAACAGUCUUGUCUCGACCUUCAGACUGUAAGUCUUUCUCUAUCCAAUCUUAUCUUGAAAAGGUACGAUCAUCAGACUGUGUUUAAAUUGUUGCCGUAAAUAUUACAUCGAUUCAUUUUCAAAAGGGAAGUUAUUUUUGAAAUAGCUAUUUUUACGGAUAAAAUCAGUUAUUUUGAAAAGGCAUAUUUUUAUUUCCUUUGUGACGAUUCGUUUUCUCUUCUUUUUAACCGAACGAGCACUAUCGAUUACUCUCUCUCAAAAACCCUAGAAAGCAUCGAUCUUCCAUUCCCGUUUGUCUACUUCUCUAAAUCUUCAAAAAGUUAUCAUCUUUUCUGGGAAAGUCAAGCUAGGAAACUUCCAAACACUGUUAAAGAUGUCUUCUUCACGAAAGUCGUCAAGAAUCGCAAGCAGUGGACCAUAGAGAAUGAGUAAGGGGCCUACGCACUUCGAUCUUACUGAAGAUGAAGUUUCUCCAGAUCAGCAACCGAGCCCACAACAUUCUCAGCAGCGUCAUUCUACAUCAUCUAGUCAUCAAGGCAUUGUUCAUCAGGAAGAAAUCAUCGAGGAAGCAGACCUCGUAAGAGUUCAAAAGCCUGCUUUUAUCUACAAGCUAUAUCGUGCUUUAAAAGGAAUUCGUACUCCCUUAAACUAUGUUGAUAGUUUUGUUAAAGAAAAAGGAUAUAGGAACGAAUAUAUCUUUCUGAAAAGAAUGGAAAGUUUGGGAAUCGCUCGUAAAGGGGUGGCUGAGGAAACCCUUGCGAAUAUCCCAAGUGAUCCUUGUGACUGGGGGCCAAAUCCUGUAGAUGGGAAUGAUGAUGACAAUCUGUUCAGUCUAUUUCAACCGAAAAUGGGUAUUGCGGCUGAAAUUCAAGGAAAAAGGGGAGAUUUGUUCAGAUCAAAGGAACAAAAGGAUCUGUACUCGAAAUUGCUGAAGCGUGGGGUAAUAAACCCUAGGAGUGUGGACUUUGAUUUUAUGGAUGCUGUGAAAGUGAACUUGAGGGAAAAGUUCAGUUAUCUUCAACUUGAAAAGUUUUGUUCUGACUCAACUGAGGCUUAUGCUAAAUUGACUGCUUACUUCUAUUCAAAUCUUAGCUUUUAGAUGCGAAUAGAUUUUCCUUCAGUGUCAAAGAACAAGACUAUGUUGUGGAUAUGGAUAUGCUGGCAGAUGUGUUAGAAGUUGAGAGAGGCAGAUAUCAACCGAUUAAAGUUUCCAUUGCUCGGGCCACACUUGAAUUGGUGAAGGACAGGAGAAUAGAAGAGAAUCACCUACUCAAGGAUGAAUGCAUUCAACAUCUUGCUUCACAAGACUGUGAUUAAUUGCCUUCGGCCGAAAUCAACUUCCAAAACUGAUGUUUCAAGCUCUAAGGCAAAAUUGAUGUAUGCCAUCCUCUGUGGAAAGAAGUUUUCUCUUCCUCAUACUGUCAUGUUUCACAUGUAUAGAGCAGUGAUGAAGGACAGAGGUCAACUCCCUUACCCAAGCCUUGUUACGAAGUUAUUCAGACAUCUGAAUAUUCAGCCUCCGCAAAUCUUUUGUGUUCGAUCAUGCGAUCAUAUGGUGGUAGGACUGAAAAUGGUGACCAAAAUGCGUCUGAAGGAACUGAGCAAGGAAUUGGAGAAAUUCAAGGAGAAGACUCCUGCCAAGUCUCAUCAACUCUCUUCUGCUACUAAGAGAAAAGGGAAGGAGCCCAUGGCUGCUCCCUCAAAGAAAAGAAGAGCUCUCCUCGUUGAGGAUGAAGAUGAUGACGAUGACAUCACCAUCUCUGCAAUGGCUUUGAAGAACUUAAGUCGUUCUGUUCCACAGAAAGAAUCGGAACAAAAGACGAAAGAAGCAGAGGAGAAGGAAGAAGAAGAGAGAGAAGCAAAGGAGAAGGAAGACGAAGAAAGAGAAACAGAGCAAGAAGCAGAGGAAAAAAAGACCCGAAGAAGAAAGAAGAGAAUGAGAACCUGAGGAAAUCUCUUCUCCACCUGUAGGCAUGAAAACAGGGGGAGUUCAGGAGAAAGGAGUGACAUCUUCAUUUCCAGAUGAAAGUGAAGGAGUCAGUCGUUCGCCUGCAGACCCAGAAGAUGUUUAUGCAUCUCAAUUUCCAGAGGAAGGUCAUGAAGCUUCAUCACCCAACCUGCGAGAUUAUGCUGAUCCACCAUCGUCUGCUUUUACUCCAUCAGAACGAGCAGAAGCAAGUACUCAGACUGAUAAUGGAGCAGAUUUUCGCAUAAUCAUGGAUAUUCUCUUGGAGAUGAAAGGUCAGAUUUAUGCAUUGGGAUGCGAAGUUCAAAGCUUGAAGAAUGAAGGUUAAGCUUCUUCCUGUUCAUUAAAUGAAAAGAUGCAAGCCCUCUCUAUUCAAAAUCAGGCAAAUGCCAAGAGUGAGGAGGUUGUACAGCUAAAGGAAGACUUUAAGAGGCUGGAAGGCAUUGUUCAGUCUAUGGAAGAUUUCCAGCUUGUCCGCGUUCCCAAGCAAUCUUGAUUUCAUCUCAUCCUUUUUAAAUGAUGACAAAAAGGGGGAGAGAUGCAUGAUUUGAAAACUUUCAAUCUUUUUAACUGUUUGUUGGAUUGUGUUUAACUGUCUGUUUGUUUUUGACAGACUUUGACUUUGUUUUGUGUCUGGAUAAGAACUGCCUAGACUUAGAUUUGACUGCUUCUAUUUAUCAAUAUUGAUAUCUUAUGAAUGGCUUAAUCAUAUAUUGGACUAACCUAUUUUCUGUGGUUGCAGAUUCUAGUGUUAUUCUAUUAGCCAUUUAUUUCUAUAAGAUAUGCAUAUGUGGUUGAGGAAUGUUUUGCAGGUCAAAGUUAUCCAAAUCUGCAGGAAGGUUUUGUCACCAUCAAAAAGGGGGAGAUUGUUGGAGAAAUCCUCAUGAAGAGUUUUGAAGUUGACAAAAUGUUUCCGUCAGUCUAGUCUGAAGGUCUGCAGACUCUGUUAGUUAAAGUCUGAAGACUUCCGGACAGCCAGACUCAAGACUCAAAGUCUAUCCUCAUUGACAGUCUCUGAUCCGUUGAAGAAAGGUUAUCCCGAACUGGAUGUUUUGUUCAGGAUUUAACCUUAUCAUCUGGAGAAGAUCUCGUGGCUGGAGAAGACGUAUCAGAAUCCUUUGAUUGAUCAAGAUUGAUUCAAUGAUUGAAGAUUCGAUGAUUAUCUAAAUAUUAUUGGAAGGUUUUGCUUAUGGAAACCGAGAUCCUGAUUGUAUGGGCGAACAUGAUUGAUGGGUUAUCAACACGUUCCUUUAAUAGCUCGAACGAUCUUCCUAAUUGAUUCUGUCCAACGGGUAGAUUGGAGGAAUUCCUUUGGAAAGUGCCAACGGGUAUGAUGGCAUAAAGGAGUAUAUAAGGAAGACGUUCUUAGUUGUUUAAGAGAGAGUGCGCGAUAGAAAAAUUCCAAAGUCUGAAGCUCCUAUUUGUUUAGAUAAAUCUCUUGAGCGAAUACUUGUAUACAAAAUAGAGUCUAUAUUUGUGAGAGACCUUGAGGAGGUGUCAAAGCUGGUUCAUCAUGGACUGUUGUCAGUCCAAGUCUUCGUAGACUAACUUUGCCCUUCUAAUGCCAUGAUAUUUCAGUUCUCUCGCAACCCCUCAUAUGCUGUUCUGUCUUAUUUUUUUUUUCUCUCUUUUUGAGAGUGGUAGCCAAUGUUAAUGGCACGGUAAAACGAGGCACAGGGAGCUUAGGUUUUAGAUUGUUGGCAUUCAUAUCAAUAUCACAUCAAACAAUCUCAUACAAUUCAUAAUCUAAUGAUUGUAUUUCAGUGCAACGGUUUUUGCAUGUAUGCAGCACUUUCGUACUUUCCAUUUAGUUAAAUUAGAUGGUAUCAACGUUUUUAUUGAUUGAUGAUAUAAUUAGCUAGACUAUUUAAAAAUCAAAGUAUUUCUAAAUAGAUAGUGUUUGUUUGCAAGUAUUUUUUUCUUUUUAUUUUCUAAAUCAAUUUUGUGGUAAUUAAACAUUCCACAUUUCACAAUAGAAAACAAAAUCUCGCUAGAUCAGAGGUAUAAAGAUGUUCCAUUAUGAAAUUCAUAAGUUCUUAAAUCUUUUCAGGCAUAAAUCCAAGUGUGAAAAAAACCAACAUUUAAGAUUGAAGUUAUUAAUCGCAAUGACUUGAUGAGUCAAAAAACACUUUUGGGAAGUAUCGAAUUCCCAUUUGAGUAGCAUCUAUUUUCACAAAUCUAUUUAUUCACUUGCUAAAUAUUAAAUCAUGAUUUGAUCAUAUCACUCAAUGUAUCGAUUUUAGUAUGCUUAUUUAAAUUUCUUGUAAAUAACUUAGAUUUAUUGGUUAAACUUCAAAUGAUGAAGAGCUCAUGCUUAUUGAGUAGAAGCACACAUAUUUUUAACAACAUUAAAAGAAAAAAAAAUCCACAUCUUGCUAGCAGUUAAAAUUAAAAUGCUAUCUGUUAUGUGAAAUGUUGAAUGCAUGUUAUUUUACAAAAUUCUUAUAGUAAUUAACCCACCGAGGACCUCAAUAGUCAUUCAAGGCAAAACUCCCUUGAAGAAUCCGACGAAAAUUCUUGUUAAAAAGCAAAGUGAAUGAUGAAAAUAAAUAAAGCAAUACAGCAAAGAAAAAGAAGGGGUCAUCCUAAUGUGGAAAAGAAGUCCCGCCAAUGCUUUAGCGUGUGCCUUUGGUAGUCCAAGUCUUCGUAGACUUGGGUCAACAUUGGUGUGAUUCCUUCUUGAGCAAGCUGGUUCAUCAUGGACUGUUGGUAGUCCAAGUCUUCGUAGACUUUGACUUGGGUCAAUCAUUGGUUUCAAUCUUCUUGCACCACCCACACGCUGUUUUGUCUGAUUUUUUUCUCUUUCUGAGAGUGGUAGCUCAUGCUAAUAGCACGUUAAGACGAGGCACAUGGAGCUUAGGUUUUGGAUUGUUGGCGUCCUUAUCAAAAUCACAUCAACCCAUCUCACGCAAUUCUUAAUCUAGUGAAUGUAUUUUGAUGCAACACAUUAUAUGUAUGUGACACAUUCCAUUUCCAUUUAGUUAAAUUAAAUGGUUCCAACUUUUUUAUUGAUUGAUGACAUGAUUGACUAAAUUUUCAAGAGAGAAGUUUUUUUGGACAUAUAGUGUUUCUUUGCAAGUAUUUUUCUAUUUUUUGAAUCGAUUUUGUGAUAACUAAACAUUCCAUAUUUUACGAUAGAAAACAAAAUCUCUCUAGAUCUGGAGGUGUAAAAUUGUUCCAUUUCAUAAUUCAAUGUUCUUAAGUCUUUCUAGGUAUAAAUCCAAGUGUGACCAAAAAAAAAAUUUAAGAUUGAAGUUAUUAAAUCACGAUGACUCAAUGAGUUAAAAAGAAGAAUCUUGGGAAGAAUCAAAUUUCUUGAAUUGAGAGUGAUGGAAAAUUGAAUUUGUUCUCUGAUAGCUUUAGCUUUCAUUGUCACUCCACUAAAAUUUUGUUUUAGUAAAAUGAAAAUCUCGUCCCAUUUUUUUUUUUUGAAAUCAGACACCAUCCAUUUGAAUCAAAAUUGAGUUUCCUCCUUUAGCUCAAAAGCUUGGGAAGAAGAGAAAAUAUGUGGGAUCCUGUUGCCUAAUUCUUACUCAUUUUAAAGGAAAAGAAAGACUUCUCAUACAAAUGUGGACCUUAAUUAUCGAUACAUUUUUUCCUUUACCCUAGAAUAUGCAUAGAAUCAUGGGCCAGUUUUGCUGCAAAAUUGGUCAGUAAGGAUGCUUCCUUGCAGCAUCAUUGCGGCUUGUCAACUGUGAAAAAAUAUUACGUUUCUUAAUGUGGAAAAUCACUAGACUAUGUGGUGCAGAAAUUUUGGGAUGAGAAUCUACUUUUGCCCCAAAAUAAUUCAUUCAAAGUCAAGUCAACAAAAGCAGACACCGAACUUCCAAAACAAGUUCGUUUCCCCCAUCCUAAUUAAGGUGAACUCCGGUCGGUCCAAUUUAAUGGGCUGAUCAGGCCCAGGCCCGGAAUAACUCUGAAGCAUAAAGCCUAGUGGAAUUAUUGGGCUUGAUCUUGUCAAAGCACUCCCCAAUGAUCAAUUGAAUUAAGAAAAGAUUACAUUUUAUUUCGGAGGUGACCCAUCCUUCGCAUUUAACCUGUUGUUAGUGUCAAAAAUUGCUUGUCACAAAACGUUGUAGUUGAACAUUAAAUCCAUGCAUUGUGCUGAUUAUUAUACAAAACAUUACUAAAAUAGAGUCCACAAAACCAAUGUGUAAGCACAGUCUUGUGUCGUAUUAAAACUUUGAGCCACCAACAAGUGUGGUAAAUAAGCUCACGAACAUGAUGUGACCUAUUAGAUCUCAUUUGGAAUUUAACUCAAUUAGCAUUUCCACAUUCACAAUUGAACUUGAAAGCCUCUAUGAUGACUGGGAAAAGUUUAGCGAAGCCUCUCUAAUGACUAUAAUGACUAAAAAAAAAUAUUGACUCCCCCUGAAUUCAAGUAUGAAAGUUUUCUAUUUCAGAUAAUGUUUUUGGAGGUGUGGCUCUUUGCUCUCUCAGUUAAUGCUUGUGGAUUAUCUAUUACAAAAGGGGGAAAAAGAGGCAAAAAUAAAAGAACUUAUGGACAACGCGAGAUUAUUCCAUGUUAAAAUUUGAGAAUUGGAAAAAAAAAAAUUCGCCACACUUCUAUUAAUUUGAAAUUAAACGAUUUGGGUUGCUAUUUCAGAUUUACCUCGACAUUAGAUGAUGAUGUCAAACCAAGUCCAUUUGCAGCUAGAAACAUUUUUUAGUAUAAUUAAGCUUGAAUCUGAAAAUAUUUGACUGGAGAAGUUUGCCAUCAUAAUGAAGUAAUUGCAAUUUCAUAUACCUCCACUAAUAUAAAUAAACAAAUGAAUUAUAUCAAUUUUAAUUUGAGUGUAUAGUAACCAACUAAUUGAACGGUAGAGCACCCAUUUGUCCAACAGAAUGUCUCAUUCUCUUUGGCUAAAAUACAACAGAAGGCGUCCCCACGCAAUCUUUCUAAAUGUUCCGAUUUUAGCAAAACUUACUUCACGACGUAAAUCACCGAAUGUGACAUUGAAAAUGCCCACCGACAAAAUAAGAUCCCAAGGGCAAAUUAGGAAAGAUCAUAAAGAAUCUGGAACGAAAUAGAUCGCGUUUGAGGCUGAUGGUUGUUCUGACAUGCUUGAUUGCUGCAAAGUGAGGCGAUACUCAAGCUUUUCAAGUUCAAGAGAUUGGAAAUGCUAUCAUCAGCUCGUCGCUCGGUAUGAAUAUGUAGACAAAGAAGAAUUUCUAGGAGUCUUGGCACUUGGGGUAUCUCAACACAUGUCGGUUUCAAAAUCUUCCAAGGUGAACAUCUCCAGAUAUCAUAGGAAUUUCUGAUUAGCAAAUUUUCACUAAGCUCUGCAUCUAUUCUUCUAGCUAUUCCUGAUUCCAUACUGCACUAGUUAUUGUUCUCAUGAUAGAGAACCUCAUCUUCAAUACUUUCAAAUACUUCAUGUUCCCGACCAACCAGGCAGCUUCUCUAUGUCCAUGUUCAAUUUAUCGAACUUAGCAAAUGAUUCCAAAUUCCAGAUUGAGUCUAGUAGUGUCUUUAUUGACUUGCAGUUCCUAGAAGACUAGUGUUCGAGGCUUACAAGGGAUCCACUUGAGUUGGGAAGCUCCACGAUCCUAGCUCCUCACAGAGAAAGCCUCGAUAGGGAAGUUAGGUGACAGAUUGAAAGUUUUAUAGUCAAUGAGGAACAAUGGGAAGCACAGAGGACCUGCAAGCUCUUCAAUUCUUGACAGUCAGGCAUAUGCUUUAUUGAUGUUAUACAGCAAUCCCUUUUUAAGGCAGUUAAGUCCAUGUCAGACUUUCCCCUUCCGUCUUGGUAAUUCCUAGAUGUAUAUUCCCUUUUAAGAUAGAGAUUAUCGAUGUUUGUCCGUUAAAACCAGCAUGCGAAAUUGCGAAUUGAACAAAGUCAACAUCUAGCAAGCUAGUCGCAUAUCUUUCUCCCAAAUAUCAUGUACUUUUAUUCGUGUGAAGUCCACCAUCAGGUUAGUACCGAGUUAUCCAGAGUUAGAUUCAUCUACUAGUAAGAAUACUUUGAGAGACCUUGUUUAGCUUUCUUAUACUUGUUUCAUCGUUUGAUUCCAUCAUUUCUCGGUUCACGCUGCUCCAUGGUUUAUAGCAGCAUCAUUAUUUGGUUUGCCCUCUCCAGUAAUCUUACUUGCUGCUCUUAAUCUUCUCUGCUCCAAUGGUCUAUAGUCGCAACUGUCGCCACACACAAUGCAACCUCAAGUGGUGAAACAACAAUUGUUGAGCUGCACAGAAAUUGGGGGUGGUCUGACUUGGCCUCGCCUCCCGAGUCGCAAUGGGUCCGAAUUUUAUUUUAUUUUGAUAAAUUAAAAAGUGUGGGAAGAGAUGACCAAUACGGUUAUCCAUUCUUGUUGUUACAUAAAGUGUUGUGCAUGUUACAAAAUAUCUCCAUUGAGCCAUAACCACUCGAUCCACCGACAAGUGUGCUAGUCUAUCACCAUAACUAAUAUGCCAAAAGCUUGACAAUAUAUCCACAUAACGUUGUAAAUACCUAAAAUACUAACCGGUGAAAAGUUCACUCAUGACAUGAUUCGAACUCAUGAAUUAAUAGAAGAUGGCAUGAUCCCUUCAUCAUUGGGUUAUCAUGCUUGGGGUUGGAUUGUGAUUCCGACUUUAUAUAUAUAUAUAUAUAUUCACUUUCAAGGUGAAUGAGUGGCGCAUGAGCCUAAUCCAAAAAGGAAUGAUCUAUAAAUCUGUUCUGUGCUUAAAAAAUUUGACUUAAGUCAAAUGAGGUGUUUAUGUGUUUAUGUUACCAAUAAAAGAAGAGGUUUGGUGACUGGUUUCUAUAAAAUUGAUUAAUUUACUCUUCAUAAUUUUCUAUAAAAUUGAUUAAUUUACUCUUCAUAAUUUUCUCUUGGAAAUUUUGUCCAGGAGCACGCCUCAUUUUAGCAAAACUUCCUUCAUCGCCCUCACGGAAACGACGAAAUCACCGGACGUGACACCGAAUAUGCCCGCCGACCGAGCAAGAGCCCGAGGUCGAAUCAGGAAAAUUCGCAAAUCCGUCGUCCUCUCCUUCCCUUCCCCCCCACCCAAAAACAAAAGCUCGCUGUAGCUUUCGAUCGCCAUCCGCCGCGAAAAUCGCUACGGAGUCCACGAACGCUGCGAAGACCAGGAUUCGAGGGUUGAAUUCGAGCAAUACGGAUGAAGACCGCAAUCGAUCUCUCCACCUCGCCGGGCGAUCGCGCCAUUUUGAUUGCGUGAGAUUGGAAUGAUGUCGUCGCUCGGCAGAAUGGGGAGUUGAGGGUGAUGGUUGUUCUGAAGUGCUUCAUUGCCGCGGGUGGGGGGCGAGAGGUAAUUGCAAUUUGUGUUCAUGUCAUCAAUUACUGCUCUGAUCCUCCCACUUGAUUGAGAUUGGGAGUCUAGUAUCGAGCAUGUCGGUUUUGAGGUUGGACAGUGAGGUUUGUAGUGUGAAUUUGGCGGAUUAUACUAUUGCAGAAAUUAUUUGGUUGGAUUAGCUAAGCUCUUGGAUUACCGAAUUUGGAUCAAUGCUACAACUGGAAUAUGGUCAGAUUGAUCGAAUUUCCUUAUAUUUGUUGGAUACAAAUAUUUCUUCCCGCUGUUUCUACUUUGGGGGUAAAAUUUGUUGAGUGUCUCACAGUGAUUGACUAUCGGCUAUUUGGCCUUUCUCCAGUCGAGUAAUGGACUGUAGCUUGUAGGUUUCAGUGGACUAGCUUUAUGGGAAAGAGGAGCCUUAUGCUUUUCACUUAUUCGCCUUUCGUUGCAUUUGAACAUAUAGUUCUUUAAGUUCACGAACGAGGAUGGCAGAAAUAUACUGAAAUAUUAUUUUGAGUUGACGUUUCCUUGAAGUGUUCCUCUUACUUGAUUGUUGAUAUACCUUGCUAGAGACAUAAGAAACUUGCUCCAUUGCUUGUAAUUAAAUGAGCUUUUGACCACAUUUUCAAAGUGAAAUUUUCUCAACUGGUAAAUGCAGAACUCAGACUAAGGUCCAAGGCUUGUAAAGCUGCUUACAAUCGCACUCUUGCCAUGACAUUUAUGGAGUAUUCAUCUGCUGUGAGUGUUCUUUAUAAAGAUUUUCACAUUUACCUAGAGCUUGUUGUUGUUAUUACUCUUCAGGUUUCACCAUUUAAAUACAAUAACUUUUGCAGGUUUGAUGCCAGAUUUGACAAAACUUAGUAGUUGGACUUGUCCUAGAUGUGAUGGAAAGACCCAGGUAAUUUAAUAUGGUUUAAUAUGACAUUGUUGCUGAGGUUGCCUGAAGAAUGGAUCCUCAGUACAGUAUUAAAUGGCCAAUUCUUCUAAUGAGAUUUUGUGGGCAUAUGCUGCCUCCUCUUAUUAGAUUCUGAACUGGUAGUUAAUGCCUUUUGAUAUGAAAGCAGGGGUUUGAAUUCAUUGAAUUGAUAGUGGGCAUUCAACACUGCUUACGCGCAGAUUAUUUGGUUGCAGUGGCUUACCAAUCUGCAAUGCUUGCGAUGCCUAUAUGUUUAAAUUGCAUCUAAUUGUUUAUAUCUAUUUCUAAACGUACAUAUAUGUUACCUGUAGGCAUACGUUGGGGUGGCCAAGGAUCUUAAUGCUGUGAUUAUAGCUUUUAGAGGUGCACAAGAACAUAGGUAUGCAUGUUAACUUUAGCAACUCUUCUCCUUACAAAUGACUUGCAAAAGGUUUUGAUGAAAAUUUAAGCUAAGAAGAGCAGCCUCCUGUGAGUGCAUACGCAAGACCCAUGGGUCGACUGUCCGUAAGAAGGGAAAAGGGUGAAUCAUUUCCACCAAGAUGCGAAAGUUACCUUCUUGUAAUUUUAGAUUGGUUCAUGAGAAGAUCACAUACUUCACUAAUUUUGUUCUGUGAAAAAUUCUAUCACCUCUCUUUGUCAUUUGAGCUUUUCAGUUAGUGAUUACUUCUUUUUAUGUCUAUAGCAUACAUAAUUGGGUUGAAGAUCUCUAGUGGAUAGUGGAAACAGCUUGACGUACUACCUUGGCAUGCAUGGUGCCCUGGAUAGCUCUAAAGAUGAUUAUGCCUCUUGCAAGCUGUGGAUUCUUCUUGUUUGGAUUGAGUUACAGUCUUACUCUAUUUGUGACAUCCCGAUUUUUCCAAAUCCUAUUUUCAAUAAAUUGAGACGGGCAUUUCGUUGGCACGCAUAUAGUUCUUUUCCUUGAGUCGGCCACUCAUGUGAAAACUAGUCUAUCGGGUGAAACUGUUAAGAAUUUCUAAUGCAUCAGACUCGAGAAUUUGACCAGGAAGCAACCUUUCGACCGAGCUAGUCUGCAAGGGUCAUUACGGCACAAUUAAAAUCGAUUAAAGAUCGGAGAUAGGUCGACUCGACAGAGGCAUGUGAUCAGGUGUGGGUGAUUCUACUAGAUCGCACAAUUCAUGUCGAUCGGCACUGGACCGACUUUUCUAUCGAUUGGGUACCCUGUGUUCGUAUUUGAAACCUUGAGAUUACCCCGACAAUCGAAAGUCGCAAAUGUUUCAAAGAUGUACAUUGUGGCUUGAGAUGAUCAACCACAGGUCAAAUGCAUGAAAGUUUCUAAAGGCUACCCGGUAGGUUGGGCCGCGCUAGUAUCGUGCCAAAGUGAAAUUAACCGUGCAAUUGAGAUCGAAUUCAGAAAUUGGAAGUCUGGGUGUGUCACAAAUCAUUUCAAGAUCAUUGAAUCAUCUUUGGAAGAUUUUUCAUGUAAGCCGAGUUUUUCAGCAAUUAAAUCAGAAAAUGGUUAAUUUGACCCGAGAAAUCAAUAGGCCCGCAUUUGGUAUUGCUAUUAGGACUUAAGUUGGUUCUAUGGACAAGUGAAGAUGUAAAUUGAAGUGUGGUGACAUUGGAUUAAUUUUAUGAACUUCAAUUGGAAGAGAAUUGAAUGGAAUUGGAGAAAUUAGUGUACAAGAAUUGGACCCCGGCGGAAAAUGAAAUUUGCAACCAUUGGAAAAGGUUGUGGGGGAUUGGGUGAGUGGAGUGUGAUGUCACCCAUGAGGUCAUGUGGUGGGCCAAUUUGUUGGAUUAAAGAAAAGGGAAAAAGGAAAAGAAAUUGGCCUCCCUUCUUCUCUCUCCUCCCUCUCCUUGCCGUGGGAGCGUUUCCUCCUCUCUCCAUCUUCAUCUUCUUCUUCGAAAACCCAACAGACCAGCGAACCAGAGCAGCUCCGCCCGUCGCCGUUCGUCCUAGCCGGAGGCCGUUGCUCGUCCAGCCGCACGCAGCUCCGCCUCUCUCUCCCCCUUCUGCUGGUGUCGGCUUCUUCUCCUUCUUCCUUGUGUUUUUCGAAACCCAGCAUAUCUGGGAAGACAACAGAGCAGCCAUCUAGCUACUGGAUCGUCGUUUCGCGCCUCCGCCCUCCGCCGUUCGCCGCCGGAUCAGCUGAUUCGCCCGUCGUGCUCAGUGGCCAGCCCCGCGAGCUUCCUGCUCGUCUCGCGCCCGUCUUGAGUUCAGCAACGUCUCGAGCUUCCCUGGCCGCUGUUCCUAGUCGUCCUCCAGUCGUGAGCUGUCGUCUCGCCGCCGUGCAGCAGCCGGAACCAUCGCCUGGACCGCCGAAGCCCGCUUUGCCCGUUUCCAGCAAGCGGAGUCGCUGGUUCUUCUUCUCUGUUCCAGCGGCCAUUUCAGAUCUGGUGGAGCUCCGCCGGAGCCGUCCAGCCCACCUCCGGCCACCGUGAAGCCCCGCCUAGGUCCGAUUUGGUCUCCUCUGUCCAUCUUGGCCCUUGUGCGCCUCAAUCGGUGUCGGAUCCGCCCUCAACCAGCAACGAGCAGAAGGUUGCAGAAAUGGGUGUGGCAGCCCAUGUUUGGCCCGUUUUGGCCGCCUUCCCAAGCCCGGAUGCUCGGCCCGCUUUGAGGAAAGUCGAUCCUCGCGUCGUCCCUGUUGUUUUGGUUCGCUCGGCUCACUAAUCCGGUGAGUUUAGCUCACUAAACCUCGCUUAGAGGGUUAAUUAUGCUUUAGGUGUGCUUAGCGUAAGUUGAUUAAGCUUAGGUGGUUAAUUUAGUUGAUUUAAUUAUGAUUUAGAUUAAGAUGUUUGUUUAAUCUAAAGUAUGUUUAAUUAAAUGCUAAGAGAGUUUAUUUAAAGUUAAGUGGGUGUUUAUAUCAAUAUAAACAUUGAUGUGACAUAAAGGAAUUUACCUUUGAUUUAUUUAAAUAUCUCGAAAUUAUUUAAUAAUUUAAUAAUAUAUUAUUAUUCGAAAUUAUUAAAAUAUUAUUAUUUAAUUAUUUUCGGAAUAAAUUUAAUUAUUUAUUAAAUUCCGAAAAUUUUCAUUGGGACCUUAUUUGCUCAGAAUUUCGUGCCGAUCAUUGCUGUGCUAGUAGAAUUUGAAAUUGAUGAUUGGUUGUGAUGAAUUGAGUGUGAUUGUGAUUUAUAGGGAUUCUUUAUGAAAUCCCAAGUGUAGAAAUUGAUGGGAGAUUGGCUGUGAAAUACCACCUAUUAGAGGUCGUGCCCAGUGAGGCCGUGAAAUACCACCUUGGAAAGGUCGUGCCCAAUGAGGCCGUGAAAAACCACCUACAAGAGGUCAUGCCGAUGAGGCCGUGAAAUACCACCUAUUAGAGGUCGUGCCCAGAGAGGCCGUGAUAAACCACCUAUGAAAGGUCGUGCCCAGAGAGGCCGUGAUAAACCACCUAUGAAAGGUCGUGCCCAGAGAGGCCGUGAUAAACCACCUCUGAGAGGUCGUGCCCAGAGAGGCCGUGAUAAACCACCUAUGAAAGGUCGUGCCUAGAGAGGCCGUGAUGAACCACCUUGGAAAGGUCGUGCCCGAUGAGGCCGUGAAAAACCACCUACAAGAGGUCGUGCCCAGUGGGGCCGUGAAUUGCCACCUGUUAAAGGUCGCGCCGAGUGGGGCCGUGAUGCCACUGAUUUAAAUUUGCCGAGUAGGGCCGUAGUUGAGAGCAAUGAUUGAUUUGCUAGAAUGACAUGAAAUCGGCCGAGUCGAUUGAUCGCUGAGACGAUCCAAGUGGUUGAAUGGUUUGAUGAUGUGAUUGUGACAUGGUUGUUUGGUUAUCAUAAUUGUACGUGGUUGGAUUAUAUAAAUUGUGCUAACCUGUAGAUGAAGGCUGAGGCGAGGUAAGUCCUCUGUGUGAUGUGGCUAGGCCACCCGGGGCGUAUUUUCUUUCUAAUAGGGAUUUAGGGGGUUGAACUUGCUGAGACAUCGUCUCAUCCCGGUUGUGGGAUUAAAAUUUCAGGUCCCUGGUGGACGGAGCGGCCAGAUCGCUUUGGUUGGCCUUGAGAAGUUGCAGAGGUGAAGUCAUAAGGGUUGGAGAGCGUGUCCUGCUAGUUGGUUGUAGGAUAGUCCCCCUUUUGUCGAGCUGGUCUAUUUUGUAGAAAGUCCAGUGUUGUAUUUAAACCCCCCUUUGUGUUUGUAAAUGAGUGUUUGGUAUUGUGAUUGAUUGCCUGCUUUUCUAUCCCAAGUUAAAUGUUGUCAGGGGAUUUGUUUCGCUUCCGCAUGCGUAAAGAAAUGAAUGGGUCGGCGACAUAUCCUGGGAUGUCACAUUUUUUAUCGACCGCAGUGGGAUGUGCGCGCGCUCGGGGUUCGGGGCGUGACACUAUUGAUUUCUGCUUGGGUUAAUCAUGGAUUUUACUAUUCUUAUUGAUAUGACAAUUCAACCUGGUAUUUUGGAUCUUGUUAUAAGAACCAAGGAUUUAUAAGGGGACAUCAAUGUCAUGGUGACAGAGCAUUCUAUGGGAGGGGCUAUGGCAUCCUUUUGCGGAAUUGAUCUUGUGGUAAGAUAGUUAAAAACUGCUAUGGUCUGGAAUUGUGAAUUUUAUUGUUUUUUUUUUCCUAUUGCGUUCUUCCAAUAUUCAUAUGGUAAUAUGUUAAGAGUCAACUGGAAUUCUCUGCCAAAUCUGUGCUGAAGAGUCUAGGCUAUUUAUACGGAUCUUGAACUUUCUAUUGCUCUCAUAUUUAUAUUCACAAUUCGUCACAGACAGCAUCUUGUUUUCUUUCGGUUUUGGUAAGUCAAACCAUAGACAAAACACAAGCAGAAUGGGGUGCAAAUAGCCAUUUAUGCUAACCACCGAUUGUUUAAGUAUCUGGCAAUGUAAAUUGAGUCUUACCCAUAAAGCUAUGGAGCUUCAAGUUGGUCGAAUACCUAAAUAUAGUGGAUAAGGUCACUUCCAACUAAUCAUUACAAGGUUUACUUACUUGCUGGAAAAUUUAUGGAAUUGUCGAUAUGUUUAUGGUAUGGACAUAUAACUUUUUAAAGCACUUGAAGCUCAAGUUUUAUGUCAUGUAAUCUUGAAGUGCUAAUGCAUUUUAAGAUAGAUUAUAUAUCAAUCCUAAAUUUGUGUUUGGUGUACUGUUUCUAUCUAAGCCUCUCUCUAAUCAAAAGAAGCAGCUCCUCUUCAGUAGGACUACAAGGCCAGAUAUGUUGUAGGCUGGAGCCAAUGCUAAGAUGUCUAAAUUAUGCCUUUUCUCUCAGCUUUAUUGGACAGAGUGUUCCAGGGUACAUUUGGAGGCACCUGUUGCUCAACUGCUACCAGAAAUGGUGCCCAAUCCAAAAUCAUGUCCCAUUGAUUCUCUUCUCCAUGGCAAGUGGUGAUUUUUUAGAGUUAAACUUUAUCUUGAAGUCUGAUUACACUCAUGUUCAUGUGGCCUAUGAUAGGAUCAUAGGUUGCAUGGACUUUAGACUAUACCCUUUCUCAAAAUAUUAGUAGCAAGUAUAACACUUGUCCUAAAACUUUUAAAUGAUUUAAAGUUUUAUUUUUGUUUACUGGUUUCUUGCUGAAAAUUUUGUCGAGCCAAUUGUGACGUCAUGCCCAUUCGUUGCAAUCCUUUUUAAGAUUGAGUUUCUCCUUCGCUACUUGUGUCAGUAAAUUUUGUAGUUCAAGGGGCCUUUUCAUCAGGAACCGGGAAUUUUUUGUUUAUGUCAUUAGCAGGAUGUGACUAACCCCACCAACAUCCAAGUGCUUCUUGUGGAAGCAAUUAAAUGCGCUUCAGUUGUAAGUUUGCGCCCAAUCCCACUAUUCCAUAUCAUUAACACCUUUUUGUGGUGCUGACUGCUGAGGGUGGGUUUGGUUUUGUUGUGUGUGGGGUUUGGUGUUGGGAAACUUAUGGAUGGGAUCUUGACAGAGUUAACGCUAGACCUUCAACCCUUAUGGAGACAAAGGGCUGUUCUAUUGUUCACCUUUGUAUAUGAAAUGCAAUAUAUGGUUAUUGAUGCAUAGUGUUUUUUUUCCCAUCUUGGAAGGGCUAUUGAUGUAUUGACAUUAAAUUUAUUUGGCUGUCUAAUUAUGUGUGCUGAAACUGUCUUUUCCAGACCAGCAUUUGCCUUAUUUACUAAACAGAAGCACUUUAUUUCCUGGUUAAUCAUGAAGUACAGAAUAUUCAGGUUUAAACAUUUGGACAACUCUGUAUUGGCAAUGCAGUGUUUGCAUCUUACUACAGUGACUGCAUACCAAAAACAUUACGUAUUCCUCCUGGACAAGAUUUUGUCUUAUUUGCCUCCGUACUAUUUUUGGUUCCCACAGAAGACGUACCAUCAAUUCCCUAGAGAGGUAUGAUGUUGAUCAUGACAGAAUAUCAAAUAAAUUAUGGGGAAUUGUUGAUGACUGAAUUUGAGGUUUGCUUUGCAUCUCAUUUGACCUGUCUAACAAGUGAAGUAUCAUAUAUUCCGGCAUUGUAUGUACUCUCUUUUUUCAGCUUAUAAAUUAUGACUGUCUUGUUUGUUUUUCUUCUUAACAAAGCAGGGUAGUUUGUAGGACUCAUUACGUUUUAAACUUUUUUUGAGUAACUCUCAUUCUUGCAAAAGCCAUCAUGAGUUUUUCAUAUCGAUUCCAAAGUUUAGGACACAUAAUAAUGUUUAUUAUACUCUCUCUCUCUCUCUCUCUCUCUCUCUCUCUCUCUCUCUCUCUCUCUCUCUCACUCACACACAAACGCACGCGCGCGCGUGCACGCACACACGCACUAUGUCUACUAAUGCGUAUAAUUAUUAGCGACUAGCUCAAAGACAGCCACGGUUGAACAUUUUAAUGUGAGAUGAAAAUGAUUUGAUUCCACCUGCUUCUCUAAUACCUAAUCAUACUCAUAACAGUUUUCAUGUAAUCGGAAUCUUCCCUUUAUUGUAGGUAUGGCUAUAUAACAUAUGAUUUGGUAGUUAUCAGGUUGAGAAAGUUUGUGAUACCUCAGGAGAAGAUGCAUUAUGCAGCAAGUGAUGAGCUAGUUUCAGUCGAAGCUACUUGUUCAAACAAUUAUUUUGUGGAUUUAUCAUGCAAGAUGCAAUAAGUUGUGAUGGACCAGCUUGUUCUAGAGAAUCUCUGUCCUUUGUUACUAGGAAUAUUUGUGGACAACCGAUCAGGGUAUUUUCCUGCAGAUUGGUACCGGGUAACAGCAUUGUGGACCAUUUAGUCUUUCUAUAGUGUGCAAUUAAUGGCUAAGACAUGAGAAUCGUGCAAAAUCGUCACGGACAUUAUUGACGGAAUGUGGAGGCGAAGAUGUCAAAGGAAAUCUUAUGCUUUCCAGGAAUCCUUUUGUUUCUGCAUCGAGGCCGCAUUCAGACUCUGAUGCCAAGAGGAAAUUCAGUUGAAAUGCUCCUUGGUCAGUACCUGGAUUCUCAAAGAUCAUCAGGGACCUUUGUGAUGAAGUUUGGUCACAAAAUGCAUUCCAUCGAUCUGUUGUCCAUAUCCAUCACAAGAUACAGAGGAGCUCUACUCUAAUUUACUCUGAAUGUAAAUAGCACAAAGUUGAAGGUAUCAUCCUUGUAAAUACAACUCCGUGGUUUCAAUUGAAUGAAUAUGUUCGCAAGUUUGCCUGUCAAUCUAUUAUUGGGCUUGGGUCUUUGUUACCUGACUUGAUGCGUGGAGGCUGAGCUGAGCUAUAUUCAUAGUUGAAUGACGCAGCUAUUCCCUUUUUAUAAGGUGAAACAAAGACUACGUUCACAGACCACUUCUCAAUCUAUGACACCUUACCUUCUCCUACAGGCACAUUGGCACAUAAGAUUUCUUGGCAGAACUAAGUACUUCAACUAUUUCCUCGUAGGGAAUUGUGCAGAUGAACUGUUAAAUCAAACCAUCUCGGAGACAGAUGAUGACUUUGUCUUACAUCAUUUCCAGUGGCAACCUUUGCAAAUUUUUUACUUUAGGAGGUAAACAAUUUAUAUCAUCUUGCCUUUGAUAUGUAACAAUGAUCAUAUGAGCAUUUGGAACAAGGGUUGUAAGCUUUUACCUUCUUUUUUUAAUAUGUGGGAAUUAACAUUAGUGGAAACCUGAAGAACUAAAAUGCCUUCGUCAUUUCAAAGCAUAUAUUGCCAAUUAUGACCAUUUGAAGCAGAUAUAAGUCCUUGACACUGUAUGAUAAGCUAGAGUUUGUACAUUACAGUAAAAGCUAGAGUACAACACCAAAACAUUGGGAAAGGUAUAUUGUUCUGUCGUCUUAACCCUCGCCAUUGUGAUUUAGGCACUUCUGCAAUCGCAAAUUGCCAGCUCCAGAGGCGGACAUGGCAAUCUGCUCUUGCUAAAAACUGAGAGGGCCCAAAGUAGAUAGAGCAAUUGGGAGUUUCUAUCAUUAAGAAGAUAGAGCAAUUGGGAGUUUCUGUCAUUAUUCUAAUAAAAUAGGGCACGAUAACUCUUGAAACAAGAUGCGACUAGUACAUCAGAAACUAAAUUCGGAGUUCCACGACCAAUGGGCAGCGAGAUAUGCAUAAAUUAAGACGAGCUCACGAGGAACUACAUCUUCCUCACUUCUUCUCAAUUAGCUUUUCGAUCAUGUCCGCAGCUUCCUGGACAUUUGUGAUACUUUGAGCACUUUCUUCCUCCACACCAAUCCCGAAUUCCUCCUCAAGUCCCAUCACAAUCUCCACCUAAAUUGCAAAAGAGCAAUGGUCUCAUCACAAUCCCAAUUUAUUGAAUGGAGUAAGCUGGUAAGCGUCGGAAUCAGAUAAGCAGAAAAAACAAUUCCAACAUCGCAGAAGUACCGUCCUGCACCGCUUCAUAAUGAAUGGAUCAAGUGAAAGCUCAUUAAAGUCUGCAGAAAAGGAAAGAAACAUGUGGAUGAACGGCUUAGGGCCCGUUUGGUUCGGCUUUUGGGGGAUGCAUUUGCCAAAAUGCAAAUACCUUUGGGUGAAUGGGGUUUUCCGAAAUGCAAAUAUCGUUUGGUAAAAUUUGCAUUGAGAUGCAACUUUGGCCAAAAUGCCGUUUGGUAAAAUUUACAUUUGCAAAGGACUUUUAUUAAAUUAAAAAAACAAAAAAACAUUUUUCUUUUAUUUUUUUGAAAUCCGGCCACCGGACCGCCGGAUCCGGCGGCCGGACAGCCGGAUCCGGCGGCCGGACAGCCGGAUCCGACGGCCAGACAGCCGGAUCCGGCGCCGGAUGGCCGGAUCUGGCCGCCUGGGUCGCGCGACCUCAGGCGUCGCCUGAGGUCCGGCGACGGUCGCUGGGGUCGGGGGACCCUUGGCCGGCGGUCGCCGGCGCAUUGCCGGCGCGCGCGACCCCUUGGCCGGCGGUCGUCGUCCUCCGAUUGGCUUCUCUCCGGUGAAGAUGAACAGUAGAAGUUGCAUUCCGAAAGCAACUUCCCAAUGGACCUCUCCUCCUCCAUUCCUCUAAAGUCCCUUCAAGCCCUUUGAAGAUGCAAUUGCAUCUCCCCAAAGUCCCCAAAAUAUUGAACCAAACACCACUCACUUUUGCCCAAACCCCUUUAGAGGCCGAAAGCCCCUUCUAAAUGCCGAACCAAACGGGGCCUUACAAUGUACAGAGAAUCGGCUUCCAUGUUAGCAAAUUUUGACUCUCCAGUCACCGUAGCAUCAUCUGGUAAAGCCAGCUGCUUCCUUACUAUUUGGCACACUUUAUCCACUGUCUCCUUUUUAGCCUGCUCACAUCUCAAGUGGAUUAUUUACAAGUUCUAAAACCUACUUAUGGAUGGUCUUCACACUGAGUGGUUAGAAGAUUGGCAAGACCAAUCCAAGCAUUCCUCCAGAGCAAGCAAAAUUAUAUGUUGGAACACGGUAUGAAAAAUAUUCUGGGCAUCCACUUUCCCAGAAGAAGCAUGUUUCAAAUGACAUGAUUAUAAUCACACAGCAAGAUCGUUCAACAUGAGACGAAAAUAAUGGCCCAGACUUCAGAUACAUAAGAACUUGUAGUCACUUUGCUUUGCUUUAGUUUUGCUGUUAUAGUUGGCUUGACAUAGUAAUACAGACCGCACCCGAAACCUGGAAGCGGCGUGCCUUGAGAGAAGGGAAACUUCUGCCACUGAUAGGAAGGGAAACAGAAAAGAAAUUAGAUGUCUUGCUGACAGGUACCUUUUAAAAACGUCAAAAGUGAGCAUUACCAAGGUGCUAAGUAAGCUCAUGGUGCUACACAAGUCAGGUCUAAAGUACGAUGCCAAAUGUUUACUAAUGUUUCAAAGAUCCAAUCUAGUUCAAAGGCAAAACCUCAACCAGGUCAGCCAAGCCACAUCCCAAAUUGCACAGAAAAUUCGGGCGAAUUACACUUUGCCGCCAAGUUUUUGGCAUAAUGGCAAGCUACCCAUGAUGUUUCAAGUUUUGCAUCCUAGACUCUUUGAAAUUGGACACCACUUGCAGCAAAAUGUUCUCGUAAAUCUGACCACGUGACCGCACGUGAUUAGUUAUGACAGGAAAAUUGGACAUAUAUCAUAUUUAUAUGUGGAAAAAAAAAACGGGGACUACCCAAAAACAUAUUUUAAAACUAUCUAUUGAUAUACAUUUGGCAUUGAUCCAGUCAAAUCCUCGUCGGAAUUGUAGUCUCAUGCUCUCAAGUGCAAUAUAUUUUUUUAUAAUUAUUCUUCUACUUACUAUAUGUAUGUGCUAAUAUGACAAAUUUCCUCCGUACUCAGUCACGUUGCUGGAGCUCCAAGUGGAAAUCGAUCGAAGUCAAUCCAGGGAACGCAUUGCAAUCUAUUUCUAAAAUUCAUGGGCAAAUUGCAAAAAUUGAAACAUCACUGGCCAAUAGACGACAACUGUGAAAGCUUGGGGGGCAAUAUGUAAUUUGCCCCAGAAAAUUUACAUAGUUUUCAGACCAGUAGAUUACUAGCAAUUAUUAGACCAACAUCAAACCUCAAGAGCCUUCGGAAGCUAAUGGAGAUGCUACUAUCAGCAUCACCAAUAACCACAAAAAUGAGACAGAAAAAACAAACUGAAAUAAGUUGGAAAAAAAAAAUCGCAUAAACAUGCAAAAGCUGCUAACUGAGAGCAACUCAACAACACAUCGAAAAAAAGCGAACUCGAUUAGGCAUCCAUCUAAUUAAUUCCGGAAUACAAAAGCGGUAGGAAACCAAAAUCAAGUAUAGCUGGCCUGAACUCAUUAUUAACCCCAGACAGCUCAUCUAGUCAAGCUAGACAUUUGAAAUCCUUAUUCGGCGGUGCUGUAGCUUUCCAAUGUGCUCACAAAUGCAUGCUUUAGCGAUGCUUACGCAGUUCGUCCAUUCCUAUAUCUACCCAGACUAAUGCCGCAAACGUGACCGUUUUUUAACUUUAAAACCGCUAGAACAUGUACUCAUCUCUCAAUCAAAUCCUUAACAUAGCCAAUAAUUCGCUCUGUUCGAUCAAUCAUCACACAUAUUUUCCAACACAAACAUUCCGAACCAGCAUCUCCGGUCCCAUCCGGCAGAAUUCAUAAAUCCAGGCACUAAACAAAUUGAAAGUAGACCAAUUUCUUCCCUUUUUUUUUCCCUAUCAAGAAGAAUGGAAAUCCACUCCUCGAUCAAUCCACGGAAAAAAGCUGAACAUUUACCACAACCCAAUGGACAGAAAAACACCUCCAGCACCAAAAACAUGAACACGUUCAUCCCAGUCUGGUAAAAAGCUAACGUCCAAGCUGACAAUACGCUUCGAAAAUACCGCCAGCGAUCAAGCGCCAAUCAAACAAAACUAAAUAACGCAGAAUCGACACUCCCCAUCGUUAAAAAACGCAUCAAAGCCUCGUUAGUGGCUUAAAGAACAGUAAUAUAUCUUCCUUUGAUUUGUGAGUGGGGCAAUGGGGUGCAUAUCCUGAAAAAAUGCAGCUCAACCAAAUGAGUGAUGCCGCUUAGCAUAUGAAAGCCUUUUAUUGAUCAAGAUCCCACGAGAAAUUUUACCAGCCCAAGUUCUACUUCCAAGAACAACUUCAAUUCGGCAUUCGGAACCUUAUUUGACACUUCUCUCAACUAUCCUACCUACGGUUCAUCAAAAAGAAAAACAAAUAUGGUGGGAAAGAAAGUAGAGACCCAAUCAAAAGGCAUUGGAACAGUGGAUAAGCACGACGAAAUGAACAUAAGCAGUACGGAAAAGUUAAAAAGACAAACGAAAGAACAAAAGGGAAAAAUCGAAAAGAGGAAGCAUCUCUGCCAAUAAAAUGCAUAAUCAAAAGAUAUCCUCCCCAUGCAAGUAAGAGAAUAUUAGACCUAUCACUCUGAAGAACAAUUAACUCCUACAAGAAUAAGCUGAACAAGCUUCUUCCCCAUUAUUUUCCACUCGUACACAAAAAUAAUCAACUAAGUGAUAAGAAAAACUCAAGUACCAGAUAAUAGAAGGCAGGUAGUGCAGCACAUUAACACAACAUUACGUAGACUUAAAAGGCUAAAUGAUUACCCAGCUGAAGCUAAACAGAAACUAAACCAAAAAUAAAAAAAUGCGCAUGAAAAACAGUUCUGAGAAAUGUGCACCGGAACGCCGAAUUCUUUAGCAACCUCCUCCUGAAAAAAUACAGCAGUUUUUGUAUUCACUUGGUUUAAUAUGUGUUGAAGAAAUCCUUGAAACUGUAAACAGAAAAGACAAUCGCCAGAGAUGACCAAAAGCUAGUUUGCUAGACAUGGUUAUACUGUUUCGAUAGGAUAUUGCAGCGUAAUUUCACUGUGACAAAGUCAACGAUGCCUGGUGUACACCGUCCAUUCGUUUCCAAUGUACAGCCAAACAGCAGUGUGGUUUUGUGCUCUUCAGUAUCUAAUGCAUAAUGUAAGGUUCAUCAGCGAUUUCGUGGAUGAUUCCGACAAUUUGUUUUCAAUAAUCUAACCGCAACGAUUGAGAGUCCACUGGGGAAGAAUGGACACAAAACAUCAGAUCCCUAUCCUAUAUUAGGACGGGCACAUGCCCACAUUGUCAGGCAUAUCAGAGAUGAAGAUGUCCACUGUUAAUGAUUGUUCAAUAAGUUUUAUCACUAGGCUCCAAGCUCAUCAUAGACCGCAAUUUAGGAAAAAAAGAAAAGAAAAAAGAAUGGCUCCUCUCAUAUCUAAGCACGAAAAUUGGUUCUUGAUGUGCUGCAACAGUCUCAAAAUUCUCUCUGUCAAGGACUUGCGGACAUCGUGAGACCAUUAGUCUAUAGGAAUUUCAAGUUCAGAAUAAAAUACUGAUACACUGCCAUUCAUUUGAUAUGUCAAAACAAAAAAUAAAGCGCCAGUAUUCUGGUCAUUAUUUCAAGUUUAGCUCAACUGCACUUGAACAAGUAUAUUUGUUAUAAGUCCUUUAAAAUCUAACUCCGCGACUCUAUCAUUAUGAUUUGACAUGUGAUUCAAGGUCCUCUUGUUUUCAACUUCGUCUUCUGAUGAGUGUAAAACCACAAGGCGAUAGCAAUAGGGGGAGUGAUAUGUAGGAACAACGAUCAUCUCUCCAACCCCAAUGCGCACAUAGAAAUCCCAUAAAUCACAUCCAGUUGCUCCAACCCUUGAGUCUGUUCUCUGUUUGACAAUUUUUGGUGUCGAGAACCGAACCACAUCACUGUAAUUUUACGUAACUAAGGUAUAAAAGCUGCUUAAGAUUAGUUAUGGAUUCUCGCGAUGCUGCUUAUUCGAUUCAGUUGCUCUUUGCUACUUCUCCAGUUGCUAAAUGAGCCACAACUUCCUGCAAAGAAACAUAGUACCAUUAACUUUGUUAAGAGUUAACCAUCUAAAUCAGAAAACCAACUCAAACAGUCCGUCUGAGAUGUUUGUACCUCUUGGUCUUCACGUCAAUGUUUAAUGCGCAGUAAAUGUAUCAAAAUCAAUGGAAAAGCAUGGGAUGCGUAGAUUAGCGUGAACAUAAUCUGCGUCAAGACAUAUGUCUGCGAACCUGUACGUGUGAUCUUAUGACCCCGAACACGUCUCUAUUAUUCAAACUCAGCAGUUAAAUUCUCGGAAGAUUCAUUCAGGUACAUCAUCAGGAGCAGGGUCAUUUUCCUUCUUCCCCAAUUCCUCUUCCUUUUCCAGUCCAGUUGGAUUCUUCUCUUCCACCACCACUUUAUCAUACUCGCCCUCCUUCACCUGUUCAUGCCGAGGCAAGUUGUACUCGGAGGAGAGACCCUCAGACACAAUCCCUUCUGGCACUUCCUCGUCUCUUCUGGGAGAGAAGUAAUGAUCUGGCGAGUCGUGGGAUGUGAACCUCCCUGGCUCUGCCUCUUCCUCUUCUACUAGCGGUUCUGUCUCCGGCUCUAGCUCCUGCCUCCAGCUCAAUCUCCUUUUUCUUCCUCUACACGCUUCUCUUCCUCUCUGUCUUCAUCCACGGCCUUUGUUUCUUCUACUUCUUUGUUCUCUUCUUCUUGUUCAGGCUCGGGAUGUUCAGUUAUGUCCUUAACAUCAGCCGCAGUUCCUGUACCCUGGCUCACCGCAUUAUUGAUUUCUUGUUGCACGAGUAAUGCCGCGCCAUUCCCAAUUGCUUCCAUCUGAGGAAACGUUCUGUUCCACUUGUUUGUUCUUCUCGGGAUUGGUGCUCGAAACUCCUGCUUUCAGUAAUGGUGUUUCCGGUGGCACCAGCAUGCUUCGACUCCGCGCAACGCAUUUUCGUAAAAGGAAACGUCAAUCGAAAGGAAUUAGAUUUGGGUAUUGAUUCUCUCUCCCUUUGUGCGUCAGAUUGAAAUGAAGUUUCGGCUUUCGUUUUCUUUGGCUGUUGCAGUUUUGAUUUGCUGAGGCGGGUUGUAUCCGUGGUUGACAAAAGGAAGGAGUUUUUUCUGUUGUGGAUUGAGGGUGGAGAGGAGACAGUUGCAGCUUAAGUUAAAAAGGGGAGUUUCUCCCUCCAAUCUAGAAAACGACAAUUCGUUUCUUAUUAUCGGUGGGGUUUUCCUUUCAUUUUUUCCAACCCAACCUUAGUUCAAUGAAAAAACAUACUUUAGAAUUAACAAAAUUCAAUAUUUAAAAGACCGAAUUAGUCCUACUCAAAAACUUAUUUAAGUUUCUCGCCCCAUGUUUGAGCAAUUUAAUUUUCAGUUGAUUUUGAGUACUUUUGAUGGUAAGACUUUAGGACUUGUGGAUGGACUUUUUUGAGAGAAAAUGACAAUUCUUUUAUGCAAAGAAACACAAGGUUAAUCGACAUAGAAAUACGAAAAGUGAGGUAUGUUUUUGAUAUUUUAUAAUGUCAAUCGACCUCAUAAAUCAAAAUUCAUAUGGUCGUGAAACAUGAGAUUGUUUGCACUUAAUCUGAUCGAAAAUUGAACUUACCUAAUUUUCCAAAUUCACAAAUAAAUCCUUUCAUGAACCAUUAAAAUAAAAUUGAUCAAGAGUAGGUAUGUAAAAAGUGAAAUAUCACAUAAAGAAAAAUUAUAAUAAUGUUAGCAAACGAAUAAUCAAAAUAUUACCAAAAGAUGAAUUAUGAUUGUUCCGCACCGUAAGUGGCGAUGGACGCCGCCACAGGGGAACAUUACCGUAUUCCCUUCUUCCUCCUCGUCGGAGCCGUGCACGCCGCCGCCACCGCCGCCGCGAGAGCUCGCAGGGUCCGCCGCAUUCUCAAGCCUCCGGUUCAUGUCGGCUCGGCUGGAUUCGUCCCUCCGGAUGACCACCGAGUCGCUGAAUGCGCUCGGAUUCGUGCGCAAGCAAGUCGAGAUCACAGCUCCUCCUCCUCCGCUGCUCAGUCCCUCGGUUUUCGCAGGUAGCGUGCUUGUUGUCGUCUGUUAGGCUUUUCUUUUUUCGCUGCUGAGGAAUCUCGACGUGGAUUGUAGAUGCCAGACUGAUGGGUUCUUGGUCAGUAGGGGGCCUUCUUUAGGUUGAGUUUGAUGUCUAGAUAUGGGGCGGCGGUUGGAGAAUUUUAUGAUUGAUGAGGAAGUCUGAAUAACUUAUUCAAGGGAUGUGUACCCGGUGGAGCGGUCGAGUUGAAGUGGAGGGAUGAUUAUGCUGUCGGGAUCGUGCUUGUUGAUCGAGACGCCGUAUUUUUUUAUUGUGUUCAUCGUGUUUGCUUCGUAUAUUUGAUAUUGGAGACAUGAUUCUGUAAUAGAAUGAAUCGCAUCGAAUUGUUUCUUCUAGUCUAGCGCUUCAUGUUCUUCAAUGUCGGUUCUGGGUUGAAUUAGUUUGUUGAUACAAAACGGAGCUGCGUUUCUCUUGGCAGUAUAUAUAAGGUUUUGAUGUGAUUGUCAUUGGAAUUCACAGGGCCGGCUCGUGGAAAUAGAUUGCCUGCUUCCCCUUGGUCGAUAAUUUCUAGUUUACCAUAUUCUUCUGAAGCAAGUGCUGAAAUGGAGGAACCCACAAGAUUUUUUGCUUUUUUCUAUCUAAUGUGUGUCUUUACACAUUGUGGAGUUCUUUUUCCGAUAUUUGGUUCUUGUAAUAUUAUGCAGAGACCGUGAAGGAGAUGUAUCAUAAAAUUCUUGAAUCUGCUAAUAUGAAAAGAACAAUGGCUCCAAACGCAUGGACGUGGUCGAUGAUUGAAAAUUGCAAGAACAGAGAGGAUAUCAGAGCUUCUCUUUGAUGUCUUGCAGAACCUACGCAGAUUUGUCAGUUGACUUCUUGCUCCAUUUGAGAAAUAAAGUUUUGAUUUGUGACUAGUUGAUAAAUCAAUUUGUUUUUUUCUUUCGUCGCAGAGAUUGUCAAAUCUUCGAAUUCAUGACUGCAACCUUUGUCAGGAAGUCACAAAAGCAUCUGUGCAUGCAAGGGCUCUUCAUUUUGGUGAGCUCUAUCUACACAAGUUGUGUGCCAAGUUCAAAAAUUUUGUAUCUUGCUAAUAUAUUUACCUGAUACUUCUUCUGCAUUCGAUUGUUGCUACUUACCCUAUCAUUAGCACAAUCAUUUUGUUGUGUGUUGUUGAUCUUUUUACCUCAAGCCUGUCAUGCUUGGAGAACAUAUUCAGUUGCUUAAGAAAACUUUUGACCACCUCGCUGGUACUGGUAGCUAGUUAUGCUUUUGUGUUUCUUUUUCCCCCCUUGAUGCGUCCAUUAUGUAAACCAGAAUUUUGUCCUACACAGAUGCUACAUGUCUAUUAAGCAUGGGUAUGGAAAUAACAUGACACAUAUAACAUAUUCAAGAAAUAGUUUUUCAUGUUUGAAUGUGUAAAGGCACAUUCAAUUUAAAGCACUUAGGACAUUGUUAAAUGUGUAUUAACUUGUCUUUUGUGAGUAACAUGUUAACCUGCUCGACACGCUGCAAUGUGUUUAAGUAGUUAAAGGGGUCAAUUUAUUUUACAUGUACAAACUUGUUAACUCGUUGAUGACUCAGACAAUUUUAAGCUCAAUCCAACUUAAUAUGUGUCAAAUGCUUAUUCUGUAAAUAGGUCUUUUUGCACAUUGCUGGCUCUGUAAGACUGAUUUCUUGAAUGACACCUCCACUUCAAGUUAUUGAGUUCAUUAUCCAAGCUUAGCAAAGAGCAUUCACUUUUUGCAGACGUGUUUUUAUGAACAUUAAGCUUCAGUAGUUAUCAGUUCGAGCUGUUUCUAGUAAUUAAGCUCUUCAUAAUUUUCAAGAAAAAUAAAUCAAAUCAAACUGCAGUUCCAUGGUGUAACUCAUUUUAGGAGAUUGCAGCAAUUAAUUGUCACUGGGCGUACAUGAUUUAAUCAGAACCUACAUCUGUAAAUCCUUAUUUAGGCUAAGAAAUUAAAUUGCAUGGUGCACUUAAUCCGUGAUGAUAGAAACUAAGGGUUGACAAAAUUGUAGGUAAGAAGGCCUUGUGGGAGCAUAAUGUCUAUGGAUUCACCCCUACAAUUGGCUCGGCAAACCAUCUUUUGGUAAUGAUGAAGUGUAUCUAUAUCAAGCAAUUCUUUUUUCCAUUUGUUUUAUUUACACAAUUCUUCUGCUAACUUGGGGUAUUGCAAUGCAGCAAUAUGCUAAAGAGCACAAAGACGCUACCCUCAUGCAGGAAGUUAUGAAGCUUUUGAAGAAGAAUAACUCACCAUUGCAACCCACCACGGCCGAUAUUGUUUUCAGGUUCACUUCCGUGCUGUUUCUCCUGAGAAGGAUGUUAUUAUCGUGUAGUAAGCCAUUAUUGCACUUAAUUGUGUGUUAUGUACUGCAUAGUUAUCAAGCAAUUUAUCCAAUUUAUAAGUGUCAUUUAUAUGCGAUUUAAUCAACUUGUUUUUAUUUUGAAUCAUUUUGUCUGCACUACUACUCUCGAUCUAAUAGUUUGCUCAUGUUAUUUGACAUCCUUUCUUUCAUGGAAAAAUUUUGCAGCAUUUGUGAUGAUACAGACAAUUGGGGGUUGCUCACAAAGUAUUCAAAGAGAUUUGUCAGAAAUGGAGUGAAUUUGCAUAAAGCUGCAUUUGACAUCUGGAUGGAGUUUGCUGCAAAAGUAGGUGAGAAACACUUGCUCUGUCUUCCUUCGCUGCUCUCAAGCCCUUGUCCCUCAACAAUCUAAUUUUCCAUUUCUUCCCACAAAUAGUUCUCUCAUCCAGGUCCUACCUCUUACUACAAAAGAUGGGAUGUGCUAGAAUAUUUUCUUCUGUACAAUGAUUUCUUUCUCUCCUUAAACAAAAGGGUAGAAAUAAGAAAUGAAAAGAAUUUUCGCUGCGCCGUGUCUUUCAAUGUCUUUGUUUCUUUAAUUGUUCUGAGAUUAUGCUUCUUUAUCUUAUUUAGUGGUUUGACGAAAAUUACCCUUUUCAGGAGACAUUGAAUCUCUAUGGAAAAUUGAGAAGUCAAGAUGUGAGUCCAUGAAGCAGAACACUGUGGGCAGUGGGUUCUCGUGUGUGAAGGUAAUUUACAAACACAAACUGUUGAAAUCACAAAUAUCAGACCCUGAAAGCACUAGGUCUUCUUGCAUUAGAAAAUCUGAUAAUGGGAACACAUUAAUAUUGCAAUACAGAUCAGUACAAAGUUCUUGGUAAACCAGGUGAGAGGUCUAUGGCCCUGUUUGGUUGGACUUUCCCAAGGGGCUUUCGGGCCCGAAAGCCCCUUGGGGAAAAAAAUUUGUGUUUGGCAAUCAUUUUCAAAUGCUACUUGGCCAAAUACCAGCAUCCCAAAUGCUGAAAGCCCAAUGCUGGGUAGGACCAGCUUUGGGCAUUUCAGAAAUGCCGGUUCACUGUUCAUAAUCCACUGUUCAUCUUCUUCCCCCUUUCUUCUUCGUUCGUCUUCGUCUUCCUCGCCGGCUGAGAGUGCGGCUUCUCCGGCAGCCACCACCGCCGCGUGGGGGUCCCGCGUCCCCGGUGACCACCGCCCGGGGUGGCGAGACCCGCGGGGUGGCCUGAGGUCGCGCGGACCUCGGCCGGCGUCGCCUGGUCUCGCGCGAGCCAGGCGACCAGGCGAGGCCAGAUCUGGCUGUUCGGCGGCCAGAUCUGGCGGUCUGGCCGUUCGGCGGCCAGAUCUGGCGGUCUGGCAACCAGGCGACGCCGCCUGAGGUCGCGCGGACCUUAGCCGGCGUCGCCUGGUCUCGCGCGACCAGGCGACGCCGGCUGAGGACGCCGGACGGCCAGACGGGGCGGCGGGGAUCUCGAGAGGCCAGAUCUGGGGCGCGGGCGACGCGCGANNNNNNNNNNNNNNNNNNNNNNNNNNNNNNNNNNNNNNNNNNNNNNNNNNNNNNNNNNNNNNNNNNNNNNNNNNNNNNNNNNNNNNNNNNNNNNNNNNNNCGGAUGACAUGGUCUCAUGCACCAGAGAUCUGCUGCUGAGGUUACGUCGACGUUAGCAGCCCUGCCCAGGUAUCGCGCGACCAGGUGACGCCGCUUGAGGUCGCCCGACCUCGGCCGGCGUCUCCUGGUCUCGCGCGAGCCAGGCGACCAGGCGAGGCCAGAUCUGGACGCCGGACGGCCAGAUCUGGCCUCCGCGACCUCCGGCGGCCAGAUCUGGUGGUCCGGCGACGGCCAGAUCUGGCCGUCCGGCGGUGGCCGGCGGUUGGCCGGCCACCGGAAUUUGAUUUCAAAAUUUAAAGAAAAUAAAAAAUACCAAAAGCUAAUUACAAAUGCAAAGUUUACCAAACGGUAUUUAUGCUAAGUUGCAUUUCAAUUCUAAAAUUUACCAAACGGUCUAACAUUUUCGAAAGUUCAUUUCUCUAUAUUUGCAUUCUCCAAAUGGCAUUUUUUAAAAGCCGAACCAAACGGGCCCUAUGGCCAGAAAAGGCGAGAGUUAAUGCUUGAAUAAACCAAAUUUUGGCUUACCCCCUAGGACAUGAAACAGCUAUGGGCAUGAGAAUGCUCUGUCAUCACAUGAAGGAGAUAUAACUACUUUUUCCAUAUUUGGAAGCAUUUAUUGUGGCUUUUAGCACUCCAGUUUAGGAUUAAAAUUUAACUGUCAUUUACUUGUUUUGUGGUGAACUAAAUGGUUUUAAAACCUAUUUUUUGUGCAGGGAUAUUUACUUGAAGGCAAACCUGAGGAGGCUGCUACAGUCACGUCUUGAAUCAGGCGCUCCUCACUUCUCAGAGCAUCUGUAGCUAUUAUUAAUAUGCUCAUCAUCACCGUCUGGCAUGAUUGCAAUCCUGAAUUACCUCAGCCUCUGAACUAGUCCUUCAAUUUUCCAUAUACUGUCAAGGAAUAAAGCAAUUAGUGGAAGAUGUACAGAAUUGUCCCCCAAAAUGUGCUCAGAUAAAAUUACCGUGACAUAUCCUCUCUCGAGGGGGAUUGGGUGAUUUGGGUUUCGUAUUUGGUGCAUGCUAUACUAUUAAAAUAACAUGAGUUAGUUCCAUGGAUCCUAAUAGAGUUCGAAAGUUCAUCUCAGACUCCUCCUGAAUGGAAUAAAGUUGGAAAUACACCUAUGUAGGCUCUGUUUGUUCAGAUGUCGCUUCUUAGGUCCCACAAUGUGAAUGCCUUGGAUUGAUGCCAGAGUUUACCUGAUGCUAAGAGGUCCAGCAUCAUGGUUGAACUUCAAAAGCUUGUCAGUGAGUGGCUUUUCAAGGUUAUCAAACGGAAGAAAGAAGAUGACCGCAUGGUACUUCCUUUGACUAAAUAUCCAUCACUUUGGGUAGAAGUAGAAAUAUUGCUUGUUUGCAGUUAUAUAUUGCUCUGGUAAUGUUUUCUCAAUCGUUCCUGUUGCUGGAUGUAUAUAUGCUGCAUUGAACUAUCUCAAAAUAUUUAAAACCUCUCAUUCUUUUCACUCAUGUAGGCAUUGGCUGCUUCUCUCAAAUCCGAUAUCCCGGCCAUGGUUAGUUCCUUAUUAAACAUGGGCUUGGAGGUGAAUAUGGAACAACUAACCACCGAAGGCACCCUUUGUUAAAGUAUGACGGAAUUGGAGAUUGAAUGCACUAGCUGCAGAUCUGUCUCCUAUGUGGACCGCUAAGGUUGCCAUGUUAGUUUCAACCGAUUCCUCUGAGAAGCAAGACAAGCGUGGUACUCAUGUCUCGAGCAACAAGCAUCUGAAGUUCUCUUGUGAAGGUCCCUGAACCAUGAAAAGAUAUGCUCCUUCUUGAUUUGAAAGUUGUCACUUCUGUACUUUCGGAGAAUGAUUCUUUUCUUUCCCCAAAAAAUCUGAGUGCGUUGGAGACGAUAGAUGCAUCAUCAGCAAUUGAAUUCUGAGAACAACCUCGGAUGACUAGUUUUUGCAGAGAGGAUUCUUUUGGCUCACGCACUUUAGAUUGGACCAAAUGGGCAGGUAAGAGAGACAAUUGAUAAAGUGGUCCUUUCAAUUUCAAUCUCGUUUGGCAGCCUAUUUUGUUAAAUUUCUGACAGAAUUUCGCUGUCCAAAAUUAAGUGAGUGCAUUUAAUGCCGACUCAUUCGAUGUUGGCAUACAGUGACCGCCAUCGCUUCCUGAUAUAAUCGGAUUGAACUGUCAAAUUGUGGUGCCAAAGUGCAUAACAUACAUUACAUCCCUUUUUACAUCAUCAAAGUUAAUGAAAAACCUGAAUUACCAGAAAUGGCUUUGGUACCCACAUGCGUGGGUGGGUGCAUGCGUGCUUGCAUGCAUUUUGUACAUAUAAGGCAUACAAGAGGUAACAAACGCAAUCCUCUAGAAUUAAAAUAAUGUGCAUUAAUUAUAUGCAAGUUUUAGUAGGGAAUUGACAUAAUUGUAAUAAGUGUGGGACUUUUUUAGUAAUUUUCCCGUAUUUUCACUCAAAAGUUUAGGAUUACUAUAGGACUAAAUUUGAAUUAAUACAAUAAGCUUACAACCGAAUUUGCAAUUCUCCCAACUCAACACCUAUGCUUUAAGUUUUUUUCUUCUUUUAAUAAUUCUCCCCCUCUUCUAUCUCCUCUCCUCAUAUGUAUAAAAUGGGCAAUGAGGGGUGGCUUGGGUAGUGGAAGGGAAACCGUCCCCAAUGAUCUUAUUGGUGAAAGUUGACACAACUUCAAAUUAAAGGGCAAGAAAACUAACCUCUACUCACUUUAAAUCACCACGCUGAGUGUUGAUUUUAACUCCUUAAAAUCCUUAACACAUCCAACCCCUCAAGAUCCUGGCAUCAAAAGACAAUCCUUAUGGAUAAUAAGAGCGAGAGUAGAAGUCAUAUCCUAUGAUUUCCAAUCUUUCAUGAGACAUACCAAUGGAUUUGCAUAUGGUUAAUAUGAGAAAAGAGCUAUCCUAUACACUUGCAUUUAGUUGAUAAAAAGGUUGAUCAAUUUAUAGAUGACAUGAGUGACUUGAUUUCCAUUCACAUAUAAAUAACAUGCAGCCCAUCCUAGGUUGUGUCAAAGCCCCAAUACAUGCAUUAGACACCAUGCCAUCUCAAUCCCAAAAAGCAGAAGGGAAAUAUUGAUGUUUUCCGGUCAUCACACCCUGAGAAAAGACUAGGCAUUUUUUAUUCCAGCAAGAGAGACAUCCCUCCGACGGAAAUCUCGAAAGAUGAAUCUUGCUUAUGGUCUCCAUAAUCUAGCAAGAACGAUGGUGAUUCCAUUGGACUGGUAAGAACUACUUUUAUCUUCCUCUCCUCUAUGUAUUUACCACUUCCUUUAUCAAACUAGAAAUCUAAAAGAAAUUUCGCAAGUUACUUUACCAAAAGAUUAUGGAACAUAUAUUAGUAAAACUUGCCAUGCCAGCAAUAAUGUCCUCUUCACCUAUAUCGCGAACUUGUCUCUGCACCACAGGUGGAGCUACCUGUUGUGCUUACAUAGUAACUGCAUCAAAUAGAAGAUAGGAUGAAAGGCUACUCCAAUUCUUUCAAAAUAUCAAGACAGCUUCUGAGGCCUAUCAUGGUUUCCCUUUAUCUCAAGGUAUAUUAGGCUACUAUGGCCAGCAUUCAAAAUCUUAUUCAAAGAUGAUCUUGCUACAAUGCGAAUGACUCCACCUUUAGCUAUUCGUACCCUAUCAAUAAUAUAGUCCAGUUGACAUGUCACGGCAAAGAAAUUGCAUAAGAAUCUUUCAGCUGAUUCAAGUACUGUGGGCAUCUCUCCUCACAAGUAUGAUAGGGGCUUUAAUAUGUAUAUGAACAUGAUACUCCUUGGACUUGAGCUGCACGAUUUUGAAUCAGAUGCUCCAUUUGGCUUGAUAAUACCUGCAUUUGGCCACACAGUAUUUCUUCAGAGAUGUAGACUUAACCUAGAAUGCUCUGGAUCUCCAAUAUAGAGUUCAUAAUGUCUCCCCAAUACAGAGCUUUAAAUGCACUAGUGUCCUCUGAAAAUUAAAUUACAUCAAGAGAUACAAGAUCGAAGGAAAUUAUUCACCCACCAUAACCUAAAAAAAGUAAAGCAUGAUCAUGGUGAAAGAAAAGGUCCAAAAAAUCCUCCCCUUGAAAGCAACAUAUCGAUCAGUCUUGUCGCCUAACGGAAUCGAGCAUGAGCUUUGUUUACCCAACUCAACUGCAUAGACACGGAGAAGAGGCUUUAGAUAUAAGAACUUAACAGGGUACAUCACGAGAGCAGGAUGUGAUGAAAUGUACCAUCGUACAUUUUCUUUGAAGAUAUAAUGCAGUAAUGCAAUCUCGAUGGAUAUUCCAAAGAACUUACAAUAAAAACUCCUAGUAACUACGGGGUACAAUGGAAAUGAACAUUCAAAGCCCAAGAUUAAUUCUGGGAAAAAUGGAAAAGUGUGGAACAACAAACUUUGAUUUACAUCACAUGAAGUAAGAACGACGUGAUAAGUGAAUUCAAGCAUCCCAUGGAAUUCUAUUAGCACUGGCAGCUUCUACUGAUUCCAGUUCUGCCACAACUUUAGUCCUGGAAGGCUGCUCGUUAGGAGUCAUUUGGAGGCAUUGUAAAGCAAGCUGUGCCAUUUGGAAUGCAGAAUCUACAUAUGUAAGGUAUAGGGAUGGUAUAAAUUUGGUUCCCAUUUCCUGCAGGUCGCAACAUCGUGAGCGACCAGCUUCUUCUAAAAUAUCCAGUGUUUCUUUUUUGGUAAUUGGAG